UUUUUAAGCAUGGAUUGGGUAGCAAAAACUUAUUUUGGACAAGCCACGAAAGAGGUAGUUAUCGAGGAGUUUUUGCGUGCCCUUUGUUUUUGAGUCGUGUUUGGUCGGUUUUAGGGCAAAUUCUGUACAAGAUGUCAUAUAUGGGUACCUAACUUGGAAAUAUUCUGUGAAUGUUAUUUUUAAGCAAGGAUUGGGUAGUAAAAAGUUAUUUUGGCCAGCCACGACAGAGGUAGUUAUCGAGGAGUUUCUGCGUGGCCUUUGUUUCCGAGUUGCGUUUGGUCGGUUUUAGGGCAAAUUCUGUAACAGAUGUCAUAUAUGGGUACCUACCUUGGAAUUUUUCUGCGAACGACAUUUUUUAAGCAUGAUUGGGUAGCAACAAGUUAUUUUGGACAAGCCACGAAAGAGGUAGUUAUUGAGGAGUUUCUGCAUGUCCUUUGUUUUCGAGUCGCGUUUGGUCGGUUUUAGGGAAAAUUCUAUAACAGAUGCCAUAUAUGGGCACCUAACUUGGAAAAAUUCUAUGAAUGGCAUUUUUAAGGAUGGAUUGGGUAGCAAAAAGUUAUGUUGGACGAGCCACAAAAGAGGUAGUUAUCGUGGAGUUUUUGCGUGUCCUUUGUUUUUGAGUCUCGUUUGGUCGGUUUUAGGGCAAAUUCUGGACAAGAUGUAAUAUAUGGGUACCUAACUUGGAAAAAUUUUGUGAAUGACAUUUUUUAAGCAUGGAUUGGCCAGCAAAAAUUUAUUUUGGAUGAGCCACGAAAGAGGUAUUUAUUGAGGAGUUUUUGCGUGUCCUUUGUUUUCGAGUCACGUUCCGUCGGUUUUAGGGUAAAUUCCGUACAAGAUGUCAUGUAUGGUUACCUAACUUGGAAAAUUUGUAUGAACGGAAUUUUUUAAGCUCGGAUUGGGUAGCUAAAAGUUAUUUUGGAUGAGCCAUGAAAGAGGUAGUUAUCAAGGAGUUUUUGCGUGUCCUUUCUUUUCAAGUCGCGUUUGGUCGGUUCAAGGGCAAAUUCUGUACAAGAUGUGAUAUAUGGGUACCUAACUUUGAAUAAUUCUAUGAACGGCAUUUUUUAAGCAUGGAUUUGGUACCAAAAAGUUAUGUUGGACGAGCCACGAAAGAGGUAGUUACCGAGGAGUUUUUGCGUGUCUUUUGUUUUUGAGUCACGUUUGGUCUGUUUUAGGGCAAAUUCUGUACAUCAUGUAAUAUAUGGGUACCUAACUUGGAAAAAUUAUGUGAACGACAUUUUUAAGCAUGGAUUGGAUUAUAAAAAGUUAUGUUGGACGAGCCACGAAAGAGUUAGUAUCGAGGGGUUUUUGCAUGUCCUUUGUUUUUGAGUCGCGUUUGGUAGGUUUAAGGGAAAAUUAUGCACAAGCUGUCAUAUAUGGGUACCAAACUUGGAAAAAUUAUGUGAACGGCAUUUUUUAAUUAUGGAUUGGGUUAUAAAAAGUUAUGUUGGAGGAGCCACGAUAGAGUUAGUUAUCGAGGAGCUUUUGCGUGUCCUUUGUUUUCGAGUCGCGUUUGGUCGCUUUUAGGGCAAAUGCUGGACAAGCUGUCAUAUAUGGGUACCUCACUUGGAAAAAUUCUAUGAGCAGAAUUUUUUAAGCAUGGGGUAGCAAUAAGUUAUUUUGGACGAGCCAAGAAAGAGGUAGUUAUCGAGUAGUUUUUGCCUGUCCUUUGUUUUCGAGUCGCGUUGGUCGGUUUUAGGACAAAUAUUGUACAAGACGUCAUAUAUGGGUACCUAACGUGGAAAAAUUAUGUAAACGACAUUUUCUAAGCAUGGAUUGGGUAGCAAUAAGUUAUUUUGGACGAGCCAAGAAAGAGGUAGUUAUCGUGGAGUUUUUGCAUGUCCUUUAUUUUUGAGUCACGUUUGGUCGGUUUUAGGGCAAAUUCUGUACAAUAUGUAAUAUAUGGGUACCUAACUUGGAAAAAUUAUGUGAAUGGAAUUUUUUAAGCAUGGAUUUGGUUAUAAAAAGUUAUGUUGGACGAGCCACGAAAGAGUUAGUUAUCGAGGAUUGUUUGCGUGUCCUUUGUUUUUGAGUCGCAUUUGGUAGGUUUAAGGGUAAAUUCUGUACAAGAUGUCAUGUAUGGUUACCUAACUUGGAAAAUUUCUAUAACUUUUAAGAAUGGAUUGGGUAGCUAAAAGUUAUUUUGGACGAGCCAAGAAAGAGGUAGUUAUAGAGGAGGUUUUGCGUGUCCUUUGUUUUCGAGUCGCGUUUGGUUGGUUCAAGGGCAAAUUCUGUACAAGAUGUCAUAUAUGGGUACCUAACCUAGAAAAAUUCUGUGAACGACAUUUUUUAAGCAUGGAUUGGGUAGCAAAAAGUUAUGUUGGACGAGCCACUAAAGAGGUAGUUAUCGAGGAGUUUUUGCGUGUCCUUUGUUUUCGAGUCACGUUUGGUCGGUUUUAGGGCAAAUUCUGUACAACAUGUCAUAUAUGGGUACUUAACUUUGGAAAAAUUCUGUGAAUGGCAUUUUUUAAGCAUGGAUUGGGUAGAAAAAAUUUAUUUUGGAAGAGCCACAAAAGAGGUAGUUAUCGAGGAGUUUUUGCAUGUCAUUUGUUUUUGAGUCGCGUCUGGUCGGUUUUAGGGCAAAUUCCGUACAAGAUGUCAUAUAUGGGUACCUAACUUGGAAAAAUUCUAUGACCGGCUUUUUAAGCAUGGAUUGGGUAGCUGUCGUGGAGUUGUCACGGCAGAUGUCCUCGAGCUAGGACUUAGUCAUGGAGCCAUCGCAACUAGGAAGCUUGAAGGGGUUAUGCGGGACAAGGAACACGAGGGUUUAUACUGGUUCGGCCCCUUAUGGUGAAGGUAAAAGCCUACGUCCAGUUCGAGGUGUUACUGAUUAGGGUUACGAUCGCCAGGGAGCUAAAUAGCUGUGCCCGGCUCUCGAUGAGAUUGUUGUCGCCCCUGAACCGCUGCCGGGUCCUCCCUUUAUAUAGGGAGGCUGACUCCCAGCAGCCCUUAGAGUCCCGGCCGGCUCAUAAGAGCGUCCGGCUCGGACUCUAAACAAUACUUGCCUUACACUACAAGUCUACUAUAACAAUGAUUGCAACUACAGGCUUUAAGCCAUAUCCGAGUCUCAGCCCAUCUCUGGCCCAUUAUCUUGAAACUUGGCUCCGGGCUUCUGGCAACGACCCUACGAGUAACCCGGCCCCUCCUGGCGGGUGACUCUAAGGUCUAUAUCCUCAACAUUAGGCCCCAGAUUGACUUGAGCCGGCUCAUGUCAAUCUUCAACUCUGCCGACAGAGAAAAUCUCCGGCUCACCAUUCAUGUGGAGGCCAUAACCCGGAGUGACGUCAUCCUCUGGACUCCGGAUAAUCCGCCGUGACGUCAUCCUCCAUUAAGUCUGUUUUUUACUCCGCCAGAUCCGCAACGGAUCUUCGCUUUUACUGUCUUUCCGAAAAUCGAGGCGUCGUGAGGGGGAGAUAACCACGCCGUGGUCUCCUUGAAUCUCGGCCCACUUAUGACUCUGCCUUAUAAAUAGGCCGGCCCAACGCUCUCUUCUCACGCUCUCCUUCUUCCUCCUCGCGCUGUCGCUCUUCUGCCUGAGCUCUGCCACUGCCGCCACCGUCGCGCCCCUGCUCUUCAUCAACCCGGCCGCUGCAUCACCCUGACUCGGACCAGAUAACGGCGGCGACUUCCGCUCUUCCUCAACUCCGGUGAGUCUUCUCUGCCUUGCUAGAACAGAUCUGUGGUAGGGUUCCUUCAGCUCUUCGUGUUCGUCACCAUUGCCCACAAACUCGGUAGUCCUCGUUGCCACUGUAGUUGGUUGAUCCUUAACCUUGCGUAGAACCACUGCGGUAGAUGUUUGAGACCCAUUUCAUCUGCAAGAAACCCUCUUUUUACUGCAUAAGAACUGUGUUCAACCUCAAGAACUUCUCCUGCCUCUGUUUUUUAGGUCUAGAAAAUUUUCUCUGCUCCGACCAUUUUGAUCCAAAAAAGUUACGGUAGUAUGUGAAACCUGUUUUACCACACUUAGUAAAAACUGCAACCAUUGAAUCUCGGCGGCUUACAUGUCCGGCUUAAAGAAAACACGCGCCAUAGAACUGUCCGGUUUAAGGAGAACCAUGCUCUGUAGACUCUUCCGGCUUAACUGUAGUAAACUGUAGAUGACCAACUUAUUCUGAAUGCUCCUACGGCUUAGAUAACCCACCAUAUCUGAAUACAUAUCAUUAGUCCCCUUCAUAAGCCGCCACCUUAGUUUGAACAAUAGAUCUCCGGCUUAUAAUUGACCCGGAUACUUUUCUCUUUAUUAUAGACCACCAAACUUCACCAUGCCUCCCAAGGCUCCCAUCACUUGCAACUGGAUGAGAUCCAACGUCACUGACGAGACCCUGGCCAACUUCGUUAAGUCCGGAUAUCUGCCCAAGAAGGAAGUGAUGUCCUACCGUGCCCCUGACCCGUCAGAAGAAAGACCACAACCGAGGGACGGGGAGGUAGUGAUCUUUGCGGACCAUAUGAGCCGGGGCUUCGCACCGCCUGGCUCAAAAUUCUUCCGGGACGUGCUCAACUUCUUUGACCAUCGGCCUCAGGAUAUAGGACCCAAUUCCAUAUCCAACAUCUGCAACUUCCAAGUCUUUUGUGAAGUAUAUCUUGGAGAAGAGCCGAGUCUACUGCUCUUCAGAGAGCUGUUUUAUUUGAACUGCCAAAAUGAGUGUGCCAACGGGCCAAGUCUAGAGUUAGGCGGCAUCUCCAUCCAGCGACGUAGGGACUGUCUGUUCCCUUACGCAGAGCCGCCGAGCCACCCUAAGGACUGGAAUAUGACUUGGUUCUACUGCCAAGACAUGUCCCCGGCUGACGAGAAUCCACUGCCCGGCUUUCGUCCAACACGCCUGGAGCUGACUCAUCCACUAUCCGACAAACUGACUGCCGCGGAACGCCAGCCCCUGCUUCCAACGAUCAACAAGAUCAAGGCCCUGCUAGGCAAUGGUCUGAACGGAAUUGAUCUAGUCCGGGUAUGGAUCUCAUGGCGGGUGAUCCCAUUGAGCCGCCGCCCCGGCUUAAUGUGUGAGUACACCGGGCGAAAGGAUGACCCGCAGAGGCACAGUCGCAAUGAUCUUCCAGAAGACGUGCUGAAGAAGAAACCAAGGCUCUGUUAAAUGAGAGCCUGGCAGACUGUGGAAGGACCGGGCUAGCCCCGUUCUGCAAGACCAAUCUAGCCCCAGCGGUAAGCCGCUGACUUUAACCUUUCAACUUCUUUUGUAUGUCCCCUGGCUCUGAACCAUUUUAAGAAUUCAUUACUGUAUUUCUCAGGCUGAUGAUAAAUUCUGGCGGGUCAAGUAUGACCAUGAGGCGGCCAAGAAGGCCAGGAAGGCGAAGAAAGCCGCCAAGAAAGCCGCCCCUCGCAAGAAGGGAAGCAGACCCACUGCUUCGGAGCUACUGCAAUUAAGCGACAGCUCCGAGUCAGAGGUAACCCUUAAACCUUUAAAUGCUUGCUGCAUAUGUUGUUUGCUGUUGUCCGCCUUAUCAACACUUGCUUAUUGACAGGAUGACACCGGCGCCAGUAACCCGGUGGUUGAAGAGGUAAUGUCACUUUCCUCCGACUCGGAGCCUUUGCCACAGCUGAAAGUCCGAAGAGUAACCCGGAAAGUAAGCUUUUCACAUCCAUUAGCUCAUCAAGACCCUCAAUUUCCUUUGAAGUAGCAGGUUCACGAAAGCCGGCGUCACACCCGGGCCCGCAAGGACACUGACCUCUCCGCCAGGUUACCCGACGUAACAAGGAAGCGUCGCACUGAGGUUUUUUCUCACCUGUACCCUUUUCAUCUGUUGGCGGGUGUCAUCCGUCAGCCACUCAACUCUUCUGACUCCAAUUAUCAGGAGACCUCCCCCUCUUCGGGUGACUCCAUGCAGUCAAGUCUGCCGGCCUUCAAGACUGCCCCCGGGUAAUAACAAUCUCCUUACAUUAUCUGUCUGUAUUUACUCUUUAUAUGCCUAACACUUCUGCCUUUUCAGCGCCCAGGCAAAGCUCACCAAAAGAGCAAAGAAGACCCGGUCAGCCGGAGUGCCGGACUUGCCUGAGCCGGAGGCGACGGCUCAAGAGCCGCCGGCUGCCUCUGCCCCCGAAGCCACCAUUCCAAUGGACACGGCGCCUGAAGUCCUUGCUCCGACUACCAAGACAACGACUGAAGCGGCGGCUAACCCGGAGGCCUCCGGCUCAACCCCUCCAGCAGACGACCCGGACGUGGUGAUCACCCGGACGGAAUUCAUUGAGUCGGGGAGACCGACCGCGUUGGCCAAGUGCUCUCCAGAGUCGGCUGUUGGCAAGAAAUUAGAGUCGGACCUGGCGGAUCUCAAGAGUCGGCUGAAGGCACAAGAGAUGGAGACCCGGAAGGCAAACGCCAAGUUUGUCUCCAGCAUCGCCGCUCAAGAGAAGCUGAAGACCGAAUUUCGAUGCUGAGCGGAAGGCCUGGGCUGAGGAGAAAGCCGCACUGGUAACUCGGGCGGAACAGGCGGAGAAGGCACUCUCUGAAAAAACCGCCGAACUCUCCAGCCUAAAGCGCCAAGUGUCCCAAAUGGUAGCCGCCAUCUUCGGUAAGUCGCCUCACCGGUUUUCAUCCAUGUUAGAAUGUUUACAUCUCCUGAUUCAUCCUUGUCACCGGGUCAUCUGAUGUUGUUAAACAGGUUCCAGAAGCGCCAACCUGAACCAGAGCGUGGUCACCAAGCUAAAGGCCGUGUACACCCUGGUGGAACAGCUCUACACCGGGUCACAGCGGGCCUUAGCUGUGGUGGCCCUAUCGAAUGAGGUGCCAACACAUCUGGCCGAAGUCCUGCGCCGGCUCGCAGUUCUGCCGCAGCGGAUCCAGGAGCUACGACGAGCAUCUGCGAGAGCCGGAGUAAUCGCCGCGCUGAGCCGGGCCAAAGCAUUCUUGCCAGAGCUAGACCCGGCAGACAUCGCCCUGGAUUACCCCAGCCUGAAAGAAGACGGCUCAGCGUUCGACCAGAAGGAUUUCGCGGCGUGUGUGAAGGCUGUGCGCCCGGUGGCCACCAUCAUCGGGAACGACACCGACUUAUCCAAGUAUCAGCCGGGAUACAAUGCGGAGAAUCAGAGGAUUCCAACCCCUCACUACGAAGCUCUCACUCUGAUUCCUCCGGCUCGCCAGCACACCUUCGCCCCGGAGAUUAACCCGGCCGGGUUAAUCAACGAAGAAGCCCAGUUCGAAGCUCUCCGCGGCAUCGACUGGAAGUCGUCAACCUUCGAGGUGUUGGGAACAACUGGAGCAGAAGACGAGCCGGGAACUUCAACCCAGCAGGCAUCAUAAAGCGGCUGGCGGUUCACCAAACAACGCCCCAACCUUGAGACUUGAGGAAUUUUGUAAUAGACUAGGUGCAACAUUUUAUCUCUGCCAUGCCAUCGUGCACGUAAUGAAUGCUGAAAUCCCUUGAAUUUAUCCUUUUAGCGUUCUUCCGGGUCGUAAUCAUCCCUUUGUCCUUCUCAACUUUAAAGGGUGCCUUUAAGUAUCUGCAUAGAAAGGCAAAUCACAAGUCACAAGGCGGCUUACCGCCCUGAGAAUCAGGUGUUUGAGAUGGAUAACCCGGAAUACGAACCAAACAGACUGGUCCUUAAUUUUACUCUGAACAUAGCCAUGAUAACACACUUAACGGCCCGCAAGCAUACUUCCGGUUUAAAUAACCCGGGUAGCACGGUUGGUACCUUAACUCAAAAUUACUUGUCUUGAUGACAUCCAUGAUGUUCAACUAACAAGAUAAACCAAAAUUAAACCGGCAGGUGAGACCCGGCAGUACAUAUUUUGACAUGAUCAGAGUAGAUUUGUGAUAAAAUAUAAAAACUUAGGGGCUUCCGGUUCGAAUACGACCAGAAACUCGGUCCAAAGGGGUUAAGCUAAGAUUCGGAUACGAUCAUAUAGCCCCCAGUGGGUGUGGCGAUGCCAAUCAAGAGGGUAUUGACAGCUAUGUUCUCUUUGGUUCGAAUACGACCCAUGUUUGAACAGGAAGCCCCCAAGUGAUUCUGAAAAUUGUUUAAUGACGCUGAUUCGAAUACGAUCCACGUCGGUUCUCAGAGGGGUUACACUAUGAUUCAAAUAUGACCAAAGGCAACCUCCCAAUGAGCUCGGCACUUUGCCAAUCAAAUGGGUAUCGACAGCUAUGUUCUCUUUGGUUCAAAUACGACCCAUGUUUGAACAGGAAGCCCCCAGGUGACCUUACUGCUUACGGCUAGACUCGGAUACGAUCAUAAGCCGGAUCCUCUUUAAGUUAGCAUUAAAAAACAACACACAUAUAUUUAGAGGAGAGAAAAGGACAGAGGUCCUGCUUUAUUGCUUAUCAUGAUAUAUACAUGGCUGAGAUAAAUAUGUACACCACGAGAGCCGGUAGCUCAAGUGUAGUAAGGCCGAAGCUGAGCUAUGUUCCACGGCCGACGGGUCUCCUCCUCAGACUUACGCGAAUCUUUAUGUUCCCGAACAUCAAUGAGGUAAUAUGACCCGUUGUGCAAGUUCUUACUGACCACAAAGGGCCCUUCCCAAGGUGGGGAUAACUUGUGUGCAUCUGUUUGAUCCUGGAUGAGCCGGAGCACAAGGUCGCCUUCCUGGAAGACCCGGGACUUGACCCGGCGGCUAUGAUAACGGCGCAGGUCUUGUUGGUAAAUCGCUGAACGGGCUACUGCCACAUCACGCUGUUCGUCCAACAAGUCCAGAGCAUCUUGGCGCGCCUGUUCAUUAUCCGUCUCAACAUAAGCCGCCACACGAGGUGAAUCGUGACAUAUGUCGCUGGGGAGGACUGCUUCUGCUCCAUAAACCAUGAAGAAAGGCGUGAAGCCUGUAGACCUGUUAGGAGUAGUGUUGAUGCUCCAUAAGACGGAGGGCAACUCCUCCACCCAACAACCCGGCGUCCGUUGUAAAGGGACCAAAAGCCGGGGUUUGAUGCCCUUCAGAAUCUCCUGGUUAGCUCUCUCAGCUUGACCAUUGGAUUGGGGAUGAGCCACUGAGGAAACAUCAAGUCGGAUAUGCUCUCGUUGACAAAACUCUUCCAUAGCGCCCUUGGAUAGAUUGGUGCCAUUGUCAGUUAUGAUGCUGUGCGGAAAGCCGAAGCGGAAAAUCACCCUUUUCAUAAAUUGAACCGCCGUGGCUGCAUCACACUUGCUAACUGGCUCAGCCUCCACCCACUUCGUGAAUUUGUCAACUGCCACCAAGAGGUGGGUCUUCUUAUCGUUGGACCGUUUAAAAGGCCCAACCAUAUCAAGCCCCCAGACCGCAAAGGGCCAAGUGAUUGGGAUCAUCCUCAACUCCUGAGCCGGCACAUGAGCCCGUCGUGAGAACCUUUGGCAGCCAUCACAUUUACUGACCAAGUCCUCUGCAUCAGCGUGAGCCGUCAGCCAAUAAAAACCAUGACGGAAAGCCUUGGCCACAAGAGAUUUUGAACCGGCAUGAUGGCCACAAUCCCCUUCAUGGAUCUCGCGCAAGAUCUCUUGACCUUCCUCAGGGGAGAUACAACGCUGAAAUAACCCUGAAACACUGCGAUGGUGCAACUCGCCGUCGAUAACAAUCAUUGACUUAGCCCGCCGGGUUAUUUGCCUGGCCAGAGUUACAUCCUCAGGCAAUUCUCCCCGGGUUAUAUAAGCCAGAUAUGGCAUUGUCCAGUCUGGUAUGACAUGAAGAGCCGCCACCAGUCACGCCUCCGGGUCAGGGAUAGCCAAGUCCUCCUUUGUGGGCAACUUGACCGAAGGGUUAUACAGGACAUCCAGGAAAGUGUUCGGCGGCACCGGCUUUCGCUGAGAGCCUAGCCGGCUUAACGCAUCAGCUGCCUCAUUCCUCCUGCGAUCAAUAUGCUCCACUUGGUAUCCCUGGAAGUGCCCAGCAAUGGCAUCAACCUCGCGGCGAUAAGCCGCCAUUAGAGGAUCCUUAGAAUCCCAGGUGCCUGAUACUUGCUGAGCCACCAAGUCUGAGUCACCAAAGCACCUCACCCGGCUUAAGCUCAUCUCCUUAGCCACCCGAAGACCGUGGAGCAAAGCCUCGUAUUCAGCCGCAUUGUUAGUGCAAGGAAACAUCAACCGUAGCACAUAAUGGAAUUUGUCACCUUUAGGGGAAGCCAAAACAACACCAGCCCCCGAGCCCUCCAGCUGCCUGGACCCAUCAAAGUGAAUAGUCCAAUAGGUGUUAUCCGGCUUUUGCUCGGGCACUUGUGACUCUGUCCAAUCAUUGAUGAAAUCCACCAAGGCAUGAGACUUAACAGCAGUGCGUGGCACAUAUUUAAGGCCAUGAGGUCCAAGUUCUAUAGCCCACUUAGCAAUUCUUCCUGUAGCCUCUCUGUUUUGGAUAAUGUCACCAAGAGAGGCGGAACUGACCACAGUGAUAGGAUGACCCUGAAAAUAAUGCUUAAGCUUCCGGCUCGCCAUGAACACACCGUAUACGAGCUUCUGCCAAUGCGGGUACCGCUGCUUGGACUCAAUGAGCACCUCGCUGACAUAAUCAACCGGCCGCUGAACCGUAUGCUCCUUACCCGCCUCCUUGCGCUCCGCCACGAUAGCCACGCUGACGGCUCGUGCGUUUGCCGCUACAUACAGUAGCAAGGGCUCCUUAUCAAUCGGAGCAGCAAGGAUGGGGGGCUCUGCCAGUUGCUUUUCAAAUCCUCAAAAGCGGUAUUAGCUGCAUCAUUCCAGACAAAGUUAUCAGUUUUCUUCAUCAACUGAUAUAGGGGCAUAGCUUUCUCACCCAAGCGGCUUAUAAACCGGCUUAAAGCAGCGAUGCGACCCGCCAAACGCUGAACGUCAUUGAUACAUGCCGGUUUAGCUAGGGAGGUGAUAGCCUUGAUCUUCUCAGGGUUAGCCUCAAUGCCUCUGUCAGAAACCAAGAAGCCCAAUAGUUUUCCUGCAGGAACACCAAAAACACAUUUGGCCGGGUUAAGCAUCAUCUUGUAGACCCGGAGAUUGUCGAAGGUCUCCCUUAAGUCAUCUAUCAGGGUUUCCUCCUUGAUAGAUUUAACCACAAUAUCGUCCACGUAAGCGUGAACAUUGCACCCGAUCUGUUUAUGAAGACAAUUCUGUACACAACGCUGGUAAGUCGCCUGUGCACAUUUGAGUCCAAAGGGCAUAGACACAUAGCAGAAGGCUCCAAAGGGAAUGAUGAACGCCGUCUUCUCCUGGUCCUUAACUGCCAUCUUAAUUUGAUGAUACCCGGAAUAAGCAUCCAAGAAACUUAAGCGUGCGCAACCUGCCGUAGCAUCAAUGAUUUGAUCAAUACGGGGGAGGGCAAAAGGAUCAGCCGGACACGCUUUGUUCAAGUCCGUGUAGUCCACACACAUCCGCCAGGUGCCGUUCUUCUUGAGCACGAGCACCGGGUUAGCUAACCACUCUGGGUGAAAGACUUCAAUGAUAAACCCGGCCGCCAAGAGCCGGGCCACUUCUUCACCAAUAGCCUUUCGCCUCUCUUCAUUAAACCACCGAAGGAAUUGUCUGACCGGCUUAAAUUUCAGAUCAACAUUGAGAGUGUGCUCAGCGAGUUCUCUAGGUACACCCGGCAUGUCAGAAGGUUUCCAUGCGAAGAUGUCCCUAUUCUCACGGAUGAACUCGAUGAGCGCGCUUUCCUAUUUCGGGUCCAGAUUUGCACUGAUGCUAAACUGCUGAAACGAGUCACCUGGAACAAAAUCAACAAGCUUAGUCUCGUCAGCUGACUUAAAUUUCAUUGCUGGUUCGUUCUCCGUGAUUGGCUUUUUCAGAGAGGUCAUAUUUGUUGGGUCAACAUUGUCUUUAUAAAACUUCAACUCCGCUAUGGCGCAAACAGACUCUGCAUAAGCCGCAUCACCUUCCUCACACUCCAGAGCCACUUUCCGGCUGCCAUGAACCGUAAUGGUCCCAUUGUGACCCGGCAUCUUGAGCUGUAAGUACACAUAACACGGCCGUGCCAUGAACUUGGCGUAAGCCGGCCGUCCGAAUAUAGCAUGGUAUGGACUUCUUAUCUUGACCACCUCAAAGGUCAACUUCUCCACCCUGUAAUUGUUCUCAUCACCAAAAGCCACUUCCAAUUCGAUCUUGCCGACUGGAUAAGCCGACUUACCGGGUACCACACCGUGGAAGAUAGUGUUUGACUGGCUGAGGUUCUUAUCAACCAACCCCAUACGGCGAAAAGUCUCAUAAUGGAGGAUAUUGAUGCUGCUACCUCCAUCCAUGAGUACCUUUGUAAACUUGUAACCUCCCACCUGAGGAGCCACCACUAAGGCCAAGUGGCCCGGGUUAUCCACCCGGGGAGAGUGAUCCUCCCUGCUCCAUACUAUAGGCUGCUCAGACCAUCGCAAGUAGCGUGGAACUGCCGGCUCAAUGGCAUUAACAGCCCUCUUGUGAAGCUUCUGAUCUCGUUUGCACAAACUGGUGGUGAACACAUGAUACUGUCCACCGCUAAGCUGCUUUGGGUUGGUCUGAUAACCCCCCUGCUGCUGUUGGUGACCUUGACCAGACUGUUGAUUAAAGCCGCCUUGACCGUUCUGAGGACCGGAACAUGAGCCACCACCCGGGCCAUGAAAGCCACCGGCGCCUGAGCCGCCGGCUCCUGAGCCGCCACCCGGGCCAUUGUAGUUUUUAAAGGCCUUCAUGAUUGCACAAUCCUUCCACAGAUGAGUCACCGGUUUUUCCCUAGAGCCGUGUCUCGGACAAGGCUCAUUCAACAGCUGCUCCAGAGAAGGUCCUGACCCGCCGCCUCGGGGAGGGGGCCUCCCCUUGCGUCGUUGGUUGUUACCUUGGGAGUUGGCAUUGGCUACGAACUCUAGGCUACCAUCGGCCUUGCGCUUGCCUCCUCCUUGGUUUCCCGGGUUAAACUGAGGACCCUUGCCAUUGCCGUUCUUCUUUCCCUUCCCUAUCCUCUCAUCAUCUGAAGGGGGAUCCUUGGUAUCAUCGGAAUCGGCGUACUUGACAAGAGCCGCCAUUAGUGUACCCAUAUCAGUGCAGUCCCGUUUAAGCCGCCCAAGUUUCAUCUUUAGGGGCACAAAGCGACAGUUUUAUUCCAACAUUAAGACUGCAGAGCCGGCAUCCAUCUUAUCCGAUGAAUGUAUGAUCUCCUUGACCCGGCGAACCCAAUGGGUCGUGGAUUCACCCUCCUGCUGCUUACAAUUAGUCAAAUCCACAAUUGACAUAGACUGCCUACAGGUAUCUUUGAAGUUUUUAAUGAACCAGGCUUUCAGCUCAGCCCAAGACCCAAUGGAGUUCGGUGGCAGCCCUUUCAACCACGUGCGGGCAGUUCCAUCUAACAUCAUGGUGAAAUAUUUGGCCAUGGCCGCCUGACUAACCUCCAGCAGCUCCAUAGCCAUCUCAUAACUCUCAAUCCAGGCUGCAGGCUGUAAGUCUGCCGUAUAGUUAGGCACCUUCCUAAGGCCUUUGAAGUCCUUGGGCAAACGUUCAUUACGGAUAGCUGGCACCAAACAAGGGACACCCCCGGUCCUGGUAGAGAUACCCACAUCAACAGAAGUCGUUGGAUAAGCCGGGGGGUCUGGUAAGCCGUUAAUUGAGGCACCUGCUCCGCCUCCUGCCGCGCUUGGUCUGCUGCGUGAAAAGCUCCCUUAUGAACCGGGCCAUGGCCAGGGAGCGGGUCAUGGCGUCGGACAUUACUUGAGCCGGUUGCUGAGUCCAUGUGCCGGCUGUAACUCGGGCUCUGGCCUGGUCGAGGGGUCGAAUGGAUCCUGUCCCGGCUAUAGGAGUACGCUUCUUGCUGUGCCAGAGCCGUCUGUAGGAGUUCCCUGACCCGGCGGGUUUCGAUGGCCGCCGGAGAGUCGCCGUCAACGGGGAGAGCCGCCAGUCGUGCUGCCGCAGCUACCAUGUUCUCCAGCGGGUUAUCGUAAUGACCCGGGGGUAUUGGCACAUACUGAGGUGGGGCAGGGGGCACCUGGGGAGGCCCCAUCACUCGUGGCUGAAUAAGGGAUCCUGACCCGGGCGCAAUGACCCCUGGCGGGUUACUAGACCCUGCACCCGGCGUGUUGAAGAGAUUGCGUGGAUCGUAAACCGGUGGGAGUCGAGAUUGGGCCUUCUGACGCCUCCUUCUCAUGACCUCAUUGGCCGCGUUCUGAUCCAUCGUGAGUUGGAAAGACUGCGCCUGAAUCAGCUGAGUCCGGGCGUCGAGAGCCGCCCGCUCCGCAGCCAACCUGAUCCCUUCCGCUGCAAGAUCCUCUAUAGCUUUUAUCAGAUCCAAUUUUAACUAUGCCACCUCCGCAUCAUGCCAAGCUUGAUCUGCCGGGUCAACCGUGGCAGUUAACAGGGCCGUCAUUUUGUCCGUGAGAUCCAUCAGCACCUGAGCCAGGGAAGGCACCGGGUUUCCCGAUCCGGCAGCGGGGUUCUGAACAGGCUGCGCACCGGCCAUAAAAACUCCAACCUGACUUGGCGGCUCAAAAAGGUCCGGAAUACUGUCGCCAUCGGAACAGCCCAUGAACCUGCCAUCUUGAAGUUGGUACAACGAGUUUGAUUCAUCAGUGGCUGACUCGCCGUCAGAGCCAGCGGCCGCCUCAUCACCAGACCCGGAUGGAUCACAGGGCCCUCCAUGGAUGCAUCCCACAAAAGCGCGCCUUAAGGCAGGCCGGGCCCGGGCGGGUCGUGCGCGCUGAGCCGUUUCGAUGAGAUCGGCGCAGAGAUCCGGCUCGGGGCCCGGCUCACCGAUCUUGCCAAUGAAGACAUGAAUUCCGCCAAAGGGGACCCGGUACCCGUACUCAAUUGAGCCGGCGUCAGGGCCCCAGUCCUCGUCGUCGAUGUAGAGCUUGCCGCGACGACUCUUGGUCAUCCGGCCUAUGGCGUAUCCCUUGAGCCCUUCGAAGCUGCCCUUCAAGAACUCAAAUCCACCGUGCGCUGACCCCACUAUGGGCGCCAACUGUCGUGGAGUUGUCACGGCAGGUGUCCUCGAGCUAGGACUUAGUCGUGGAGCCAUCGCAACUAGGAAGCUUGAAGGGGUUAUGCGGGACAAGGAACACAAGGGUUUAUACUGGUUCGACCCCUUACGGUGAAGGUAAAAUCCUACGUCCAGUUCGAGGUGUUACUGAUUAGAGUUACGAUCGCCAGGGAGCUAAACAGCUAUGCCCGGCUCUCGAUGAGAUUGUUGUCGCCCCUGAACCGCUGCCGGGUCCUCCCUUUAUAAAGGGAGGCUGACUCCCAGCAGCCCUUAGAGUCCCGGCCGGCUCAUAAGAGCGUCCGGCUCGGACUCUAAAUAAUACUUUCCUUACACUACAAGUCUACUAUAACAAUGAUAGCAACUACGGGCUUUAAGCCAUAUCCGGGUCUCAGCCCAUCUCUGGCCCAUUAUCUUGAAACUUGGCUCCGGGCUUCUGGCAACGACCCUACGAGUAACCCGGCCCCUCCUGGCGGGUGACUCUAAGGUCUAUAUCCUCAACAGUAGCCAAAAGUUAUUUUGGACGAGCCACGAAAGAGGUAUUUAUCGAGCAGUUUUUGCGUGUCCUUUGUUGUCGAGUCGCGUUUGGUCGGUUUUAGGGUAAAUUCUGUACAAGAUGUCAUGUAUGGUUACCUAACUUGGAAACUUUCUAUGAACGGAAUUUUUUAAGAAUGGAUUGGGUAGCUAAAAGUUAUUUUGUACGAGCCAAGGAAGAGGUAGUUAUAGAGGAGGUUCUGCGUGUCCAUUGUUUUCGAGUCGCGUUUGGUUGGUUCAAGGGCAAAUUUUGUACAAGAUGUCAUAUAUGGGUACCUAACUUGGAAAAAUUCUGUGAAUGACAUUUUUUAAGCAUUGAUUGGGUAGCCAAAAGUUAUGUUGGACGAGCCACUAAAGAGGUAGUUAUCGAGGAGUUUUUGCGUGUCCUUUGUUUUUGAGUCGCGUUUGGUCGAUUUUAGGGCAAAUUCUGUACAACAUGUCAUAUAUGGGUUGGGUUAUAAAAAGUUAUGUUGGACGAGCCACUAAAGAGGUAGUUAUCGAGGAGUUUUUGCGUGUCCUUUGUUUUCGAGUCGCGUUUGGUCGAUUUUAGUGCAAAUCCUGUACAACAUGUCAUAUAUGGGUACCUAACUUUGGAAAAAUAAUAUGAAUGGCAUUUUUAUGCAUGGAUUGGGUAGCAAAAAGUUAUUUCGGAAGAGCCACGAAAGAGGUAGUUAUCGAGUCACGUUUNNNNNNNNNNNNNNNNNNNNNNNNNNNNNNNNNNNNNNNNNNNNNNNNNNNNNNNNNNNNNNNNNNNNNNNNNNNNNNNNNNNNNNNNNNNNNNNNNNNNNNNNNNNNNNNNNNNNNNNNNNNNNNNNNNNNNNNNNNNNNNNNNNNNNNNNNNNNNNNNNNNNNNNNNNNNNNNNNNNNNNNNNNNNNNNNNNNNNNNNNNNNNNNNNNNNNNNNNNNNNNNNNNNNNNNNNNNNNNNNNNNNNNNNNNNNNNNNNNGUCCUUUGUUUUUGAGUCGCGUUUGGUCGAUUUUAGGGCAAAUUCUGUACAACAUGUCAUAUAUGGGUUGGGUUAUAAAAAGUUAUGUUGGACGAGCCACUAAAGAGGUAGUUAUCGAGGAGUUUUUGCGUGUCCUUUGUUUUCGAGUCGCGUUUGGUCGAUUUUAGGGCAAAUCCUGUACAACAUGUCAUAUAUGGGUACCUAACUUUGGAAAAAUAAUAUGAAUGGCAUUUUUAUGCAUGGAUUGGGUAGCAAAAAGUUAUUUCGGAAGAGCCACGAAAGAGGUAGUUAUCGAGUCACGUUUGCUCGGUUUUAGGGCAAAUUCUAUACAAGAUGUCAUAUAUGGGUACCUAACUUGGAAAAAUUCUAUGACCGGCUUUUUAAGCAUGGAUUGGGUAGCCAAAAGUUAUUUUGGACGAGCCAUGAAAGAGGUAGUUAUCAAGGAGUUUUUGCGUUUCCUUUGUUUCGAGUCGCGUUUGGUCGGUUUUAGGGCAAAUUUUGUACAACAUGUCAUAUAUGGGUACCUAACUUGGAAACAUUCGGUGAACGACAUUUUAUAAGGAUGGAUUGGGUAGCAAAAAUUUAUGUUGAACAAGCCACGAUAGAGGUAGUUACUGACGAGUUUUUGCAUGUCCUUUGUUUUUGAGUCGCGUUUGGUCGGUUUUAGGGCAAAUUCUGUACAAGAUGUAAUAUAUGGGUACCUAACUUGGAACAAUUAUGUGAACGACAUUUUUAAGCAUGGAUUGGGUUAUAAAAAGUUGUGUUGGACGAGCCACGAAAGAGUUAGUUAUCGAGGAGUUUUUACGUGUCCUUUGUUUGGAUUGGGUAGCAAUAAGUUAUUUUGGGCAAGCCACCAAAGAGGUAAUUAUUGAGGAGUUUCUUCAUGUCGCGUUUGGUUGGUUUUAGGGAAAAUUUUGUAACAGAUGUCAUAUAUGGUACCUACCUUGGAAAUUUUCUGCGAACGGCAUUCUUUUAAGCAUGGACUUGGUAGCUAAAUUUAUUUUGGACGAGCCACAAAAGAGGUAGUUAUCGAGGAGUUUCUGCGUGUCCUUUGUUUUCGAGUCGCGUUUGGUCGGUAUUAGGGCAAAUUCUAUAACAGAUGCCAUAUAUGGUACCUAACUUGGAAAAUUUUUGUGAACGGCGUUUUUUAAGCAUGGAUUGGACAGCAAAAAGUUAUUUUGGACGAGCCACGAAAGAGGUAUUUAUCGAGGAGUUUUUUCGUGUCCUUUGUUUUCGAGUUGCGUUUGGUCGGUUUUAGGGUAAAUUAUGUACAAGAGGUCAUCUAUGGUUACCUAACUUGGAAAAUUUCUAUGAACAGAGUUAUUUAUGAAUGGAUUGGGUAGCUAAAAGUUAUUUUGGACGAGCCAAGAAAGAGGUAGUUAUAGAGGAGGUUUUGCGUGUCCUUUGUUUUCGAGUCGCGUAUGGUUUGUUCAAGGGCAAAUUCUGUACAAGAUGUCAUAUGUGGGUACCUAACUUAGAAAAAUUCUGUGAACGACAUCUUUUAAGCAUGGACUGGGUAGCAAAAAGUUAUGUUGGACGAGGCACUAAAGAGGUAGAUAUCGAGGAGUUUUUGCGUGUCCUUUGUUUUUGAGUCGCGUUGGUCAGUUUUAGGGCAAAUUCUUUACAACAUGUCAUAUAUGGGUACCUAACUUUGGAAAAAUUCUGUGAAUGGCAUUUUUUAAGCAUGGAUUGGGUAGCAAAAAGUUAUUUUGGAAGAGCCACGAAAGAGGUAGUUAUCGAGGAGUUUUUGCAUGUCAUUUGUUUUCGAGUCGCGUUUGGUCGGUUUUAGGGCAAAUUCUGUACAACAUGUCAUAUAUGGGUUGGGUUAUAAAAAGUUAUGUUGGACGAGCCACGAAAGAGUUAGUUAUCGCGGAGNNNNNNNNNNCUUUGUUUUUGAGUCGCGUUGGUCAGUUUUAGGGCAAAUUCUUUACAACAUGUCAUAUAUGGGUACCUAACUUUGGAAAAAUUCUGUGAAUGGCAUUUUUUAAGCAUGGAUUGGGUAGCAAAAAGUUAUUUUGGAAGAGCGACGAAAGAGGUAGUUAUCGAGGAGUUUUUGCAUGUCAUUUGUUUUCGAGUCGCGUUUGGUCGGUUUUAGGGCAAAUUCUGUACAACAUGUCAUAUAUGGGUUGGGUUAUAAAAAGUUAUGUUGGACGAGCCACGAAAGAGUUAGUUAUCGCGGAGUUUUUGCGAGUCCUUUGUUUUUGAGUCGCAUUUGGUAGGUUUAAGGGCAAAUUAUGCACAAGAUGUCAUAUAUGGGUACCUAACUUGGAAAAAUUAUGUAAACGGCAUUUUUGAAGCAUGGAUUGGGUAGCAAAAAUUUAUUUUGGACGAGCCAUAAAAGAGAAAUUUAUCCAGGAGUUUUUCCGUGUCCUUUGUUUUCGAGUCGCAUUUGGUUGGUUUUAGGGCAAAUUCUGGACAAGCUGUCAUAUAUGGGUACCUAACUUGGAAAAAUUCUGUGACCAGCAUUUUUUAAGCAUUGAUUAGGUAGCAAUAAGUUAUUUUGGAUGACCAAGAAAGAGGUAGUUAUCGAGUAGUUUUCCCGUGUCCUUUGUUUUUGAGUCGCGUUUGGUCGGUUUUAGGGCAAAUUCUGUACAAGACAUCAUAUAUGGAUACCUAACAUGGAAAAAUUCUGUGAACGAAAUUUUUGAAGCAUGGAUUGGGUAGCAAAAAGUUAUUUUGGACAAGCCACGAAAGAGGUAGUUAUGGAGGAAUUUUUGCGUGUCCUUUGUUUUUGAGUCGCGUUUCGUCGGUUUUAGGGUAAAUUCUGUACAAGUUGUCAUAUAUGGGUAACAACUUGGAAAUAUUCUGUGGACGACAUUUUUAAGCAUGGAUUGGGUAGCAAAAAGUUAUUUUUGGCAAGCCGCCAAAGAGGUAAUUAUCGAGGAGUUUCUGCGUGUCCUUUCUUUCCGAGUCGUGUUCGGUCGGUUUUAGGGCCAAUUCUAUAAUAGAUGUCAUAUAUGGUACCUACCUUGGAAAUUUUCUGCGAACGGCAUUUUUUUAAGCAUGGAUUUGGUAGCAAAAUUUAUUUUGGACGAGCCACAAAAGAGGUAGUUAUCGAGGAGUUUCUGUGUGUCCUUUGUUUUCGAGUCGCGUUUGGUCGGUUUUAGGGCAAAUUCUAUAACAGAUGCCAUAUAUGGUAGCUAACUUGGAAAAUUUCUGUGAACGACAUUUUUUAAGCAUGGAUUGGGCAGCAAAAAGUUAUUUUGGAUGUGCCACAAAAGAGGUAUUUAUCGAGGAGUUUUUGCGUGUCCUUUGUUUUCGAGUCGCGUUUGGUCGGUUUUAGGGUAAAUUCUGUACAAGAUGUCAUGUAUGGUUACCUAACUUGGAAAAUUUCUAUGAACGGAAUUUUUUAAGAAUGGAUUGGGUAGCUAAAGUUAUUUUGGACGAGCCAAGAAAGAGGUAGUUAUAGAGGAGGUUUUGCGUGUCCUUUGUUUUCGAGUCGCGUUUGGUUGGUUCAAGGGCAAAUUCUGUACAAGAUGUCAUAUAUGGGUACCUAACUUGGAAAAAUUCUGUGAACGACAUUUGUUAAGCAUGGAUUGGGUAGCAAAAAGUAAUGUUGGACGAGCCACUAAAGAGGUAGUUAUCGAGGAGUUUUAGCGUGUCCUUUGUUAUCGAGUGGCGUUUGGUCGGUUUUUAGCGCAAAUUCUGUACAACAUGUCAUAUAUGUGUACCUAACUUUGGAAUAAUUCGGUGAAUGGCAUUUUUAAGCAUGGAUUGGGUAGAAAAAACUUAUUUUGGAAGAGCCACGAAAGAGGUAGUUAUCGAGGAGUUUUUGCAUGUCAUUUGUUUUUGAGUCGCGUUUGGUCGGUUUUAGGGAAAAAUCUGUACAAGAUGUCAUAUAUGGGUACCGAACUUGGAAAAAUUAUAUGACCGGCUUUUUAAGCAUGGAUUGGGUAGCCAAAAGUUAUUUUGGACGAGCCACAAAAGAGGUAUUUAUCGAGGAGUUUUUGCGUGUCAUUUGUUGUCGAGUCGCGUUUGGUCGGUUUUAGGGUAAAUUCUGUACAAGAUGUCAUGUAUGGUUACAUAACUUGGAAAAUUUCUAUGAACGGAAUUUUUUAAGAAUGGAUUGGGUAGCUAAAAGUUAUUUUGGAUGAGCCAAGGAAGAGGUAGUUAUAGAGAAGGUUUUGCGUGUCCUUUGUUUUUGAGUCGCGUUUGGUUGGUUCAAGGGCAAAUUUUGUACAAGAUGUCAUAUAUGGGUACCUACUUGGAAAAAUUCUGUCAAUGACAUUUUUUAAGCAUAGAUUGGGUAGCAAAAAGUUAUGUUGGAUGAGCCACUAAAGAGGUAGUUAUCGAGGAGUUUUUGCGUGUCCUUUGUUUUCGAGUCGCAUUUGGUCGGUUUUAGGGCAAAUUCUGUAAAACAUGUCAUAUAUGGGUACCUAACUUUGGAAAAAUUCUAUAAAUGGCAUUUUUAAGCAUGGAUUGGGUAGCAAAAAGUUAUUUUGGAAGAGCCACGAAAGAGGUAGUUAUCGAGUCACGUUUGGUCGGUUUUUGGGCAAAUUCUGUACAAGAUGUCAUAUAUGGGUACCUAACUUGGAAAAAUUCUAUGACCGGCUUUUUAAGCAUGGAUUGGGUAGCCAAAAUUUAUUUUGGACGAGCCAUGAAAGAGGUAGUUUUUGCGUAUCCUUUGUUUCGAGUCGCGUUUGGUCGGUUUUAGGGCAAAUUUUGUACAACAUUUCAGAUAUGGGUACCUAACUUGGAAACAUUCAGUGAACAACAUUUUAUAAGUAUGGAUUGGGUAGCAAAAAUUUAUGUUGGACGAGCCACGGUAGAGGUAGUUACCGAGGAGUUUUUGCAUGUCCUUUGUUUUUGAGUCGCGUUUGGUCGGUUUUAGGGCAAAUUCUGUACAACAUGUAAUAUAUGGGUACCUAACUUGGAAAAAUUAUGUGAAAAACAUUUUUAAACAUGGAUUGGGUUAUAAAAAGUUAUGUUGGACGAGCCACGAAAGAGUUAGUUAUCGAGGAGUUUUUGCGUGUCCUUUGUUUUCGAGUCCCGUUUGGUAGGUAUAAGGGCAAAUUAUGCACAAGUUUUCAUAUAUGGGUACCUAACAUGGAAAAAAUAUGUAAACAACAUUUUUUAAGCAUGGAUUGGGUAGAAAAAAGUUAUUUUUGACAAGCCGUGAAAGUGAUAUUUAUAAAAGAGAUUUUGCGUGUCCUUUGUUUCGAGUCAUGUUUGGUCGGUUUUAGGGAAAAUUGUGGACAAGCUAUCACAUAUGGGUACCUAACUUUGAAAAAUUCUGUGAGCAGCAUUUUUUAAGCAUGGAUUGGGUAGCACUAAGUUAUUUUGGAUGAGCCAAGAAAUAGGUAGUUAUCGAGUAGUUUUUGCAUGUCAUUUGUUUUCGAGUCACGUUUGGUCGGUUUUAGGGCAAAUUCUAUAGAAGACGUCAUAUAUGGGUACCUAACGUGGAAAAAUUAUGUAAACGACAUUUUUUAAGCAUGGAUUGGGUAGCAAAAAGUUUUUUUGGACGAGACAUGAAAGAGGUAUUUAUCGAGGAGUUUUUGCGUGUCCUUUGUUUUCGAGUCGCGUUUGGUCGGUUUUAGGGCAAAUUCUAGACAAGCUGUCAUAUAUGGGUACCUAACUUGGAAAUAUUCUGUGAGUAGCAUUUUCAGCAUGGAUUGGGUAGCAAUAAGUUUUUUGAGUCGCGUUUGGUUGGUUUUAGGGCAAAUUCCGUACAAGAUGUAAUAUAUGGGUACCUAACUUGGAAAAAUUGUGUGAACGGCAUUUUUAAUUAUGGAUUGGCUUAUAAAAAGUUAUGUUGGAGGAGCCACGAUAGAGUUAGUUAUCGAGGAGUUUUUGCGUGUCCUUUGUUUUCGAGUCGCAUUUGGUCGGUUUUAGGACAAAUUCUGUACAACAUGUCAUAUAUGGGUACCUAACUUUGGAAAAAUUAUGUGAAUGGCAUUUUUUUAGGAUGGAUUGGGUAGCAAAAAGUUAUUUUGGAAGAGCCACGAAAGAGGUUGUUAUCGAGGAGUUUUUGCAUGUCAUUUGUUUUCGAGUCGCGCUUGGUCGGUUUUAGGGCACAUUCUGUACAAGAUGUCUUAUAUGGGUACCUAACUUGGAAAAAUUCUGUGAAUGACAUUUUUUAAGCAUGGAUUGGGUAGCAAAAAGUUAUGUUGGACGAGCCACUAAAGAGGUAGUUAUCGAGGAGUUUUUGCGUGUUCUUUGUUUUUGAGUCGUGUUUGGUCGGUUUUAGGGCAAAUUCUGGACAAGCUAUCACAUAUGGGUACCUAACUUGGAAAAAUUCUGUGAGCAGCAUUUUUUAAGCAUGGAUUGGGUAGCAAUAAGUUAUUUUGGAUGAGCCAAGAAAGAGGUAGUUAUCGAGUAGUUUUUGCAUGUCAUUUGUUUUCGAGUCGCGUUUGGUCGGUUUUAGGGCAAAUUCUAUACAAGACGUCAUAUAUGGGUACCUAACGUGGAAAAAUUAUGUAAACGACAUUUUUUAAGCAUGGAUUGGGUAGCAAAAAGGUUUUUUGGACGAGCCAUGAAAGAGGUAUUUAUCGAGGAGUUUUUGCGUGUCCUUUGUUUUCAAGUCGUGUUUGGUCGAUUUUAGGGCAAAUUCUAGACAAGCUGUCAUAUAUGGGUACCUAACUUGGAAAAAUUCUGUGAGUAGCAUUUUCAAGCAUGGAUUGGGUAGCAAUAAGUUAUUUUGGACGAGCCAAGAAAGAGGUAGUUACCGAGGAGUUUUUGCGUGUCCUUUGUUUUUUGAGUCGCGUUUGGUUGGUUUUAGAGCAAAUUCCGUACAAGAUGUAAUAUAUGGGUACCUAACUUGGAAAAUUUAUGUGAACGACAUUUUUAAUUAUGGAUUGGGUUAUAAAAAGUUAUGUUGGAGGAGCCACGAUAGAGUUAGUUAUCGAGGAGUUUUUGCGUGUCCUUUGUUUUCGAGUCGCGUUUGGUCGGUUUUAGGGCAAAUUCUGUACAACAUGUCAUAUAUGGGUGUAACACCCCAGAUGUAACUUUCCAUAUUUGCAACUUCAACUCUUGCCAUUUUUGGCGAUGUGUUAUGACAUUCCCUUCGUGGUCGGGUUUUGUUUUCCGUUUUGCAUUUUGCUUUUGUCAUGCAUCUCAUAUCAUGUCAUCAUGUGCAUUGCAUUUGCAUACGUGUUCUUCUUUUGCAUCCGAGCAUUUUCCCAGUUGUCCGUUUUGCAAUCCGGCACUCCCACCUCCUCCAGCGCACCCCUCUUGUUUUCUUUUCGUGAGCGGGUGUUGAACAUUCUCGAAAUGGACCGAGGCUUGCCAAGCGGCCUUGGUAUACCACCGGUAGACCACCUGUCAAGUUUCGUUCCAUUUGAAGGUCGUUUGGUACUCCAACGGUUAACCGAGCAACCGCAAAGUCCUUUUGUGUGUUGCAGCAAAACCCCCCUCCUAAUAGCCCAAAACCCAUCUAAGUCACUUCCAUACUCUAGGUCGUUCGAUCACGAUCGUGUGGGCGAAAACCGUGCUCAAUAUGGAGUCUCCUAGCUCCCUCUACCUAUAAAAACACCUCCCCCUCCAAAAUCUGGGCGAAACCCUAGCAAAAAUCGUCCUCCGCGCCGCCGGACGCGUCCACUCCCGCCGGACGAACCCGCCGCCGCGCCCCGCCCACUCACAGCGCGACACGUGGCUUCGCUCCGUCGCCCGCGCCGCCGGCCCGCUGGGCCCGUACGCCGCCCCCGCGGGCCCGUGCGCCCCGCCCCCGAGCCCGCGCCCGACCCCGGCGCCUCCUCCUCCUCUCUUCCCCGACCGCCGCGCCUCUCCUUCCUCCGGCCUCGUCCUCUCCCGACUCCGGCGAGCUCGAGCUCAAACCCUAGCUCCGGCGAGCUCCCGAUCCGAUCUGUCCAGAGGUUGACUUUCCCUCCCCCCGUUUUUUUUCUCCAAGUCCUGAGAAUUUUUACAUUCUGUUGCAUACUUUGACGCAUCAUAACUCUCUGAAUAUAGCUCUGUUUCAUGCGUGUAAUAUAUCGAAAUGUUCAUCUCGAGAUGCUCUUCAUUUUGUUCCAUUGCAGCAUGUUCAUUUGAGUCCAUCUUGAGGCCCAAAUAUCUGGUGCAAGAGUGCUAGUUGCUGUUAACUGCUGUUACUUAUCAGAACAUGAGGAUUUGUUAUUUUUGUUGCUAUUAAUGUGUGCAUCUUAUGAGUAGGAGCUCAACAGGUGUUUUGAUGUAUGCCAUUCCAUCUUUACAGAGGUGUAUGCCAUGUAUUUUGGUGAUCUCUGUGGUGACUAGCACAAGCAUGCAAACUAGGCUUCGUAAUGUUUCUGAUUUCAGGGACUUCGUAAUUUUACCAAGUCUGUGACUGCUGUUAUUGUGUUGCUAUGUAUCCAUGUGGCUACAGAGCGAUGCAUGCUUAUUUUGGGGAUGUUCAGUAAGAAUCUUUUGUAUAUAUAGUUGUGCCCUAUCAAUCCAUGCCUCUUUUUGCAAUUAUCGAGUGACAUAGCUUGACCCAAUCUUGCUCUACUUUUGCUCUAAAAUAUUUCUGGCAGAUUGUUUACGUGUUAUUCAAUUUUGCCAAGCUUGUUGUAGUUGAUCCAUGCAUGCUAUGAACUUGCUCUUGCCAUGGAUAGAUUUGCACACAUGCCAUCUUACUGUAGGUAUGCUUGUUUUGUCAUGCAUUGCUUUGUGGUGAGUUCAUCAAGCUCACAAAGAUGCCUUCAUAUUACUGUUUCUAUCAUAUUACUGUCAUCAAGCUCACCAAGUCUGUAACAUGUUAACGAAACUUGCUAUGUUUACAUGGUUGCCAUCAUAUCUUCUGGUCCUUUUUGGCUUAUGGUCAGUAAGGGACUUUUGUUAUAUGCAUUUAUUAGAAUACUGACAUGCCUUGUUUUGCCAUGUUAAGUUCCUAUAGCAUGUUGAUUGCUUGCUCUGAACAUUGCUACCUGAUGCUGUUUAUGCCAUGUCCAGUAAUUUCACCAAGUCUGUGAACAUGAUAUCUUUUGCACUUUUGCCAUGCCUGUUUGAACCUGCUGUGGUGUGAUCUAGCCGUAGCUCAUUGUUCAUCUUUUUUCAAGCACCUCCUGUAGAUUACUGCCAUAUGCUUUGCUGCUAUGUUGGGGUGCUGUGGCAUUGUUACUUGUUGCAUUCUAAGUGCUAUCAUGCUGUUAAUCGCAGAUUCGUGUCAUUCUUGUUUUGCUUGCCAUUUGCAAACCGUGCAUCCGUUUCCGGUGAUCUUUAUAUCGAUUUCAACCGAAAUCAUCUCAUCUUUCCAGUGGCAUGCUUGGUUUGUCAAUUUACUGCCUUGUUCAUCAUUUUUCUUCCGGAGCACGCAUAUGCAUCGCAUAUCAUAUCUUGCAUAUCAUUCAUGUAUUGCAUCAUGUUGCUUGUGCAUUUCCCGUGAUUGAUUGUGGUUCCAUUGCUUGUGUUCUUGUUUUAGGUAGAGCCGGGAGACGAGUUCGUGAAUGAGGAACCUGUUGAGUACGCUUACGAGGAUCAAGCUUUCGACAACUCUGAGAACCUUGCAGGCAAGAUGACCAUACCCUCGAAAUCACUUCUAUCUUUGCUUUGCUAGUUGUUCGCUCUUUGCCAUGCUGCGCUACCUACCACUUGCUAUAUCAUGCCUCCCAUAUUGCCAUGUCAAGCCUCUAACCAUCCUUUCCUAGCAAACCGUUGUUUGGCUAAGUUACCGCUUUUGCUCAGCCCUUCUUAUAUCGUUGCUAGUUGCAGGUGAAGUUGAAGGUGGUUCCAUCUUGGAACAUGGAUAUAUUGGGAUAUCACAAUAUCUCUUAUUUAAUUAAUGCAUCUAUAUAUUUGGUAAAGGGUGGAAGGCUCGGCCUUAUGCCUGGUGUUUUGUUCCACUCUUGCCGCCCUAGUUUCUGUCAUACCGGUAUUAUGUUCCUUGAGUUUGCGUUCCUUACGCGGUUGGGUGAUUUAUGGGACCCCCUUGACAGUUCGCCUUGAAUAAAACUCCUCCAGCAAGGCCCAACCUUGGUUUUACCAUUUUCCACCUAAGCCUUUUUCCCCCGGGUUUUCGCGAGCCUGAGGGUCAUCUUUAUUUAAACCCCCGGGCCAGUGUUCCUCUGAAUGCUAGUCCAACCUAGAGCACCGUGCGGGACCGUCCCUUGGCAACUUGGGUUAUGUUGGUACCUGUACGCUUCGCUUAUCCGGUGUGCCCUGAGAACGAGAUAUGUGCAGCUCCUAUCGGGAUUUGUCUGCACAUUCGGGCGGCUUUGCUGGUCUUGUUUUACCAUUGUCGAAAUGUCUUGUAAACCGGGAUUCCGAGACUGAUCGGGUCUUCCUGGGAGAAGGUUUAUCCUUCGUUGACCAUGAGAGCUUAUGAUGGGCUGUGUUGGGACACCCCUGUAGGGUAUUAUCUUUCGAAAGCCGUGCCCGCGGUUAUGAGGCAGAUGGGAAUUUGUUAAUGUCCGGUUGUAGAGAACUUGGCACUUGACCCAAUUAAAAUACAUCAUCUGUGUGUGUAACCGUGAUGGCCUCUUCUCGGCGGAGUCCGGGAAGUGAACACGGUUUGAGUUAUGCAUGAACGUAAGUAGUUUCAGGAUCACUUCUUGAUCAUGUCUAGCUUCGCGACCGUUGCGUUGCUUCUCUUCUCGCUCUCAUUUGCGUAUGUUAGCCACCAUAUAUGCUUAGUGCUUGCUGCAGCUCCACCUCAUUACACCAGCCUUUCCUAUAAGCUUAAAUAGUCUUGAUCUCGUGGGUGUGAGAUUGCUGAGUCCUCGUGACUCACAGAUUCUACCAAAACAGUUGCAGGUUCCGACGAUGCCAGUGCAGGUGACGCAACCGAGCUCAAGUGGGAGUUCGAUGAGGAACGUGGUCGUUACUAUGUGUCUUUUCCUGAUGAUCAGUAGUGGAGCCCAGUUGGGACGACCGGGGAUCUAGCAUUUGGGGUUAUCUUAUUUUCAUUUGGAUUUUGACCGUAGUCGGUCUAUGUGUGGUUUUUGGAUGAUGUAUGAAUUAUAUUUAUGUAUUGUGUGAAGUGGCGAUUGUAAGCCAACUCUCGUUAAACCAUUCUUGUUCAUUACAUGGGAUUGUGUGAAGAUGACCCUUCUUGCGACAAAACCACUAUGUGGUUAUGCCUCUAAGUCGUGCCUCGACACGUGGGAGAUAUAGCCGCAUUGUGGGCGUUAUAAGUUGGUAAUCAGAGCCAUCCCCGACUUAGGAGCCCCCUGCUUGAUCGAAUCGCUAGUGUUGUUGAGUCUAGAACAAAAAUGUUUUGAGUCUUAGGAUUAUAUAUAUCGGAGAGUAGGAUUCUUUUUACUCCUCAGUCCCUUCGUUGCUCUGGUGAGGCCUCCUGACGUAGAAGUUUUGACUCUUCUCUCCUCAAAUUUCACUAAAUUUUUUUAGGACCACGCGGGUAUCUUAGAAUCGUUCCGACAGUUUUGUGACGAGAACAUUGUUCUUGGUGCCUCCUGACAUUUAGGGGUUGUGGCAGUGUCCCGGGGAGUUGAGCUCUGAGGUGUUGUCGUCACAGUUUUAUCAUUGCAGUUCUGGAAUACCUGAGUUUCGCCGACAUCGAAAUCUCUUUUAUGCAGUUGUUGGUGAGAUCACCUCGACGCCACCCAGUACUGGGGCGGGAGUUCGGGAGUAUUGCCAUAACUCGUAUAACGGAUGCUUUUCGAAGGUUGAGGUACAUGAUUUCCGAAGGUUUCUUGGUUAUGUGUUGCCGGAUGGAUACAGCUGGAUCUAGGGAUUGCUAGUUUGGGUGAUAUAUUUUGUGUCCCCUGUAUCCCCAACACCAGAUUGCAUAACCAGAAAGUUUCGGGAGUUUAUAGGUGGGAUUCAUGUAGCUCUUAGCAUUUCUUCCCGUAGAUAUUUGGUUCGUGAUUGAGUAAUCCUUACCAUUUAUUUGUUCCACUUGUACCUUUUUAUUUUAUUCAUCAAUCUCUUAUCAAGUGGCUUCUCACCUUAACGGAAGUGUGAUGAUUUACUAUGGAAUUCAUUCAUUCAUCCUCGUUCGAAUGUUUAUUGUGAAGACUAUAUGUUGCAAUUUCUAUCCGUUGAUUCAAUUUGACUAUUUGUCUAUCAAGAUGCUAAUGGAUGUCACCCUCUUCAGGAUGGCUCCGCCAACGCGUCAGAAUCUGGAACGCAAUGAAGGGAGUCAGGCAAACCCUCCGCCAUCACCUCCGCCUCCGGAGGCAUGGCAAGCUAUCAUGGCAGCCACCAACGCCAAUGCUCAGAUGAUUCUGCAACUCUUGCAAGAACACACCCAAGGGCAAGGUAAUCAAGGAAAUCAAGGUCAAGGCAACAAUCAGCCUCACUUCGCUACCCUCAACCAGUUUCUUGCAAAUCAGCCCAAGUCUUUCAGCUACUGUGCCGAGGCCACGGAUGCCGAUGAUUGGCUCGUGGAGAUCAACAAGCAUUUUGAAUGUAGCAAUGUCAAGCCCGAGGACUUUGUCAAGUUCGCUUCUUUUCAACUCAAGGAUCAAGCUGCCGAGUGGUAUCAACAAUACAAAGAUUCCAGAGGAGGUCGUGUGAUUACCUGGGAUGAUUUCCGCCAAGACUUCAAAGCUCACCACAUUCCACAAAGUGUUGCUGAGAGCAAGCGUGAGGAGUUCCGCAAUCUCAAGCAAGGCGGCAUGUCCGUGUAUCAAUACAAUACUCACUUUCAGAAACUCGCUCGCUUCACUAAGCAAGAUGUUCCUGAUGAAAAGAGCAUGAUCUAUCAAUUCAGAGGUGGCCUCAGAGAAGAUUUGCAAUUACCUCUCGUGCUUUUUGAGCCGACCAAGUAUGAUGAUUUCUACAAUAUUGCACUAAAGCAAGAGGCUGCUCAGCUCAAGUGUGUGGCUUCUAAGAAGAGAGUCAGGGACGCAGUUCGGUCUUCUUCUUCCUCACUAGUGGCUGGUAAGCAACAGAAGUUCUGGUUGCCUCCUCCUCCUCUGUUUCGUCAGCCUUACCAGUAGAAGAACAAAGGUGACCAUGGAUCUUCCCACUCACCCAACCCUGGCUAUCAGAACAAGUCUCAGAAUCAAGCUACAAAGUCGAAUGCUCCUUAUCAUCGUCCACUCUUAGAGGUGACUUGCAACAAGUGUCAGCAGAAAGGUCACUAUGCUAACAAGUGCUUCAACCAAAGGCGCCUUCCGCCUCCUCCUCCUGUGAGAUCUUCCAGGAAUGCAGUGGUCAAGCAUAAUCCCAAGUCUGCUAAGGUGAACAUGAUGAAUGCAGCUCAAGCAGAGGAAUCUACUGAUGUGAUAAUGGGUAAUCUCUCAGUUAAUGAUAUUCCUGCAAAAGUUCUUUUUGAUACUGGUGCAUCGCUUUGUUUCAUGUCAAGAUUGUUCUUCACAAAGAAUGAUUUUACUUGGUCUUAUCUGGAUAAACCAUUGGGUGUUGUUUCUCCGAGGAAGUCAAUGAGAGCCAACUCGAUAGUUCCGGAUGUUUCCAUCAAGAUGGGCAACUAUAAAUUUCUGUCUUCUCCAAUUGUUCUUGGUGACUCGGAUAUUGAUCUUAUUCUCGUGAUGGACUGGCUUUCUAAGCACAAGUCUCAACUUGAUUGUGCUGCCAGGGAAAUUCAAUUGACACACUCUUCUGAGGAUGUGAUUAUCUAUGCCGCUCGUGAUGAAACCAUUCGGUUGUUUUCUCUCAAUGAGAAGGGCGAAUUGUAUGCCAUCUCUCAGAUUCCAGUCGUUUGUGAGUAUCAAGAUGUCUUUCCAGAAGAGCUUCCGGGUAUGCCUCCUCACCGGCCAGUUGAGUUCGUUAUCGAUCUUGAGCCCGGCACUGAACCCAUUUGCAAGCGUCCUUACAAGCUUGGACCCAAGGAGCUGAAGGAAUUGAAGAAACAGCUCGAUGAACAAGAGCGUCUGGGUUUGAUCAGACUGAGUUCUUCUCCAUGGGGUUGUGGUGUUCUUUUUGUCUAGAAGAAGGAUGGCACAGACCGACUUUGUGUCGACUACCGUCCAUUGAACAAGAAGACAAUCAAGAACAAGUAUCCACUUCCCAACAUCAAUGAGCUAUUGGAGCAACUCAAAGGUGCUAAAGUAUUCUCCAAGCUUGACCUUCGUAUGGGUUAUCAUCAGAUUCGCAUUCGUGAACAAGAUAUUCCCAAGACAGCAUUCAGAACAAGCUUUGGUUCUUAUGAAUAUACUGUCAUGUCUUUCAGCCUUGUCAAUGCUCCUCGAACAUUCUCUCGGAUGAUGAAUUUCAUCUUCAACCCCUAUACCAAUGAAUUCGUCCUUGUGUAUCUCGAUGAUAUCUUGGUCUUCUCUAAGAAUAAGAAGGAUCAUGCCGAACAUUUGCGAUUGGUGCUCGACAAGCUCAGAGAGUAUCGAUUUUAUGCGAAGUUUUCCAAAUGUGAGUUUUGGCUCGAUGAAGUUCUUUACCUUGGUCACAUCAUCUCUGCCAAGGGCAUCGCUGUUAAUCCCGAGAAGGUGACUGCAAUUGUGAAUUGGGAACCUCCUCAGAAUGUCAAGCAGCUCCGCAGUUUUCUUGGUCUUGCAAGCUAUUGCCGAAGAUUCGUUGAGAAUUUCUCUAAGAUUGCAAAGCCUCUUUCCAACCUCCUCCAGAAGCAUGUGAAGUAUGUCUGGUCUCCUGAGUGUGACGUUGCUUUCAACACUCUCAAAGAGAAACUUGUCACAACUCCUGUCUUAUCUCCUCCUGACGAUCCAAGCCAUUCGAAGUUUUCUGUAAUGCUUCUCUUCAAGGUCUCGGUGCUGUGUUAGUGCAAGAGAAGAAAGUUGUGGCCUAUACCUCUCGUCAGUUGAAGCCCAAUGAAAAGAACUACCCCACUCACGAUCUUGAGUUGGCGGCAGUUGUCCAUGCAUUAAUAACGUGGAGACAUCUCUUGCUGGGAAGAAAAGUGGACAUAUUCACCGAUCACAAGACUCUCAAGUACAUCUUCACUCAGCUCAACCUCAACCUCAGGCAAACUCGAUGGGUCGAAAUGAUUCAAGAGUACAAUCCGAGUAUUGAAUAUACUCCAGGCAAAGCCAAUGUCAUUGCAGAUGCUUUAAGCAGGAAGGCUUAUUGCAACAGCUUAAUUCUCAAGCCAUUCCAACCGGAUCUUUGUGAAAGAGUUAGUUAUAUGGGUACAAGAUGCCAUAUAUGGGUACCUAACUUGGAAAAAUUCUGUGAGCAGCAUGUUUUAAGCAUGGAUUGGGUAGCAAUAAGUUAUUUUUGAUGAGCCAAGAAAGAGUUAGUUAUCGAGUAGUUUAUGCAUGUCAUUUGUUUUCGAGUCGUGUUUGGUCGGUUUUAGGGCAAAUUCUAUACAAGACGUCAUAUAUGUGUACCUAAGUUGGAAAAAUUCGUUGAACGGCAUUUUCUAAGCAUGGAUUGGACAGUAAAAAGUUAUUUUGGACGAGCCACUAAAGAGGUAGUUAUCAAGGAGUUUCUGCGUGUCAUUUUCUUUCGAGUCGCGCUUGGUCGGUUUUAGGGCAAAUUCUGUAACAGAUGCCAUAAAUGGGUCCCUAACUUGGAAAAAUUUGUUGAACGGCAUUUUCUAUGCAUGGAUUGGGCAGUAAAAAGUUAUUUUGGACGAGCCACUAAAAGGUAGUUAUCAAGGAGUUUCUGCGUGUCCUUUGCUUUCGAGUCGCGUUUGGUCGGUUUUAGGGCAAAUUCUGAAACAGAUGCCAUAUAUGGGUACCUAACUUGGAAAAUUUCUGUGAACGGCAUUUUUUAAGCAUGGUUUGGGCAGCAAAAAGUUAUUUUGGACGAGCCAUGCAAGAGGUAUUUAUCAAGGGGUUUUUGCGUGUCCUUUGUUUUCGAGUCGCGUUUGGUCGAUUUUAGGGCAAUUUCUGUAAAAGAUGUUAUGUCUGGUUACCUAACUUGCAAAAUUUCUGGGAACGGCAUUUUUUAAGCAUGGAUUGGGUAGUAAAAGUUAUUUUGGACGAGCCUUGAAAGAGGUAGUUAUCGAGGAGUUUUUUCGUCUCCUUUGUUUUUGAGUCGCGGUUGGUCGGUUCAAGGGCAAAUUCUGUACAAGAUGUCAUAUAUGGGUACCUAACUUGGAAAAAUUCUAUGAACGGCAUUUUUUAAGCAUGGAUUGGGUAGCAAAAAGUUAUGUUGGACGAGCUAGUAAAGAGGUAGUUAUCGAGGAGUUUUUGUGUGUCCUUUGUUUUCGAGUCGCGUUUGGUCGGUUUUAGAGCAAAAUCUGUACAAGAUGUCAUAUAUGGGUACGUAACUUGGAAAUAUUCUGUGAUUGACAUUUUUUAAGCAUGGAUUUGGGUAGCAAAAAGUUAUUUUGGACGCGGCACUAAAGAGGUAGUUAUCGAUGAGUUUUUGCAUGUCAUUUGUUUUCGAGUCGCGUUUGGUCGGUUUUAAGGCAAAUUCUGUACAAGAUGUCAUAUAUGGGUACCUAACUUGGAAAAUUCUAUGACCUUCAUUUUUAAGCAUGGAUUUGGUAGGCAAAAGUUAUUUUGGACGAGCCAUGAAAGAGGUAUUUAUUAAGGAGUUUUUGCGUGUCUUUGUUUCGAGUCGCGUUUGGUCGGUUUUAGGGAAAAUUCUGGACAAGCUGUCAUAUAUGGGUACCUAACUUGGAAAAUUCUGUGAUCAGCAUAUUUUAAGCAUGGAUUGGGUAGCAAUAAGUUAUUUUGGAUGAGGCAAGAAACAGGUAGUUGUCGAGUAGUUUUUGCGUGUCAUUUGUUUUCGAGUCGUGUUUGGUCGGUUUUAAGGUAAAUUCUGUACAAGACGUCAUAUAUGGGUACCUAACAUGGAAAAAUUCUGUGAACGACAUUUUUUAAGCAUGGAUUGGGUAACAAAAACUUAUUUUGGACGAGCCACGAAAGAGGUAGUUAUCGAGGAGUUUUUGCGUGUCCUUUGUUUUUGAGUCGUGUUUGGUCGGUUUUAGGGCAAAUUCUGUUGAUUUCGAAAUUGUCCAGAGUUUUAUAUGUUGUUUUCAUUGCAAAAUGAUGGGUCUCCUUCCAUAACUUUCCAAUUACGAGUACGAGAAUUGAAAGACAUGAAAAUUCUCAAUUCUCCAAGAUGUCAUAUAUGGGUACCUAACUUGGAAAUAUUCUGUGCAUGGCAUUUUUUAAGCAAGGGUUGGGUACUAAAAAGUUAUUUUGGGCAAGCCACGAAAGAGGUAGUUAUCGAGGAGUUUCUGCGUGUCCUUUGUUUCCGAGUCGCGAUUGGUCGAUUUUAGGGCAAAUUCUGUAACAGAUGUCAUAUAUGGGUACCUACCUUGGGAAUUUUCUGCGAACGGCAUUUUUUAAGAAUGGAAUGGGUUGCAAAAAGUUAUUUUGGACGAGCCACAAAAGAGGUAGCUAUCGAUGAGUUUCUGCAUGUCCUUUGUUUUCGAGUCACGUUUGGUCGGUUUUAAGGCAAAUUCUAUAAGAGAUGCCAUAUAUGGGCACCUAACUUGGAAAAAUUCUGUGCACGACAUUUUUUAAGGAUGGAUUGGGUAAUAAAAAGUUAUGUUGGACGAGCCACGAAAGAGGUAGUUAUCGAGGAGUUUUUGCGUGUCCUUUGUUGUUGAGUCUCGUUUGAUCGGUUUUAGGGCAAAUUCUGUACAAGAUGUCAUAUAUGGGUACCUAACUAGGAAAAAUUCGUUGAACGGCAUUUUCUAAGCAUGAAUUGGGCAGUAAAAAGUUAUUUUGGAUGAGCCACUAAAGAGGUACUUAUCAAGGAGUUUCUGCUUUUGAGUCGCGCUUGGUCGGUAUUAGGGCAAAUUCUUUAACAGAUGUCAUAUAUGGGUACCUAACUUGGAAAAAUUCUAUGAACAACAUUUUUUAAGCAUGGAUUGGGUAGCAAAAAGUUAUGUUGGACGAGCCAGUAAAGAGGUAGUUAUCGAGGAGUUUUUGUGUGUCCUUUGUUUUCGACUCGCGUUUGGUCGGUUUUAGGGCAAAUUCUGUACAAGAUGUCAUACAUGGGUACCUAACUUGGAAAAAUUCUGUGAAUGACAUUUCUUAACCAUGGAUUGGGUAGCAUAGAUUUAUUUUGGACGAGCCACUAAAGAGGUAGUUAUUGAGGAGUUUUUCAUGUCAUUUGUUUUCGAGUCGCGUUUGGUCAGUUUUAGGGCAAAUUUUGUACAAGAUGUCAUAUAUGGGUACCUAACUUGGAAAAUUCUAUGACCUUCAGUUUUAAGCAUGGAUUGGGUAGGCAAAAGUGAUUUUGGACGAGCCACGAAAGAGGUAGUUAUUAAGGAGUUUUUGCGUGUCCUUUGUUUCGAGUCACGUUUGAUCGGUUUUAGGGCAAAUUCUGUACAACAUGUCAUGUGUGGGCACCUAACUUGGAAAAAUUCUAUGAACGACAUUUUUUACGGAUGGAUUGGGUAGCAAAAAGUUAUGUUGGACGAGCCACGAAAGAGGUAGUUAUCGAGGAAUUUUUUUGUGUCCUUUGUUUUUGAGUCUCGUUUGGUCGGUUUUAGGCAAAUUCUGGACAAGCUAUCAUAUAUGGGUACAUAACUUGGAAAAAUUCUGUGAGCAACAUUUUUUAAGCAUGGAUUGGGUAGCAAUACGUUAUUUUGUAUGAGCCAAGAAAGAGGUAGUUAUCGAGUAGUUUUUGCAUGUCAUUUGUUUUCGAGUCGCGUUUGGUCAGUUUUAGGGCAAAUUCUAUACAAGACGUCAUAUAUGGAUACCUAACGUGGAAAAAUUAUGUAAACGACAUUUUUUAAGCAUGGAUUGGGUAGCUAAAAGUUUUUUUUGGACGAGCCAUGAAAGAGGUAUUUAUCGAGGAGUUUUUGCGUGUCCUUUGUUUUCGAGUCGCGUUUGGUCGGUUUUAGGGCAAAUUCUAGACAAGCUGUCAUAUAUGGGUACCUAACUUGGAAAAAUUCUGUGAGUAGCAUUAAGCAUGGAUUGGGUAGCAAUAAGUUAUUUUGGACGAGCGAAGAAAGAGGUAGUCAUCGAGGAGUUUUUGCGUGUCCUUUGUUUUUUGAGUCGCGUUUGGUCGGUUUUAGGGCAAAUUCCGUACAAGAUGUAAUAUAUGGGUACCUAAAUUGGAAAUUAUGUACAAGACGUCAUAUAUGGGUACCUAACAUGGAAAAAUUCUGGGAACGACAUUUUUAAGCAUCGAUUGGGUAGCAAAAAGUUAUAUUGGACAAGCCACGAAAGAGGUAGUUAUCGAGGAGUUUUUCCGUGUCCUUUGUUUCCGAGUCGCGUUUGGUAGGUUUUAGGGCAAAUUCUAUAACAGAUGCGAUAUAUGGGUACCUAACUUGGAAAAUUUCUGUGAACGACAUUUUUUAAGCAUGGAUUGGGCAGCAAAAAGUUAUUUUUGAUGAGACACAAAAGAGGUAUUUAUCGAUGAGUUUUUCCGUGUCCUUUGUUUUCGAGUCAGGUUUGGUCGCUUUUAGGGCAAAUUCUGGACAACCUGUCAUAUAUGGGUACCUGACUUGGAAAAAUUCUAUGAGCAGCAUUUUUUAAGCAUGGGGUAGCAAUAAGUUAUUUUGGACGAGGCAAGAAAGAGGUAGUUAUCGAGUAGUUUUUGCGUGUCCUUUAUUUUCGAGUCGCGUUUGGUCGGUUUUAGGGCAAAUUUUGUACAAGACAUCAUAUAUGGGUACCUAACGUGGAAAAAUUAUGUAAAUGACAUUUUCUAAGCAUGGAUUGGGUAGCAAAAAGUUAUUUUGGAUGAGCCAUGAAAGAGGUAUUUAUCGAGGAUUUUUUGCGUGUCCUUUGUUUUCGAGUCGCGUUUGGUCGGUUUUAGGGCAAAUUAUGCACAAGUUUUCAUAUAUGGGUACCUAACUUGGAAAAUUUCCGUGAGUAGCAUUUGUUAAGCAUGGAUUCGGUAGUAAUAAGUUAUUUUGGACGAUCCAAGAAAGAGGUAGUUAUCGUGGAGUUUUUGCGUGUCCUUUGUUUUUGAGUCACGUUUGGUCGGUUUUAGGGCAAAUUCUGUACAAGAUGUAAUAUAUGGGUACCUAACUUGGAAAAAUUAUGUGAAUGGAAUUUUUUAAGCAUGGAUUGGAUAGCAAAAAGUUAUUUUGGACGAGCCAUGAAAGAGGUAUUUAUCGAGGAAUUUUUGCAUGUCCUUUGUUUUCGAGUCGCAUUUGGUCGGUUUUAGGGCAAAUUCUGGACAAGCUGUCAUAUAUGGAUACCUAACUUGGAAAAAUUCUGUGACCAGCAUUUUUUAAGCAUGGAUUAUGUAGCAAUAAGUUAUUUUGGAUGAUCCAAGAAAGAGGUAGUUAUCGAGUAGUUUUUCCGUGUCCUUUGUUUUUGAGUCGCGGUUGGUCGGUUUUAGGGCAAAUUCUGUACAAGACGUCAUAUAUGGGUACCUAACAUGGAAAAUUUCUGUGCACGAAAUUUUUUAAGCAUGGAUUGGGUAGCAAAAAUUUAUUUUGGACGAGCCACGAAACAGGUAGUUAUCGCGGAAUUUUUCCAUGUCCUUUGUUUUUGAGUCGCGUUUGGUCGGUUUUAGGGUAAAUUUUGUACAAGAUGUCAUAUAUGGGUACCUAACUUGGAAAUAUUAUGUGAAUGACAUUUUUAAGCAUGGAUUGGUUAGCAAUAAGUUAUUUUGGGCAAGCCACCAAAGAGGUAAUUAUUGAGGAGUUUCUGUAUGUCGCGUUUGGUUGGUUUUAGGGAAAAUUCUGUAAUUGAUGUCAUAUAUGGUACCUACCUUGGAAAUUUUCUGCAAAUGACAUUCUUUUAAGCAUGGACUUGGUAGCUAAAUUUAUUUUGGACGAGCCACAAAAGAGGUAGUUAUCGAGGAGUUUCUGCGUGUCCUUUGUUUUCGAGUCGCAUUUGGUCGGUAUUAGGGCAAAUUCUAUAACCGAUGCCAUAUAUGGUACCUAACUUGGAAAAUUUCUGUGAACGGCAUUUUUUAUGCAUGGAUUGGACAGCAAACAGUUAUUUCGGAUGAGCCACGAAAGAGGUAUUUAUCGAGGAGUUUUUGCGUGUCCUUUGUUUUCGAGUUGCGUUUGGUCGGUUUUAGGGUAAAUUAUGUACAAGAGGUCAUCUAUGGUUACCUAACUUGGAAAAUUUCUAUGAACAGAGUGUUUUAUGAAUGGAUUGGGUAGCUAAAAGUUAUUUUGGACGAGCCAAGAAAGAGGUAGUUAUAGAGGAGGUUUUGCGUGUCCUUUCUUUUUGAGUCGCGUUUGGUUUGUUCAAGGGCAAAUUCUGUACAAGAUGUCAUAUAUGGGUACCUAACUUAGAAAAAUUCUGUGAACGACAUUUUUUAAGCAUGGACUGGGUAGCAAAAAGUUAUGUUGGACGAGCCACUAAAGAGGUAGUUAUCGAGGAGUUUUUGCGUGUCCUUUGUUUUCGAGUCGCGUUUGGUCGGUUUUAGGGCAAAUUCUGUACAACAUGUCAUAUAUGGGUACCAAACUUUGGAAAAAUUCUGUGAAUGGCCUUUUUGAAGCAUGGAUUGGGUAGCAAAAGGUUAUUUUGGAAGAGCCACGUAAGAGGUAGUUAUCGAGGAGUUUUUGCAUGUCAUUUGUUUUCGAGUCGCGUUUGGUCGGUUUUAGGGCAAAUUCUGUACAACAUGUCAUAUAUGGGUUGGGUUAUAAAAAGUUAUGUUGGACGAGCCACGAAAGAGUUAGUUAUCGCGGAGUUUUUGCGUGUCCUUUGUUUUUGAGUCGCAUUUGGUAGGUUUAAGGGAAAAUUAUGCACAAGAUGUCAUAUAUGGGUACCUAACUUGGAAAAAUUAUGUAAACGGCAUUUUUUAAGCAUGGAUUGGGUAGCAAAAAGUUAUUUUGGACGAGCCAUAGAAGAGAUAUUUAUCCAGGAGUUUUUGCGUGUCCUUUGUUUUCGAGUCGCAUUUGGUUGGUUUUAGGGCAAAUUCUGGACAAGCUGUGAUAUAUGGGUACCUAACUUGGAAAAAUUCUGUGACCAGCAUUUUUUAAGCAUGGCUUAUGUAGCAAUAAUUUAUUUUGGAUGAGCCAAGAAAGAGGUAGUUAUCGAGUAGUUUUUCCGUGUCCUUUGUUUUUGAGUCUCGUUUGGUCGGUUUUAGGGCAAAUUCUGUACAAGACGUCAUAUAUGGAUACCUAACAUGGAAAAAUUCUGUGAACGAAAUUUUUUAAGCAUGGAUUGGGUAGCAAAAAGUUAUUUUGGACAAGCCACGAAAGAGGUAGUUAUGGAGGAAUUUUUGCGUGUCCUUUGUUUUUGAGUCGCGUUUCGUCGGUUUUAGGAUAAAUUCUGUACAAGAUGUCAUAUAUGGGUACCAAACUUGGAAAUAUUCUGUGGACGACAUUUUUAAGCAUGGAUUGGGUAGCAAAAAGUUAUUUUGGGCAAGCCGCCAAAGAGGUAAUUAUCGAGGAGUUUCUGCGUGUCCUUUCUUUCAGAGUCGUGUUUGGUCGGUUUUAGGGCAAAUUCUAUAACAGAUGUCAUAUAUGGUACCUACCUUGGAAAUUUUCUGCGAACGGCAUUUUUUUAAGCAUGGAUUUGGUUGCAAAAUUUAUUUUGGACGAGCCACAAAAGAGGUAGUUAUCGAGGAGUUUCUGCGUGUCCUUUGUUUUCGAGUCGCGUUUGGUCGGUUUUAGGGCAAAUUCUAUAACAGAUGCCAUAUAUGGUAGCUAACUUGGAAAAUUUCUGUGAACGACAUUUUUUAAGCAUGGAUUGGGCAGCAAAAAGUUAUUUUGGACAUGCCACGAAAGAGGUAUUUAUCGAGGAGUUUUUGCGUGUCCUUUGUUUUUGAGUCGCGUUUGGUCGGUUUUAGGGUAAAUUCUGUACAAGAUCUCAUGUAUGGUUACUUAACUUGGAAAAUUUCUAUGAACGGAAUUUUUUAAGAAUGGAUUGGGUAGCUAAAGUUCUUUUGGACGAGCCAAGAAAGAGGUAGUUAUAGAGGAGGUUUUGCAUGUCCUUUGUAUUCGAGUCGCGUUUGGUUGGUUCAAGGGCAAAUUCUGUACAAGAUGUCAUAUAUGGGUACCUAACUUGGAAAAAUUCCGUGAACGACAUUUGUUAAGCAUGGAUUGGGUAGCAAAAAGUAAUGUUGGACGAGCCAUUAAAGAGGUAGUUAUCGACGAGUUUUUGCGUGUCCUUUGUUUUCGAGUGGCGUUUGGUCGGUUUUAGCGCAAAUUCUGUACAACAUGUCAUAUAUGUGUACCUAACUUUGGAAUAAUUCUGUGAAUGGCAUUUUUUAAGCAUGGAUUGGGUAGAAAAAAGUUAUUUUGGAAGAGCCACGAAAGAGGUAGUUAUAGAGGAGUUUUUGCAUGUCAUUUGUUUUUGAGUCGCGUUUGGUCGGUUUUAGGGAAAAUUCUGUACAACAUGUCAUAUAUGGGUACCGAACUUUGGAAAAAUUCUGUGAAUGGCAUUUUUUAAGCAUGGAUGGGGUAGCAAAAAGUUAUUUUGGAAGAGCCACGAAAGAGGUUGUUAUCGAGGAGUUUUUUCAUGUCAUUUGUUUUCGAGUCGCGUUUGGUCGGUUUUAGGGCAAAUUCUGUAAAACAUGUCAUAUAUGGGUUGGGUUAUAAAAAGUUAUGUUGGACAAGGCACGAAAGAGUUAGUUAUCGCGGAGUUUUUGCGUGUCCUUUGUUUUUGACUCGCAUUUGGUAGGUUUAAGGGCAAAUUAUGCACAAGAUGUCAUAUAUGGGUACCUAACUUGGAAAAUAUAUGUAAACGGCAUUUUUUAAGAGUGGAUUGGGUAGCAAAAAGUUAUUUUGGACGAGCCAUAAAAGAGAUAUUUAUCCAGGAGUUUUUUCUUGUCCUUUGUUUUCGAGUCGCAUUUGGUUGGUUUUAGGGCAAAUUUUGGACAAGCUGUGAUAUAUGGGUACCUAACUUGGAAAAAUUCUGUGACCAGCAUUUUUUAAGCAUGGAUUAGGUAGCAAUAAGUUAUUUUGGAUGAGCCAAGACAGAGGUAGUUAUCGAGUAGUUUUUCCGUGUCCUUUGUUUUUGAGUCGCGUUUGGUCGGUUUUAGGGCAAAUUCUGUACAAGACGUCAUAUAUGGAUACCUAACAUGGAAAAAUUCUGUGAACGAAAUUUUUUAAGCAUGGAUUGGGUAGCAAAAAGUUAUUUUGGAAAAGCCACGAAAGAGGUAGUUAUGGAGGAAUUUUUGCGUGUCCUUUGUUUUUGAUUCGCGUUUCGUCGGUUUUAGGGUAAAUUCUGUACAAGAUGUCAUAUAUGGGUACCAAACUUGGAAAUAUUCUGUGGACGACAUUUUUAAGCAUGGAUUGGGUAGCAAAAAGUUAUUUUGGGCAAGCCGCCAAAGAGGUAAUUAUCGAGGAGUUUCUGCGUGUCCUUUCUUUCCGAGUCGUGUUUGGUCGGUUUUAGGGCAAAUUCUAUAAGAGAUGUCAUAUAUGGUACCUACCUUGGAAAUUUUCUGCGAACGGCAUUUUUUAAGCAUGGAUUUGGUAGCAAAAUUUAUUUUGGACGAGCCACAAAAGAGGUAGUUAUCGACGAGUUUCUGCGUGUCCUUUGUUUUCGAGUCGCGUUUGGUCGGUUUUAGGGCAAAUUCUAUAACAGAUGCCAUAUAUGGUAGCUAACUUGGAAAAUUUCUGUGAACGACAUUUUUUAAGCAUGGAUUGGGCAGCAAAAAGUUAUUUUGGACGUGCCACGAAAGAGGUAUUUAUCGAGGAGUUUUUGCGUGUCCUUUGUUUUUGAGUCGCGUUUGGUCGGUUUUAGGGUAAAUUCUGUACAAGAUGUCAUGUAUGGUUACUUAACAUGGAAAAUUUCUAUGAACGGAAUUUUUUAAGAAUGGAUUGGGUAGCUAAAGUUAUUUUGGACGAGCCAAGAAAGAGGUAGUUAUAGAGGAGGUUUUGCGUGUUCUUUGUUUUCGAGUCGCGUUUGGUUGGUUCAAGGGCAAAUUCUGUACAAGAUGUCAUAUAUGGGUACCUAACUUGGAAAAAUUCUGUGAACGGCAUUUGUUAAGCAUGGAUUGGGUAGCAAAAAGUAAUGUUGGACGAGCCAUUAAAGAGGUAGUUAUCGACGAGUUUUUGCGUGUCCUUUGUUUUCGAGUGGCGUUUGGUCGGUUUUAGCGCAAAUUCUGUACAACAUGUCAUAUAUGUGUACCUAACUUUGGAAUAAUUCUGUGAAUGGCAUUUUAUAAGCAUGGAUUGGGUAGAAAAAAGUUAUUUUGGAAGAGCCACGAAAGAGGUAGUUAUAGAGGAGUUUUUGCAUGUCAUUUGUUUUUGAGUCGCGUUUGGUCGGUUUUAGGGAAAAUUCUGUACAACAUGUCAUAUAUGGUACCGAACUUUGGAAAAUUUCUGUGAAUGGCAUUUUUUAAGCAUGGAUGGGGUAGCAAAAAGUUAUUUUGGAAGAGCCACGAAAGAGGUUGUUAUCGAGGAGUUUUUGAAUGUCAUUUGUUUUCGAGUCGCGUUUGGUCGGUUUUAGGGCAAAUUCUGUACAACAUGUCAUAUAUGGGUUGGGUUAUAAAAAGUUAUGUUGGACAAGGCACGAAAGAGUUAGCUAUCGCGGAGUUUUUGCGUGUCCUUUGUUUUUGACUCGCAUUUGGUAGGUUUAAGGGCAAAUUAUGCACAAGAUGUCAUAUAUGGGUACCUAACUUGGAAAAUAUAUGUAAACGGCAUUUUUUAAGCAUGGAUUGGGUAGCAAAAAGUUAUUUUGGACGAGCCAUAAAAGAGAUAUUUAUCCAGGAGUUUUUUCUUGUCCUUUGUUUUCGAGUCGCAUUUGGUUGGUUUUAGGGCAAAUUCUGGACAAGCUGUGAUAUAUGGGUACCUAACUUGGAAAAAUUCUAUGACCAGCAUUUUUUAAGCAUGGAUUAGGUAGCAAUAAGUUAUUUUGGAUGAGCCAAGACAGAGGUAGUUAUCGAGUAGUUUUUCCAUCUCCUUUGUUUUUGAGUCGCGUUUGGUCGGUUUUAGGGAAAAUUCUGUACAAGACGUCAUAUAUGGAUACCUAACAUGGAAAAAUUCUGUGCACGAAAUUUUUUAAGCAUGGAUUGGGUAGCAAAAAGUUAUUUUGGACAAGCGACGAAAGAGGUAGUUAUGGAGGAAUUUUUGCGUGUCCUUUGUUUUUGAGUCGCGUUUCGUCGGUUUUAGGGUAUAUUUUGUACAAGAUGUCAUAUAUGGGUACCAAACUUGGAAAUAUUCUGUGGACGACAUUUUUAAGCAUGGAUUGGGUAGCAAAAAGUUAUUUUGGGCAAGCCGCCAAAGAGGUAAUUAUCGAGGAGUUUCUGCGUGUCCUUUCUUUCCGAGUCGUGUUUGGUCGGUUUUAGGGCAAAUUCUAUAACAGAUGUCAUAUAUGGUACCUACCUUGGAAAUUUUCUGCGAACUGCAUUUUUUUAAGCAUGGAUUUGGUAGAAAAAUUUAUUUUGGACGAGCCACAAAAGAGGUAGUUAUCGAGGAGUUUAUGCGUGUCCUUUCUUUUCGAGUCACGUUUGGUCGGUUUUAGGGCAAAUUCUAUAACAGAUGCCAUAUAUGGUAGCUAACUUGGAAAAUUUCUGUGAACGACAUUUUUUAAGCAUGGAUUGGGCAGCAAAAAGUUAUUUUGGACGUGCCACGAAAGAGGUAUUUAUCGAGGAGUUUUUGCGUGUCCUUUGUUUUUUAGUCGCGUUUGGUCGGUUUUAGGGUAAAUUCUGUACAAGGUGUCAUGUAUGGUUACCUAACUUGGAAACUAUCUAUGAACGGAAUUUUUUAAGAAUGGAUUGGGUAGCUAAAGUUAUUUUGGACAAGCCAAAAAAGAGGUAGUUAUAGAGGAGGUUUUGCGUGUCCUUUGUUUUCGAGUCGCGUUUGGUUGGUUCAAGGGCAAAUUCUGUACAAGAUGUCAUAUAUGGGUACCUAACUUGGAAAAAUUUUGUGAACAACAUUUGUUAAGCAUGGAUUGGGUAGCAAAAAGUAAUGUUGGACGAGCCACUAAAGAGGUAGUUAUCGAGGAGUUUUUGCGUGUCCUUUGUUUUCGAGUGGCGUUUGGUCGGUUUUAGCGCAAAUUCUGUACAACAUGUCAUAUAUGUGUACCUAACUUUGGAAUAAUUCUGUGAAUGGCAUUUUUUAAGCAUGGAUUGGGUAGAAAAAAGUUAUUUUGGAAGAGCCACGAAAGAGGUAGUUAUCGAGGAGUUUUUGCAUGUCAUUUGUUUUUGAGUCGCGUUUGGUCUGUUUUAGGGAAAAUUCUGUACAAGAUGUCAUAUAUGGGUACCGAACUUGGAAAAGUUCUAUGAUCGUCUUUUUAAGCAUGGAUUGGGUAGCCAAAAGUUAUUUUGGACGAGCCACAAAAGAGAUAUUUAUCGAGGAGUUUUUGCGUGUCAUUUGUUGUCGAGUCGCGUUUGGUCGGUUUUAGGGUAAAUUCUGUACAAGAUGUCAUGUAUGGUUACCUAACUUGGAAAAUUUCUAUGAACGGAAUUUUUUAAGAAUGGAUUGGGUAGCUAAAAGUUAUUUUGGAUGAGCCAACGAAGAGGUAGUUAUAGAGGAGGUUUUGCGUGUCCUUUGUUUUCGAGUCGCGUUUGGUUGGUUCAAGGGCAAAUUUUGUACAAGAUGUCAUAUAUGGGUACCUACUUGGAAAAAUUCUGUCAAUGACAUUUUUUAAGCAUAGACUGGGUAGCAAAAAGUUAUGUUGGAUGAGCCACUAAAGAUGUAGUUAUCGAGGAGUUUUUGCGUGUCCUUUGUUUUCGAGUCGCGUUUGGUCGGUUUUAGGGCAAAUUCUGUACAACAUGUCAUAUAUGGCUACCUAAAUUUGGAAAAAUUCUGUGAAUGACAUUUUUUAAGCAUGGAUUGGGUAGCAAAAAGUUAUUUUGGAAGAGCCACGAAAGAGGUAGUUAUCGAGUUACGUUAGGUCGAUUUUAGGGCAAAUUCUGUACAAGAUGUCAUAUAUGGGUACCUAACUUGGAAAAAUUCUAUGACCGGCUUUUUAAGCAUGGAUUGGGUAGCCAAAAGUUAUUUUGGACGAGCCAUGAAAGAGAUAGUCAUGAAAGAGUUUUUGCGUAUCCUUUGUUUAGAUUCGCGUUUGGUCGGUUUUAGGGCAAAUUUUGUACAACAUGUCAUAUAUGGGUACCUAACUUGGAAACAUUCGGUGAACGACAUUUUAUAAGGAUGGAUUGGGUUGCAAAAAUUUAUGUUGGACGAGCCACGAAAGAGGUAGUUCCCAAGGAGUUUUUGCAUGUUCUUUGUUUUUGAGUCGCGUUUGUUCGGUUUUAGGGCAAAUUCUGUACAAGAUGUAAUAUAUGGGUACCUAACUUGGAAAAAUUAUGUGAACGACAUUUUUAAGCAUGAAUUGGGUUAUAAAAAGUUAUGUUGGACGAGCCACGAAAGAGUUAGUUAUCGAGGAGUUUUUCCGUGUCCUUUGUUUUCAAGUCGCGUUUGGUAGGUUUAAGGGCAAAUUAUGUACAAGUUUUCAUAUAUGGGUACCUAACUUGGAAAAAUUAUGUAAACAGUAUUUUUUAAGCAUGGAUUGGGUAGCAAAAAGUUAUUUUGGACAAGCCAUGAAAGUGGUAUUUAUCGAACAGUUUUUGCGUGUCCUUUGUUUUCGAGUCAUGUUUGGUCGGUUUUAGGGCAAAUUCUGGACAAGCUAUCACAUAUGGGUACCUAACUUGGAAAAAUUCUGUGAGCAGCAUUUUUUAAGCAUGUAUUGGGUAGCAAUAAGUUAUUUUGGAUGAGCCAAGAAAGAGGUAGUUAUCGAGUAGUUUUUGCAUGUCAUUUGUUUUCGAGUCGCGUUUGGUCGGUUUUAGGGCAAAUUCUAUACAAGACGUCAUAUAUGGGUACCUAACGUGGAAAAAUUAUGUAAACGACAUUGUUUAAGCAUGGAUUGGGUAGCAAAAAGUUUUUUUGGACGAGCCAUGAAAGAGGUAUUUAUCGAGGAGUUUUUGCGUGUCCUUUGUUUUCGAGUUGCGUUUGGUCGGUUUUAGGGUAAAUUAUGUACAAGAGGUCAUCUAUGGUUACCUAACUUGGAAAAUUUCUAUGAACAGAGUUUUUUAUGAAUGGAUUGGGUAGCUAAAAGUUAUUUUGGACGAGCCAAGAAAGAGGUAGUUAUAGAGGAGGUUUUGCGUGUGCUUUGUUUUCGAGUCGCGUUUGGUUUGUUCAAGGGCAAAUUCUGUACAAGAUGUCAUAUAUGGGUACCUAACUUAGAAAAAUUCUGUGAACGACAUUUUUUAAGCAUGGACUGGGUAGCAAAAAGUUAUGUUGGACGAGCCACUAAAGAGGUAGUUAUCGAGGAGUUUUUGCGUGUCCUUCGUUUUCGAGUCGCGUUUGGUCGGUUUUAGGGCAAAUUCUGUACAAUAUGUCAUAUAUGGGUACCUAACUUUGGAAAAAUUCUGUGAAUGGCCUUUUUGAAGCAUGGAUUGGGUAGCAAAAAGUUAUUUUGGAAGAGCCACGAAAGAGGUAGUUAUCAAGGAGUUUUUGCAUGUCAUUUGUUUUCGAGUCGCGUUUGGUCGGUUUUAGGGCAAAUUCUGUACAACAUGUCAUAUAUGGGUUGGGUUAUAAAAAGUUAUGUUGGACGAGCCACGAAAGAGUUAGUUAUCGCGGAGUUUUUGCGUGUCCUUUGUUUUUGAGUCGCAUUUGGUAGGUUUAAGGGCAAAUUAUGCACAAGAUGUCUUAUAUGGGUACCUAACUUGGAAAAAUUAUGUAAACGGCAUUUUUAAGCAUGGAUUGGGUAGCAAAAAGUUAUUUUGGACGAGCCAUAAAAGAGAUAUUUAUCCAGGAGUUUUUGCGUGUCCUUUGUUUUCGAGUCGCAUUUGGUUGGUUUUAGGGAAAAUUCUGGACAAGCUGUGAUAUAUGGGUACCUAACUUGGAAAAAUUCUGUGACCAGCAUUUUUUAAGCAUGGAUUAUGUAGCAAUAAGUUAUUUUGGAUGAGCCAAGAAAGAGGUAGUUAUCGAGUAGUUUUUCCGUGUCCUUUGUUUUUGAGUCGCGUUUGGUCGGUUUUAGGGCAAAUUCUGUACAAGACGUCAUAUACGGAUACCUAACAUGGAAAAAUUCUGUGAACGAAAUUUUUUAAGCAUGGAUUGGGUAGCAAAAAGUUAUUUUGGACAAGCCACGAAAGAGGUAGUUAUGGAGGAAUUUUUGCGUGUCCUUUGUUUUUGAGUCGCGUUUCGUCGGUUUUAGGGUAAAUUCUGUACAAGAUGUCAUAUAUGGGUACCAAACUUGGAAAUAUUCUGUGGACGACAUUUUUAAGCAUGGAUUGGGUAGCAAAAAGUUAUUUUGGGCAAGCCGCCAAAGAGGUAAUUAUCGAGGAGUUUCUGCGUGUCCUUUCUUUUCGAGUCGUGUUUGGUCGGUUUUAGGGCAAAUUCUAUAACAGAUGUCAUAUAUGGCACCUACCUUGGAAAUUUUCUGCGAACGGCAUUUUUUGAAGCAUGGAUUUGGUAGCAAAAUUUAUUUUGGACAAGCCACAAAAGAGGUAGUUAUCGAGGAGUUUCUGCGUGUCCUUUGUUUUCGAGUCGCCUUUGGUCGGUUUUAGGGCAAAUUCUAUAACAGAUGCCAUAUAUGGUAGCUAACUUGGAAAAUUUCUGUGAACGACAUUUUUUAAGCAUGGAUUGGGCAGCAAAAAGUUAUUUUGGACGUGCCAGGAAAGAGGUAUUUAUCGAGGAGUUUUUGCGUGUCCUUUGUUUUUGAGUCGCGUUUGGUCAGUUUUAGGGUAAAUUCUGUACAAGAUGUCAUGUAUGGUUACUUAACUUGGAAAAUUUCUAUGAACGGAAUUUUUUAAGAAUGGAUUAGGUAGCUAAAGUUAUUUUGGACGAGCCAAGAAAGAGGUAGUUAUGGAGGAGGUUUUGCGUGUCCUUUGUUUUCGAGUCGCGUUUGGUUGGUUCAAUGGCAAAUUCUGUACAAGAUGUCAUAUAUGGGUACCUAACUUGGAAAAAUUAUGUGAACGACAUUUGUUAAGCAUGGAUUGGGUAGCAAAAAGUAAUGUUGGACGAGCCAUUAAAGAGGUAGUUAUCGAGGAGUUUUUGCGUGUCCUUUGUUUUCGAGUGGCGUUUGGUCGGUUUUAGCGCAAAUUCUGUACAACAUGUCAUAUAUGUGUACCUAACUUUGGAAUAAUUCUGUGAAUGGCAUUUUUUAAGCAUGGAUUGGGUAGAAAAAGUUAUUUCGGAAGAGCCACGAAAGAGGUAGUUAUAGAGGAGUUUUUGCAUGUCAUUUGUUUUUGAGUCGCGUUUGGUCGGUUUUAGGAAAAUUAUGUACAACAUGUCAUAUAUGGGUACCGAACUUCGGAAAAAUUUUGUGAAUGGCAUUUUUUAAGCAUGGAUGGGGUAGCAAAAAGUUAUUUUGGAAGAGCCACCAAAGAGGUAGUUAUCGAGGAGUUUUUGCAUGUCAUUUGUUUUCGAGUCGCGUUUGGUCGGUUUUAGGGCAAAUUCUGUACAACAUGUCAUAUAUGGGUUGGGUUAUAAAAAGUUAUGUUGGACGAGGCACGAAAGAGUUAGUUAUCGCGGAGUUUUUGCGUGUCCUUUGUUUUUGACUCGCAUUUGGUAGGUUUAAGGGCAAAUUAUGCACAAGAUGUCAUAUAUGGGUACCUAACUUGGAAAAUAUAUGUAAGCGGCAUUUUUUAAGCAUGGAUUGGGUAGCAAAAAGUUAUUUUGUACGAGCCAUAAAAGAGAUAUUUAUCCAGGAGUUUUUGCUUGUCCUUUGUUUUCGAGUCGCAUUUGGUUGGUUUUAGGGCAAAUUCUGGACAAGCUGUGAUAUAUGGGUACCUAACUUGGAAAAAUUCUGUGACCAGCAUUUUUUAAGCAUGGAUUAGGUAGCAAUAAGUUAUUUUGGAUGAGCCAAGACAGAGGUAGUUAUCGAGUAGUUUUCCGUGUCCUUUGUUUUUGAGUCGCGUUUGGUCGGUUUUAGGGCAAAUUCUGUACAAGACGUCAUAUAUGGAUACCUAACAUGAAAAAAUUCUAUGAACGAAAUUUUUUAAGCAUGGAUUGGGUAGCAAAAAGUUAUUUUGGACAAGCCACGAAAGAGGUAGUUAUGGAGGAAUUUUUGCGUGUCCUUUGUUUUUGAGUCGCGUUUCGUCGGUUUUAGGGUAAAUUCUGUACAAGAUGUCAUAUAUGGGUACCAAACUUGGAAAUAUUCUGUGGACGACAUUUUUAAGCAUGGAUUGGGUAGCAAAAAGUUAUUUUGGGCAAGCCGCCAAAGAGGUAAUUAUCGAGGAGUUUCUGCGUGUCCUUUCUUUCCGAGUCGUGUUUGGUCGGUUUUAGGGCAAAUUCUAUAACAGAUGUCAUAUAUGGUACCUACCUUGGAAAUUUUCUGCGAACGGCAUUUUUUUAAGCAUGGAUUUGGUAACAAAAUUUAUUUUGGACGAGCCACAAAAGAGGUAGUUAUCGAGGAGUUUCUGCGUGUCAUUUGUUUUCGAGUCACGUUUGGUCGGUUUUAGGGCAAAUUCUAUAACAGAUGCCAUAUAUGGUAGCUAACUUGGAAAAUUUCUGUGAACGACAUUUUUUAAGCAUGGAUUGGGCAGCAAAAAGUUAUUUUGGACGUGCCACGAAAGAGGUAUUUAUCGAGGAGUUUUUGCGUGUCCUUUGUUUUCGAGUCGCGUUUGGUCGGUUUUAGGGUAAGUUCUGUACAAGAUGUCAUGUAUGGUUACCUAACUUGGAAAAUUUCUAUGAACGGAAUUUUUUAAGAAUGGAUUGGAUAGCUAAAGUUAUUUUGGACAAGCCAAAAAAGAGGUAGUUAUAGAGGAGGUUUUGCGUGUCCUUUGUUUUCGAGUCGCGUUUGGUCGGUGCAAGGGAAAAUUCUUUACAAGAUGUCAUAUAUGCGUACCUAACUUAGAAAAAUUCUGUGAACAACAUUUGUUAAGCAUGGAUUGGGUAGCAAAAAGUAAUGUUGGUCGAGCCACUAAAGAGGUAGUUAUCGAGGAGUUUUUGCGUGUCCUUUGUUUUCGAGUGGCGUUUGGUCGGUUUUAGCGCAAAUUCUGUACAACAUGUCAUAUAUGUGUACCUAACUUUGGAAUAAUUUUGUGAAUGGCAUUUUUUAAGCAUGGAUUGGGUAGAAAAAAGUUAUUUUUGAAGAGCCACGAAAGAGGUAGUUAUCGAGGACUUUUUGCAUGUCAUUUGUUUUUGAGUCGCGUUUGGUCGAUUUUAGGGAAAAUUCUGUACAAGAUGUCAUAUAUGGGUACCGAACUUGGAAAAAUUCUAUGACCAGCUUUUUAAGCAUGGAUUGGGUAGCCAAAAGUUAUUUUGGACGAGCCACAAAAGAGAUAUUUAUCGAGGAGUUUUUGCGUGUCAGUUGUUGUCGAGUCGCGCUUGGUCGGUUUUAGGGUAAAUUAUGUACAAGAGGUCAUCUAUGGUUACCUACUUGGAAAAUUUCUAUGAACAGAGUUUUUUAUGAAUGGAUUGGGUAGCUAAAAGUUAUUUUGGAUCAGCCAAGGAAGAGGUAGUACUGAGGAGGUUUUGCGUGUCCUUUGUUUUCGAGUCGCGUUUGGUUGGUUCAAGGGCAAAUUUUGUACAAGAUGUCAUAUAUGGGUACCUACUUGGAAUAAUUCUGUCAAUGACAUUUUUUAAGCAUAGACUGGGUAGCAAAAAGUUAUGUUGGAUGAGCCACUAAAGAGGUAGUUAUCGAGGAGUUUUUGCGUGUCCUUUGUUUUCGAGUCGCGUUUGGUCGGUUUUAGGGCAAAUUCUGUACAACAUGUCAUAUAUGGCUACCUAACUUUGGAAAAAUUCUGUGAAUGACAUUUUUUAAGCAUGGAUUGGGUAGCAAAAAGUUAUUUUGGAAGAGCCACGAAAGAGGUAGUUAUCGAGUCACGUUUGGUCGAUUUUAGGGCAAAUUCUGUACAAGAUGUCAUAUAUGGGUACCUAACUUGGAAAAAUUCUAUGACCGGCUUUUUAAGCAUGGAUUGGGUAGCCAAAAGUUAUUUUGGACGAGCCAUGAAAGAGAUAGUUAUGAAGGAGUUUUUGCGUAUCCUUUGUUUAGAGUCGCGUUUGGUCGGUUUUAGGGCAAAUUUUGUACAACAUGUCAUAUAUGGGUACCUAACUUGGAAACAUUCGGUGAACGACAUUUUAUAAGGAUGGAUUGGGUAGCAAAAAUUUAUGUUGGACGAGCCACGAAAGAGGUAGUUACCAAGGAGUUUUUGCAUGUUCUUUGUUUUUGAGUCGCGUUUGUUCGGUUUUAGGGCAAAUUCUGUACAAGAUGUAAUAUAUGGGUACCUAACUUGGAAAAAUUAUGUGAACGGCAUUUUUAAGCAUGGAUUGGGUUAUAAAAAGUUAUGUUGGACGAGCCACGAAAGAGUUAGUUAUCGAGGAGUUUUUCUGUGUCCUUUGUUUUCAAGUCGCGUUUUGUAGGUUUAAGGGAAAAUUAUGCACAAGUUCUCAUAUAUGGGUACCUAACUUGGAAAAAUUAUGUAAACAGCAUUUUUUAAGCAUGGAUUGGGUAGCAAAAAGUUAUUUUGGACAAGCCAUGAAAGUGGUAUUUAUCGAACAGUUUUUGCGUGUCCUUUGUUUUCGAGUCGUGUUUGGUCGGUUUUAGGGCAAAUUCUGGACAAGCUAUCACAUAUGGGUACCUAACUUGGAAAAAUUCUGUGAGCAGUAUUUUUUAAGCAUGUAUUUGGUAGCAAUAAGUUAUUUUGGAUGAGCCAAGAAAGAGGUAGUUAUCGAGUAGUUUUUGCAUGUCAUUUGUUUUCGAGUCGCGUUUGGUCGGUUUUAGGGCAAAUUCUAUACAAGACGUCAUAUAUGGGUACCUAACGUGGAAAAAUUAUGUAAACGACAUUGUUUAAGCAUGGAUUGGGUAGCAAAAAGUUUUUUCGGACGAGCCUUGAAAGAGGUAUUUAUCGAGGAGUUUUUGCGUGUCCUUUGUUUUCGAGUCGUGUUUGGUCGGUUUUAGGGCAAAUUCUAGACAAGCUGUCAUAUAUGGGUACCUAACUUGGAAAAAUUCUGUGAGUAGCAUUUUCAAGCAUGGAUUGGGUAGCAAUAAGUUAUUUUGGACGAGCCAAGAAAGAGGUAGUUAUCGAUGAGUUUUUGCGUGUCCUUUGUUUUUUGAGUCGCGUUUGGUUGGUUUUAGAGCAAAUUCCGUACAAGAUGUAAUAUAUGGGUACCUAACUUGGAAAAAUUAUGUGAACGGCAUUUUUAAUUAUGCAUUGGGUUAUAAAAAGUUAUGUUGGAGGAGCCAUGAUAGAGUUAGUUAUCGAGGAGUUUUUGCGUGUCCUUUGUUUUCGAGUCGCGUUUGGUCGGUUUUAGGGCAAAUUCUGUACAACAUGUCAUAUAUGGGUGUAACACCCCAGAUGUAACUUUCCAUAUUUGCAACUUCAACUCUUGCCAUUUUUGGCUAUGUGUUAUGACAUUCCCUUCGUGGUCGGGUUUUGUUUUCCGUUUUGCAUUUUGCUUUUGUCAUGCAUCUCAUAUCAUGUCAUCAUGUGCAUUGCAUUUGCAUACGUGUUCGUCUUUUUCAUCCGAGCAUUUUCCCAGUUGUCCGUUUUGCAAUCCGGCACUCCCACCUCCUCCGGCGCACCCUUCUUGUUUUCUUUUCGUGAGCGGGUGUUGAACAUUCUCGAAAUGGACCGAGGCUUGCCAAGCGGCCUUGGUAUACCACCGGUAGACCACCUGUCAAGUUUUGUUCCAGUUGGAGGUCGUUUGGUACUCCAACGGUUAACCGGGCAACCGCAAAGUCCUUUUGUGUGUUGCAGCAAAACCCCCCUCCUAAUAGCCCAAAACCCAUCUAAGUCACUUCCAUGCUCUAGGUCGUUCGAUCAUGAUCGUGUGGGCGAAAACCGUGCUCAAUUUGGAGUCUCCUAGCUCCCUCUACCUAUAAAAACACCUCCCCCUCCGAAAUCUGGGCGAAACCCUAGCAAAAAUCGUCCUCCGCGCCGCCAAACGCGUCCACUCCCGCCGGACGAACCCGCCGCCGCGCCCUGCCCACUCACAGCGCGACACGUGGCUACGCUCCGUCGCCCGCGCUGCCGGCCCGCUGGGCGUGUAAUAUAUCGAAAUGUUCAUCUCGAGAUGCUCUUCAUUUUGUUCCAUUCCACCAUGUUCAUUUGAGUCCAUCUUGAGGCCCAAAUCUCUGGUGCAAGAGUGCUAGUUGCUGUUAACUGCUGUUACUUAUCAGAACUUGAGGAUUUGUUAUUUUUGUUGCUAUUAAUGUGUGCAUCUUAUGAGUAGGAGCUCAACAGGUGUUUUGAUGUAUGCCAUUCCAUCUUUACAGAGGUGUAUGCCAUGUAUUUUGGUGAUCUCUGUGGUGACUAGCACAAGCAUGCAAACUAGGCUUCGUAAUGUUUCUGAUUUCAGGGACUUCGUAAUUUUACCAAGUCUGUGACUGCUGUUAUUGUGUUGCUAUGUAUCCAUGUGGCUACAGAGCGAUCCAUGCUUAUCUUGGGGAUGUUCAGUAAGAAUCUUUUGUAGAUAUAGUUGUGCGCUAUCCAUCCAUGCCUCGUUUUGCAAUUAUCGAGUGACAUAGCUUGACUCAAUCUUGCUCUACUUUUGCUAUAAAAUAUUUCUGACAGAUUGUUUACGUGUUAUUCAAUUUUGCCAAGCUUGUUGUAGUUGAUCCAUGCAUGCUAUGAACUUGCUCUUGCCAUGGAUAGAUUUACAAACAUGCCAUCUUGCUGUAGCUAUGCUUGUUUUGUCAUGCAUUGCUUUGUGGUGAGUUCAUCAAGCUCACAAAGAUGCCUUCAUAUUACUGUUUCUGUCAUAUUACUGUCAUCAAGCUCACCAAGUCUGUAACCUGUUAACGAAACUUGCUAUGUUUACAUGGUUGCCAUCAUAUCUUCUGAUCCUUUUUGGCUUAUGGUCAGUAAGGGACUUUUGUUAUAUGCAUUUAUUAGAAUACUGACAUGCCUUGUUUUGCCAUGUUAAGUUCCUGUAGCAUGUUGAUUGCUUGCUCUGAACAUUGCUACCUGAUGCUGUUUAUGCCAUGUCCAGUAAUUUCACCAAGUCUGUGAACAUGAUAUCUUUUGCACUUUUGCCAUGCCUGUUUGAACCUGCUGUGGUGUGAUCUAGCCGUAGCUCAUUGUUCAUCUUUUGUCAAGAACCUCCUGUAGAUUACUGCCAUAUGCUUUGCUGCUAUGUUGGGGUGCUGUAGCAUUGUUACUUAUUGCAUUCUAAGUGCUAUCAUGCUGUUAAUCGCAGAUUCGUGUCAUUCUUGUUUUGCUUGCCAUUUGCAAACCGUGCAUCCGUUUCCGGUGAUCUUUAUAUCGAUUUCAACCGAAAUCAUCUCAUCUUUCCAGUGACAUGCUGUCAAUUUACUGCCUUGUUCAUCAUUUUUCUUCCGGAGCACGCAUAUGCAUCGCAUAUCAUAUCUUGCAUAUAAUUCAUGUAUUGCAUCAUGUUGCUUGUGCAUUUCCCAUGAUUGAUUGUGGUUCCGUUGCUUAUGUUCUUGUUUUGGGUAGAGCCGGGAGACGAGUUCGUGAACGAGGAACCUGUUGAGUACGCUUACGAGGAUCAAGCUUUCAACAACUCUGAGAACCUUGCAGGCAAGAUGACCAUACCCUCGAAAUCACUUCUAUCUUUGCUUUGCUAGUUGUUCGUUCUUUGCCAUGCUGCGCUACCUACCAUUUGCUAUAUCAUGCCUCCCAUAUUGCCAUGUCAAGCCUCUAACCAUCCUUUCCUAGCAAACCGUUGUUUGGCUAACUUACCGCUUUUGCUCAGCCCUUCUUAUAGCGUUGCUAGUUGCAGGUGAGCCACUAAAGAGGUACUUAUCAAGGAGUUUCUGCGUGUCCUUUGCUUUUGAGUCGCGCUUGGUCGGUUUUAGGGCAAAUUCUGUAACAGAUGCCAUAUAUGGGUACCUAACUUGGAAAAUUUCUAUGAAUGGCAUUUUUUAAGCAUGGAUUGGGCAGCAAAAAUUAUUUUGGACGAGCCACGAAAGAGGUAUUUAUCAAGGAGUUUUUGCGUGUCCUUUGUUUUCGAGUCGCGUUUGGUCGAUUUCAGGGCAAAUUCUGUACAGGAUGUCAGGUAUGGUUACCUAACUUGGAAAAUUUCUGUGAACGGCAUUUUCUAAGCAUGGAUUGGCUAGUAAAAUUUAUUUUGGACAAGCCAUGAAAGAGGUAGUUAUCGAGGUGUUUUUUCGUCUCCUUUGUUUUCGAGUCGUGUUUGGUCGGUUCAAGGGCAAAUUUUGUACAAGAUGUCAUAUAUGGGUACCUAACGUGGAAAAAUUUUGUAAAUGACAUUUUCUAAGCAUGGAUUGGGCAGCCAAGAAAGAGGUAGUUAUCGUGGAGUUUUUGCAUGUCCUUUAUUUUUUAGUCGCGUUUGGUCGGUUUUAGGGUAAAUUCUGUACAAUAUGUAAUAUAUGGGUACCUAACUUGGAAAAACUAUGUGAAUGGAAUUUUUUAGCAUGGAUUGGGGUAUAAAAAGUUAUGUUGGACGAGCCACGAAAGAGAUAGUUAUCGAGGAUUUUUUGCGUGUCCUUUGUUUUUGAGUCGCAUUUGGUAGGUUUAAGGGCAAAUUAUGCACAAGAUGUCAUAUUUGGGUGCCUAACUUGGAAAAACUAUGUAAAGGGCAAUUUUAAGCAUGUACUGGGUAGCAAAAAGUUAUUUUGGACGAGCCAUAAAAGAGGUAUUUAUCGAGGAGUUUUUGCGUGUCCUUUGUUUUCGAGUCGCAUUUGGUCGGUUUUUGGGCAAAUCCUGGACAAGCUGUCAUAUAUGGGUACCUCACUUGGAAAAAUUCUGUGACCAGCAUUUUUUAAGCAUGGAUGGGGUAGCAAUAAGUUAUUUUGGAUGAGCCAAGAAAGAGGCAGUUAUCGAGUAGUUUUUCCGUGUCCUUUGUUUUGAGUCGCGUUUGGUCGGUUUUAGGGCAAAUUCUGUACAAGACGUCAUAUAUGGGUACCUAACAUGGAAAAAUUCUGUGAACAAAAUGUUUUAAGCAUGGAUUGGGUAGCAAAAAGUUAUUUUGGACGAGCCACAAAAGAGGUAAUUAUCGAGGAGUUUCUGCGUGUCCUUUUUUUUUUGAGUUGCGUUCGGUCGGUUUUAGGGUAAAUUCUGUACAAGAUGUCAUAUAUGGGUACCAAACUUGGAAAUAUUCUAUGAACGACAUUUUUAAGCAUGGAUUGGGUAGCAAAAAGUUAUUUUGGGCAAGCAAACAAAGAGGUAAUUAUCGAGGAGUUUCUGCGUGUCCUUUCUAUCCGAGUCGUGUUUGGUCGGUUUUAGGGCAAAUUCUGUAACAGAUGUCAUAUGUGGUACCUACCUUGGAAAUUUUCUGCGAACGUCAUUCUUUUAAGCAUGGACUUGGUAGCAAAAUUUAUUUUGGACGAGCCACAAAAGAGGUAGUUAUCAAGGAGUUUCUGCGUGUCCUUUGUUUUCGAGUCGCGUUUGGUCGGUUUCUGGGCAAAUUCUAUAAGAGAUGCCAUAUACGGUACCUAACUUGGAAAAUUUCUGUGAACGGCAUUUUUAAGCAUGGAUUGGGCAGCAAAAAGUUAUUUUGGACGUGCCAUGAAAGAGGUAUUUAUCGAGGAGUUUUUGCGUGUCCUUUGUUUUCGAGGCUCGUUUGGUCGGUUUUAGGGUAAAUUCUGUACAAGAUGUCAUGUAUGGUUACCUAACUUGGAAAAUUUCUAUGAACGGAAUUUUUUAAGAAUGGAUUGGGUAGCUAAAAGUUAUUUUGGAGGAGCCAAGAAAGAGGUAGUUAUAGAGGAGGUUUUGCGUGUCCUUUGUUUUCGAGUCGCGUUUGGUUGGUUCAAGGGCAAAUUCUGUACAAGAUGUCAUAUAUGGGUACCUAACUUGGAAAAAUUCUGUGAACGACAUUUUUUAAGCAUGGAUUGGGUAGCAAAAAGUUAUGUUGGACGAGCCACUAAAGAGGUAGUUAUCGAGGAGUUUUUGCGUGUCCUUUAUUUUCGAGUCACGUUUGGUCGGUUUUAGGGCAAAUUCUGUACAACAUGUCAUAUAUGGGUACUUAACUUUGGAAAAAUUCUGUGAAUGGCAUUUUUUAAUCAUGGAUUGGGUAGAAAAAAAUUUAUUUUGGAAGAGCCACAAAAGAGGUAGUUAUCGAGGAGUUUUUGCAUGUCAUUUGUUUUUGAGUCGCGUUUGGUCGGUUUUAGGGCAAAUUCCGUACAAGAUGUCAUAUAUGGGUACCUAACUUGGAAAAAUUCUAUGACCGGCUUUUUAAGCAUGGAUUGGGUAGCCAAAAGUUAUUUUGGACGAGCCACGAAAGAGGUAUUUAUCGAGGAGUUUUUGCGUGUCCUUUGUUGUCGAGUCGCGUUUGGUCGGUUUUAGGGUAAAUUCUGUACAAGAUGUCAUGUAUGGUUACCUAACUUGGAAACUUUCUAUGAACAGAAUUUUUUAAGAAUGGAUUGGGUAGCUAAAAGUUAUUUUGUACGAGCCAAGGAAGAGGUAGUUAUAGAGGAGGUUCCGCGUGUCCAUUGUUUUCGAGUCGCGUUUGGUUGGUUCAAGGGCAAAUUUUGUACAAGAUGUCAUAUAUGGGUACCUAACUUGGAAAAAUUCUGUGAAUGACAUUUUUUAAGCAUUGAUUGGGUAGCCAAAAGUUAUCUUGGUCGAGCCACUAAAGAGGUAGUUAUCGAGGAGUUUUUGCGUGUCCUUUGUUUUCGAGUCGCGUUUGGUCGAUUUUAGGGCAAAUUCUGUACAACAUGUCAUAUAUGGGUACCUAACUUUGGAAAAAUAAUAUGAAUGGCAUUUUUAUGCAUGGAUUGGGUAGCAAAAAGUUAUUUUGGAAGAGCCACGAAAGAGGUAGUUAUCGAGGAGUUUUUGCGUGUCCUUUGUUUCGGGUCGCGUUUGGUCGGUUUUAGGGCAAAUUUUGUACAACAUGUCAUAUAUGGGUACCUAACUUGGAAACAUUCGGUGAACGACAUUUUAUAAGGAUGGAUUGGGUAGCAAAAAUUUAUGUUGAACAAGCCACGAGUUUUUGCAUGUCCUUUGUUUUUUAGUCGCGUUUGGUCGGUUUUAGGGCAAAUUCUGUACAAGAUGCCAUAUAUGGUACCUAACUUGGAAAAUUUCUGUGAACGGCGUUUUUUAAACAUGGACUGGACAGCAAAAAGUUAUUUUGGACGAGCCACGAAAGAGGUAUUUAUCGAGGAGUUUUUGCGUGUCCUUUGUUUUCGAGUUGCGUUCGGUCGGUUUUAGGGUAAAUUAUGUACAAGAGGUCAUCUAUGGUUACCUAACUUGGAAAAUUUCUAUGAACAGAGUUUUUUAUGAAUGGAUUGGGUAGCUAAAUGUUCUUUUGGACGAGCCUAGAAAGAGGUAGUUAUAGAGGAGGUUUUGCGUGUCCUUUGUUUUCGAGUCGCGUUUGGUUUGUUCAUGGGCAAAUUUUGUACAAGAUGUCAUAUAUGCGUACCUAACUCAGAAAAAUUCUGUGAACGACAUUUUUUAAGCAUGGACUGGGUAGGAAAAAGUUAUGUUGGAUGAGCCACUAAAGAGGUAGUUAUCGAGGAGUUUUUGCGUGUCCUUUGUUUUCGAGUCGCGUUUGAUCGGUUUUAGGGCAAAUUCUGUACAACAUGUCAUAUAUGGGUACCUAACUUUGGAAAAAUUCUGUGAAUGGCAUUUUUUAAGCAUGGAUUGGGUAGCAAAAAGUUAUUUUGGAAGAGCCACGAAAGAGGUAGUUAUCGAGGAGUUUUUGCAUGUCAUUUGUUUUUGAGUCGCGUUUGGUCGGUUUUAGGGCAAAUUCUGUACAACAUGUCAUAUAUGGGUUGGGUUAUAAAAAGUUAUGUUGGACGAGCCACGAAAGAGUUAGUUAUCGCGGAGUUUUUGCGUGUCCUUUGUUUUUGAGUCGCAUUUGGUAGGUUUAAGGGCAAAUUAUGCACAAGAUGUCAUAUAUGGGUACCUAACUUGGAAAAAUUAUGUAAACGGCAUUUUUUAAGCAUGGAUUGGGUAUCAAAAAGUUAUUUUGGACGAGCCAUAAAAGAGAUAUUUAUCCAGGAGUUUUUGAGUGUCCUUUGUUUUCGAGUCGCAUUUGGUUGGUUUUAGGGCAAAUUCUGGACAAGCUGUCAUAUAUGGGUACCUAACUUGGAAAAAUUCUGUGACCAGCAUUUUUUAAGCAUGGAUUCGGUAGCAAUAAGUUAUUUUGGAUGAGCCAAGAAAGAGGUAGUUAUCGAGUAGUUUUUCCGUGUCCUUUGUUUUUGAGUCGCGUUUGGUCGGUUUUAGGGCAAAUUCUGUACAAGACGUCAUAUAUGGAUACCUAACAUGGAAAAAUUCUGUGAACGAAAUUUUUUAAGCAUGGAUUGGGUAGCAAAAAGUUAUUUUAGACAAGCCACGAAAGAGGUAGUUAUGGAGGAAUUUUGCGUGUCCUUUGUUUUUGAGUCGCGUUUUGUCGGUUUUAGGGUAAAUUCUGUACAAGAUGUCAUAUAUGGGUACCAAACUUGGAAAUAUUCUGUGGACGACAUUUUUAAGCAUGUAUUGGGUAGUAAAAAGUUAUUUUGGGCAAGCCACCAAAGAGGUAAUUAUCCAGGAGUUUCUGCGUGUCCUUUCUUUCCGAGUCGUGUUUGGUCGGUUUUAGGGAAAAUUCUAUAACAGAUGUCAUAUAUGGUACCUACCUUGGAAAUUUUCUGCGAACGACAUUUUUUUAAGCAUGGAUUUGGUAGCAAAAUUUAUUUUGGACGAGCCACAAAAGAGGUAGUUAUCGAGGACUUUCUGCGUGUCCUUUAUUUUCGAGUCGCGUUUGGUCGGUUUUAUGGUAAAUUCUAUAACAGAUGCCAUAUAUGGUAGCUAACUUGGAAAAUUUCUGUGAACGACAUUUUUUAAGCAUGGAUUGGGAAGCAAAAAGUUAUUUUGAACGUGCCACGAAAGAGGUAUUUAUCGAGGAGUUUUUGCGUGUCCUUUGUUUUCGAGUCGCGUUUGGUCGGUUUUAGGGUAAAUUCUGUACAAGAUGUCAUGUAUGGUUACCUAACUUGGAAAUGUUCUAUGAACGGAAUUUUUUAAGAAUGGAUUGGGUAGCUAAAGUUAUUUUGGACGAGCCAAGAAAGAGGUAGUUAUAGAGGAGGUUUUGCGUGUCCUUUGUUUUUGAGUCGCGUUUGGUUGGUUCAAGGGCAAAUUCUGUACAAGAUGUCAUAUAUGGGUACCUAACUUGGAAAAAUUCUGUGAACGACAUUUGUUAAGCAUGGAUUGGGUAGCAAAAAGUAAUGUUGGACGAGCCACGAAAGAGUUAGUUAUCGAGGAGUUUUUGCGUGUCCUUUGUUUGGAUUGGGUAGCAAUAAGUUAUUUUGGGCAAGCCACCAAAGAGGUAAUUAUUGAGGAGUUUCUGCAUGUCGCGUUUGGUCGGUUUUAGGGCAAAUUCUAUAACAGAUGCCAUAUAUGGUACCUAACUUGGAAAAUUUCUGUGAACGGCGUUUUUUAAACAUGGACUGGACAGCAAAAAGUUAUUUUGGAUGAGCCACGAAAGAGGUAUUUAUCGAGGAGUUUUUGCGUGUCCUUUGUUUUCGAGUUGCGUUCGGUCGGUUUUAGGGUAAAUUAUGUACAAGAGGUCAUCUAUGGUUACCUAACUUGGAAAAUUUCUAUGAAUAGAGUUUUUUAUGAAUGGAUUGGGUAGCUAAAAGUUCUUUUGGACGAGCCUAGAAAGAGGUAGUUAUAGAGGAGGUUUUGCGUGUCCUUUGUUUUCGAGUCGCGUUUGGUUUGUUCAUGGGCAAAUUUUGUACAAGAUGUCAUAUAUGCGUACCUAACUCAGAAAAAUUCUGUGAACGACAUUUUUUAAGCAUGGACUGGGUAGGAAAAAGUUAUGUUGGAUGAGCCACUAAAGAGGUAGUUAUCGAGGAGUUUUUGCGUGUCCUUUGUUUUCGAGUCGCGUUUGGUCGGUUUUAGGGCAAAUUCUGUACAACAUGUCAUAUAUGGGAACCUAACAUUGGAAAAAUUCUAUGAAUGGCAUUUUUAAGCAUGGAUUGGGUAGCAAAAGGUUAUUUUGGAAGAGCCACGAAAGAGGUAGUUAUCGAGUCACGUUUGGUCGGUUUUACGGCAAAUUCUGUACAAGAUGUCAUAUAUGGGUACCUAACUUGGAAAAAUUCCAUGACCGGCUUUUUAAGCAUGGAUUGGGUAGCAAAAAUUUAUUUUGGACGAGCCAUGAAAGAGGUAGUUAUCAAGUAGUUUUUACGUAUCCUUUGUUUCGAGUCGCGUUUGGUCGGUUUUAGGGCAAAUUUUGUACAACAUGUCAGAUAUGGGUACCUAACUUGGAAACAUUCGGUGAAUAACAUUUUAUAAGUAUGGAUUGGGUAGCAAAAAUUUAUGUUGGACGAGCCACGAUAGAGGUAGUUACCGAGGAGUUUUUGCAUGUCCUUUGUUUUUGAGUCGCGUUUGGUCAGUUUUAGGGCAAAUUCUGUACAACAUGUAAUAUAUGGGUACCUAACUUGGAAAAAUUAUGUGAACGGCAUUUUUAAGCAUGGAUUGGGUUAUAAAAAGUUAUGUUGGACGAGCCACGAAAGAGUUAGUUAUCGAGGAGUUUUUGCGUGUCCUUUGUUUUCGAGUCCCGUUUGGUAGGUAUAAGGGCAAAUUAUGCACAAGUUUUCGUAUAUGGGUACCUAACAUGGAAAAAUUAUGUAAACAAUAUUUUUUAAGCAUGGAUUGGGUAGAAAAAAUGUUAUUUUGGACAAGCCAUGAAAGUUGUAUUUAUCGAAGAAAUUUUGCGUGUCCUUUGUUCGAGUCAUGUUUGGUCGGUUUUAGGGAAAAUUCUGGACAAGCUAUCACAUAUGGGUACCUAACUUGGAAAAAUUCUGUCAGCAGCAUUUUUUAAGCAUGGAUUGGGUAGCAAAAACUUAUUUUGGACAAGCCACGAAAGAGGUAGUUAUCGAGGAGCUUUUGCGUGCCCUUUCUUUUUGAGUCGUGUUUGGUCGGUUUUAGGGCAAAUUCUGUACAAGAUGUCAUAUAUGGGUACCUAACUUGGAAAUAUUCUGUGAACGUUAUUUUUUAAGCAAGGAUUGGGUAGCAAAAAUUUAUUUUGGACGAGCCACGAAAGAGGUAGUUAUUGAGGAGUUUCUGCAUGUCCUUUGUUUUCGAGUCGCGUUUGGUCGGUUUUAGGGAAAAUUCUAUAACAGAUGCUAUAUAUGGGCACCUAACUUGGAAAAAUUCUGUGAACGACAUUUUUUAAGGAUGGAUUGGGUAGCAAAAAGUUAUGUUGGACGAGCCACGAAAGAGGUAGCUAUCGUGGAGUUUUUGUGUGUCCUUUGUUUUUGAGUCUCGUUUGGUCGGUUUUACGGCAAAUUCUGGACAAGAUGUAAUAUAUGGGUACCUAACUUGGAAAAAUUUUGUGAAUGACAUUUUUUAAGCAUGGAUUGGGCAGCAAAAAGUUAUUUUGGAUGAGCCACGAAAGAGGUAUUUAUUGAGGAGUUUUUGCGUGUCCUUUGUUUUCGAGUCACGUUCCGUCGGUUUUAGGGUAAAUUCCGUACAAGAUGUCAUGUAUGGUUACCUAACUUGGAAAAUUUGUAUGAACGGAAUUUUUUUAAGCACGGAUUGGGUAGCUAAAAGUUAUUUUGGAUGAGCCAUGAAAGAGGUAGUUAUCAAGGAGUUUUUGCGUGUCCUUUGUUUUCAAGUCCUGUUUGGUCGGUUCAAGGGCAAAUUCUGUACAAGAUGUCAUAUAUGGGUACCUAAGUUUGAAUAAUUCUAUGAACGGUAUUUUUUAAGCAUGGAUUGGGUACCAAAAAGUUAUUUUGGACGAGCCACAAAAGAGGUAGUUAUCGAGGAGUUUCUGCGUGUCCUUUGUUUUCGAGUCGCGUUUGGUCGGUUUUAGGGCAAAUUCUAUAACAGAUGCCAUAUAUGGUAGCUAACUUGGAAAAUUUCUGUGAACGACAUUUUUUAAGCAUGGAUUGGGCAGCAAAAAGUUAUUUUGAACGUGCCACGAAAGAGGUAUUUAUCGAGGAGUUUUUGCGUGUCCUUUGUUUUCGAGUCGCGUUUGGUCGGUUUUAGGGUAAAUUCUGUACAAGAUGUCAUGUAUGGUUACCUAACUUGGAAAAUUUCUAUGAACGGAAUUUUUUAAGAAUGGAUUGGGUAGCUAAAGUUAUUUUGGACGAGCCAAGAAAGAGGUAGUUAUAGAGGAGGUUUUGCGUGUCCUUUGUUUUUGAGUCGCGUUUGGUUGGUUCAAGGGAAAAUUCUGUACAAUAUGUCAUAUAUGGGUACCUAACUUGGAAAAAUUCUGUGAACGACAUUUGUUAAGCAUGGAUUGGGUAGCAAAAAUUUAUUUUGGACGAGCCACGAAAGAGGUAGUUAUUGAGGAGUUUCUGCAUGUCCUUUGUUUUCGAGUCGCGUUUGGUCGGUUUUAGGGAAAAUUCUAUAACAGAUGCCCUAUAUGGGCACCUAACUUGGAAAAAUUCUGUGAACGACAUUUUUUAAGGAUGGAUUGGGUAGCAAAAAGUUAUGUUGGACGAGCCACGAAAGAGGUAGUUAUCGUGGAGUUUUUGUGUGUCCUUUGUUUUUGAGUCUCGUUUGGUCGGUUUUAGGGCAAAUUCUGGACAAGAUGUAAUAUAUGGGUACCUAACUUGGAAAAUUUUUGUGAAUGACAUUUUUUAAGCAUGGAUUGGGCAGCAAAAAGUUAUUUUGGAUGAGCCACGAAAGAGGUAUUUAUUGAGGAGUUUUUGCGUGUCCUUUGUUUUCGAGUCACGUUCCGUCGGUUUUAGGGUAAAUUCCGUACAAGAUGUCAUGUAUGGUUACCUAACUUGGAAAAUUUGUAUGAACAGAAUUUUUUAAGCACGGAUUGGGUAGCUAAAAGUUAUUUUGGAUGAGCCAUGAAAGAGGUAGUUAUCAAGGAGUUUUUGCGUGUCCUUUGUUUUCAAGUCCUGUUUGGUCGGUUCAAGGGCAAAUUCUGUACAAGAUGUCAUAUAUGGGUACCUAAGUUUGAAUAAUUCUAUGAACGGCAUUUUUUAAGCAUGGAUUUGGUACCAAAAAGUUAUUUUGGACGAGCCACAAAAGAGGUAGUUAUCGAGGAGUUUCUGCGUGUCCUUUGUUUUCGAGUCGCGUUUGGUCGGUUUUAGGGCAAAUUCUAUAACAGAUGCCAUAUAUGGUAGCUAACUUGGAAAAUUUCUGUGAACGACAUUUUUUAAGCAUGGAUUGGGAAGCAAAAAGUUAUUUUGAACGUGCCACGAAAGAGGUAUUUAUCGAGGAUUUUUUGCGUGUCCUUUGUUUUCGAGUCGCGUUUGGUCGGUUUUAGGGUAAAUUCUGUACAAGAUGUCAUGUAUGGUUACCUAACUUGGAAAAUUUCUAUGAACGGAAUUUUUUAAGAAUGGAUUGGGUAGCUCAAGUUAUUUUGGACGAGCCAAGAAAGAGGUAGUUAUAGAGGAGGUUUUGCGUGUCCUUUGUUUUUGAGUCGCGUUUGGUUGGUUCAAGGGCAAAUUCUGUACAAGAUGUCAUAUAUGGGUACCUAACUUGGAAAAAUUCUGUGAACGACAUUUGUUAAGCAUGGAUUGGGUAGCAAAAAGUAAUGUUGGACGAGCCACUAAAGAGGUAGUUAUCGAGGAGUUUUUGCGUGUCCUUUGUUUUCGAGUGGCGUUUGGUCGGUUUUAGCGCAAAUUCUGUACAACAUGUCAUAUAUUUGUACCUAACUUUGGAAUAAUUCUGUGAAUGGCAUUUUUUAAGCAUGGAUUGGGUAGANNNNNNNNNNNNNNNNNNNNNNNNNNNNNNNNNNNNNNNNNNNNNNNNNNNNNNNNNNNNNNNNNNNNNNNNNNNNNNNNNNNNNNNNNNNGGUUCAAGGGCAAAUUCUGUACAAGAUGUCAUAUAUGGGUACCUAACUUGGAAAAAUUCUGUGAACGACAUUUGUUAAGCAUGGAUUGGGUAGCAAAAAGUAAUGUUGGACGAGCCACUAAAGAGGUAGUUAUCGAGGAGGUUUUGCGUGUCCUUUGUUUUCGAGUGGCGUUUGGUCGGUUUUAGCGCAAAUUCUGUACAACAUGUCAUAUAUUUGUACCUAACUUUGGAAUAAUUCUGUGAAUGGCAUUUUUUAAGCAUGGAUUGGGUAGAAAAAAGUUAUUUUGGAAGAGCCACGAAAGAGGUAGUUAUCGUGGAGUUUUUGCAUGUCACUUGUUUUUGAGUCGCGUUUGGUCGGUUUUAGGGAAAAUUCUGUACAAGAUGUCAUAUAUGGGUACCGAACUUGGAAAAAUUCUAUGACCGGCUUUUUAAGCAUGGAUUGGGUAGCCAAAAGUUAUUUUGGACGAGCCACAAAAGAGGUAUUUAUCGAGGAUUUUUUGCGUCUCAUAUGUUGUCGAGUCGCGUUUGGUCGGUUUUAGGGUAAAUUCUGUACAAGAUGUCAUGUAUGGUUACCUAACUUUGAAAAUUUCUAUGAACGGAAUUUUUUAAGAAUGGAUUGGGUAGCUAAAAGUUAUUUUGGAUGAGCCAAGGAAGAGGUAGUUAUAGAGGAGGUUUUGCGUGUCCUUUGUUUUCGAGUCGCGUUUGGUUGGUUCAAGGGCAAAUUUUGUACAAGAUUUCAUAUAUGGGUACCGACAUGGAAAAAUUCUGUCAAUGACAUUUUUUAAGCAUAGAUUGGGUAGCAAAAAGUUAUGUUGGAUGAGCCACUAAAGAGGUAGUUAUCGAGUAGUUUUUGCGUGUCCUUUGUUUUCGAGUCGCAUUUGGUCGGUUUUAGGGCAAAUUCUGUACAACAUGUCAUAUAUGGGAACCUAACUUUAGAAAAAUUCUAUGAAUGGCAUUUUUAAGCAUGGAUUGGGUAGCAAAAAGUUAUUUUGGAAGAGCCACGAAAGAGGUAGUUAUCGAGUCACGUUUGGUCGGUUUUAGGGCAAAUUCUGUACAAGAUGUCAUAUAUGGGUACCUAACUUGGAAAAAUUCCAUGACCGGCUUUUUAAGCAUGGAUUGGGUAGCAAAAAUUUAUUUUGGACGAGCCAUGAAAGAGGUAGUUAUCAAGUAGUUUUUACGUAUCCUUUGUUUCGAGUCGCGUUUGGUCGGUUUUAGGGCAAAUUUUGUACAACAUGUCAGAUAUGGGUACCUAACUUGGAAACAUUCGGUGAACAACAUUUUAUAAGUAUGGAUUGGGUAGCAAAAAUUUAUGUUGGACGAGCCACGAUAGAGGUAGUUACCGAGGAGUUUUUGCAUGUCCUUUGUUUUUGAGUCGCGUUUGGUCGGUUUUAGGGAAAAUUCUGUACAACAUGUAAUAUAUGGGUACCUUACUUGGAAAAAUUAUGUGAACGGCAUUUUUAAGCAUGGAUUGGGUUAUAAAAAGUUAUGUUGGACGAGCCACGAAAGAGUUAGUUACCGAGGAGUUUUUGCGUGUCCGUUGUUUUCGAGUCCCGUUUGGUAGGUAUAAGGGCAAAUUAUGCACAAGUUUUCGUAUAUGGGUACCUAACAUGGAAAAAUUAUGUAAACAAUAUUUUUUAAGCAUGGAUUGGGUAGAAAAAAUGUUAUUUUGGACAAGCCAUGAAAGUGGUAUUUAUCGAAGAGUUUUUGCGUGUCCUUUGUUCGAGUCGUGUUUGGUCGGUUUUAGGGAAAAUUCUGGACAAGCUAUCACAUAUGGGUACCUAACUUGAACAAAUUCUGUCAGCAGCAUUUUUUAAGCAUGGAUUGGGUAGCAAAAACUUAUUUUGGACAAGCCACGAAAGAGGUAGUUAUCGUGGAGUUUUUGCGUGCCCUUUGUUUUUGAGUCGUGUUUGGUCGGUUUUAGGGCAAAUUCUGUACAAGAUGUCAUAUAUGGGUACCUAACUUGGAAAUAUUCUGUGAACGUUAUUUUUUAAGCAAGGAUUGGGUGGUAAAAAGUUAUUUUGGGCAAGCCACGACAGAGGUAGUUAUCGAGGAGUUUCUGCGUGCCCUUUGUUUCCGAGUUGCGUUUGGUCGGUUUUAGGGCAAAUUCUGUAACAGAUGUCAUAUAGGGGUACCUACCUUGGAAUUUUUCUGCGAACGACAUUUUUUAAGCAUGAUUGGGUAGCAAAAAGUUAUUUUGGACGAGCCACGAAAGAGGUAGUUAUUGAGGAGUUUCUGCAUGUCCUUUGUUUUCGAGUCGCGUUUGGUCGGUUUUAGGGAAAAUUCUAUAACAGAUGCCAUAUAUGGGCACCUAACUUGGAAAAAUUCUGUGAACGACAUUUUUUAAGGAUGGAUUGGGUAGCAAAAAGUUAUGUUGGACGAGCCAUGAAAGAGGUAGUUAUCGUGGAGUUUUUGUGUGUCCUUUGUUUUUGAGUCUCGUUUGGUCGGUUUUAGGGCAAAUUCUGGACAAGAUGUAAUAUAUGGGUACCUAACUUGGAAAAUUUUUGUGAAUGACAUUUUUUAAGCAUGGAUUGGGCAGCAAAAAGUUAUUUUGGAUGAGCCACGAAAGAGGUAUUUAUUGAGGAGUUUUUGCGUGUCCUUUGUUUUCGAGUCACGUUCCGUCGGUUUUAGGGUAAAUACCGUACAAGAUGUCAUGUAUGGUUACCUAACUUGGAAAAUUUGUAUGAACAGAAUUUUUUAAGCACGGAUUGGGUAGCUAAAAGUUAUUUUGGAUGAGCCAUGAAAGAGCUAGUUAUCAAGGAGUUUUUGCGUGUCCUUUGUUUUCAAGUCCCGUUUGGUCGGUUCAAGGGCAAAUUCUGUACAAGAUAUCAUAUAUGGGUACCUAAGUUUGAAUAAUUCUAUGAACGGCAUUUUUUAAGAAUGGAUUGGGUACCAAAAAGUUAUGUUGGACGAGCCACGAAAGAGGUAGUUACCGAGGAGUUUUUGCGUGUCUUUUGUUUUUGAGUCGCGUUUGGUCUGUUUUAGGGCAAAUUCUGUACAACAUGUAAUAUAUGGGUACCUAACUGGGAAAAAUUAUGUGAACGACAUUUUUAAGCAUGGAUUGGGUUAUAAAAAGUUAUGUUGGACGAGCCACGAAAGAGUUAGUAUCGAGGGGUUUUUGCGUGUCCUUUGUUUUCUAGUCGCGUUUGGUAGGUUUUAGGGCAAAUUAUGCACAAGCUGUCAUAUAUGGGUACCUAACUUGGAAAAAUUAUGUGAACGGCAUUUUUUAAUUAUGGAUUGGGUUAUAAGAAGUUAUGUUGGAGGAGUCACGAUAGAGUUAGUUAUCGAGGAGCUUUUGCGUGUCCUUUGUUUUCGAGUCGCGUUUGGUCGCUUUUAGGGCAAAUGCUGGACAAGCUGUCAUAUAUGGGUACCUGACUUGGAAAAAUUCUAUGAGCAGAAUUUUUUAAGCAUGGGGUAGCAAUAAGUUAUUUUGGACGAGCCAAGAAAGAGGAAGUUAUCGAGUAGUUUUUGCCUGUUCUUUGUUUUCGGGUCGCGUUUGGUCGGUUUUAAGAGAAAUAUUGUACAAGACGUCAUAUAUGGGUACCUAACAUGGAAAAAUUAUGUAAACGACAUUUUCUAAGCAUGGAUUGGGUAGCAAUAAGUUAUUUUGGACGAGCCAAGAAAGAGGUAGUUAUCGUGGAGUUUUUGCAUGUCCUUUAUUUUUGAGUCGCCUUUGGUCGGUUUUAGGGCAAAUUCUGUACAAUAUGUAAUAUAUGGGUACCUAACUUGGAAAAAUUAUGUGAAUUGAAUUUUUUAAGCAUGGAUUGGGUUAUAAAAAGUUAUGUUGGACGAGCCACGAAAGAGUUAGUUAUCGAGGAUUUUUUUGCGAUACCUUUGUUUUUGAGUCGCAUUUGGUAGGUUUAAGGGCAAAUUAUGCACAAGAUGUCAUUUAUGCGUGCCUAACUUGGAAAAACUAUGUAAAGGGCAUUUUUAAGCAUGUAUUGGGUAGGAAAAAGUUAUUUUGGACGAGCCAUAAAAGAGGUAUUUAUCGAGGUGUUUUUGCGUGUCCUUUGUUUUCGAGUCGCAUUUGGUCCGUGUUUGGGCAAAUUCUGGACAAGCUGUCAUAUAUGGGUACCUCACUUGGAAAAAUUCUGUGACCAGCAUUUUUUAAGCAUGGAUUAGGUAGCAAUAAGUUAUUUUGGAUGAGCCAAGAAAGAGGUAGUUAUCGAGUAGUUUUUCCGUGUCCUUUGUUUUGAAUCGCGUUUGGUCAGUUUUAGGGCAAAUUCUGUACAACAUGUCAUAUAUGGGAACCUAACUUUAGAAAAAUUCUAUGAAUGGCAUUUUUAAGCAUGGAUUGGGUAGCAAAAAGUUAUUUUGGAAGAGCCACGAAAGAGGUAGUUAUCGAGUCACGUUUGGUCGGUUUUAGGGCAAAUUCUGUACAAGAUGUCAUAUAUGGGUACCUAACUUGGAAAAAUUCCAUGACCGGCUUUUUAAGCAUGGAUUGGGUAGCAAAAAUUUAUUUUGGACGAGCCAUGAAAGAGGUAGUUAUCAAGUAGUUUUUACGUAUCCUUUGUUUCGAGUCGCGUUUGGUCGGUUUUAGGGCAAAUUUUGUACAACAUGUCAGAUAUGGGUACCUAACUUGGAAACAUUCGGUGAANNNNNNNNNNAGGUAGUUAUCGUGGAGUUUUUGCAUGUCCUUUAUUUUUGAGUCGCCUUUGGUCGGUUUUAGGGCAAAUUCUGUACAAUAUGUAAUAUAUGGGUACCUAACUUGGAAAAAUUAUGUGAAUUGAAUUUUUUAAGCAUGGAUUGGGUUAUAAAAAGUUAUGUUGGACGAGCCACGAAAGAGUUAGUUAUCGAGGAUUUUUUUGCGAUACCUUUGUUUUUGAGUCGCAUUUGGUAGGUUUAAGGGCAAAUUAUGCACAAGAUGUCAUUUAUGCGUGCCUAACUUGGAAAAACUAUGUAAAGGGCAUUUUUAAGCAUGUAUUGGGUAGGAAAAAGUUAUUUUGGACGAGCCAUAAAAGAGGUAUUUAUCGAGGUGUUUUUGCGUGUCCUUUGUUUUCGAGUCGCAUUUGGUCCGUGUUUGGGCAAAUUCUGGACAAGCUGUCAUAUAUGGGUACCUCACUUGGAAAAAUUCUGUGACCAGCAUUUUUUAAGCAUGGAUUAGGUAGCAAUAAGUUAUUUUGGAUGAGCCAAGAAAGAGGUAGUUAUCGAGUAGUUUUUCCGUGUCCUUUGUUUUGAAUCGCGUUUGGUCAGUUUUAGGGCAAAUUCUGUACAAGACGUCAUAUAUGGGUACCUAACAUGGAAAAAUUCUGUGAACGAAAUUUUUUAAGCAUGGAUUAGGUAGCAAAAAGUUAUUUUGGACGAGCCACGAAAGAGGUAAUUAUUGAGGAGUUUCUGCGUGUCCUUUGUUUUUGAGUCGCGUUUGGUCGGUUCUAGGGUAAAUUCUGUACAAGAUGUCAUAUAUGGGUACCUAACUUGGAAAUAUUCUAUGAACGACAUUUUUAAGCAUGGAUUGGGUAGCAAAAAUUUAUUUUGGGCAAGCCAACAAAGAGGUAAUUAUCGAGGAGUUUCUGCGUGUCCUUUCUUUCCGAGUCGUGUUUGGUCGGUUUUAGGGCAAAUUCUGUAACAGAUGUCAUAUGUGGUACCUACCUUGGAAAUUUUCUGCGAACGGCAUUCUUUUAAGCAUGUACUUGGUUGCAAAAUUUAUUUUGGAGGAGCCACAAAAGAGGUAGUUAUCAAGGAGUUUCUGCGUGUCCUUUGUUUUCGAGUCGCGCUUGGUCGGUUUCUCGGAAAUUCUAUAACAGAUGCCAUAUAUGGUACCUAACUUGGAAAAUUUCUGUGAACGGUAUUUUUAAGCAUGGAUUGGGCAGCAAAAAGUUAUUUUGGACGUCCCACGAAAGAGGUAUUUAUCGAGGAGUUUUUUCGUGUCCUUUGUUUUCGAGUCUCGUUUGGUCGGUUUUAGGGUAAAUUCUGUACAAGAUGUCAUGUAUGGUUACCUAACUUGGAAAAUUUCUAUGAACGUAAUUUUUUAAGAAUGGAUUGGGUAGCUAAAAGUUAUUUUGGACGAGCCAAGAAAGAGGUAGUUAUAGAGGAGGUUUUGCGUGUCCUUUGUUUUCGAGUCGCGUUUGGUUGGUUCAAGGGCAAAUUCUGUACAAGAUGUCAUAUAUGGGUACCUAACUUGGAAAAAUUCUGUGAACGACAUUUUUUAAGCAUGGAUUGGGUAGCAAAAAGUUAUGUUGGACGAGCCACUAAAGAGUUAGUUAUCGAGGAGUUUUUGCGUGUCCUUUGUUUUCGAGUCACGUUUGGUCGGUUUUAGGGCAAAUUCUGUACAACAUGUCAUAUAUGGGUACUUAACUUUGAUAAAAUUCUGUGAAUGGCAUUUUUUAAGCAUGGAUUGGGUAGAAAAAAUUUAUUUUGGAAGAGCCACAAAAGAGGUAGUUAUCGAGGAGUUUUUGCAUGUCAUUUGUUUUUGAGUCGCGUUUGGUCGGUUUUAGGGCAAAUUCCGUACAAGAUGUCAUAUAUGAGUACCUAACUUGGAAAAAUUCUAUGACCGGCUUUUUAAGCAUGGAUAGGGUAGCCAAAAGUUAUUUUGGACGAGCCAAGAAAGAGGUAUUUAUCGAGGAGUUUUGCGUGUCUUUUGUUAUCGAGUCGCGUUUGGUCGGUUUUAGGGUAAAUUCUGUACAAGAUGUCAUGUAUGGUUACCUAACUUGGAAACUUUCUAUGAACGGAAUUUUUUAAGAAUGGAUUGGGUAUCUAAAAGUUAUUUUGUACGAGCCAAGGAAGAGGUAGUUAUAGAGGAGGUUCUGCGUGUCCAUUGUUUUCGAGUCGCGUUUGGUUGGUUCAAGGGCAAAUUUUGUACAAGAUGUGAUAUAUGGGUACCUAGCUUGGAAAAAUUAUGUGAAUGACAUUUUUUAAGCAUUGAUUGGGUAGCCAAAAGUUAUGUUGGACGAGCCACUAAAGAGGUAGUUAUCGAGGAGUUUUUGCGUGUCCUUUGUUUUCGAGUCGCGUUUGGUCGAUUUUAGGGCAAAUUCUGUACAACAUGUCAUAUAUGGGUACCUAACUUUGGAAAAAUAAUAUGAAUGGCAUUUUUAUGCAUGGAUUGGGUAGCAAAAAGUUAUUUUGGAAGAGCCACGAAAGAGGUAGUUAUCGAGUCAAGUUUGCUCGGUUUUAGGGCAAAUUCUGUACAAGAUGUCAUAUAUGGGUACCUAACUUGGAAAAAUUCUAUGACCGGGUUUUUAAGCAUGGAUUGGGUAGCCAAAAGUUAUUUUGGACGAGCCAUGAAAGAGGUAGUUAUCAAGGAGUUUUUGCGUGUCCUUUGUUUCGAGUCGCGUUUGGUCGGUUUUAGGGCAAAUAUUGUACAACAUGUCAUAUAUGGGUACCUAACUUCCAAACAUUCGGUGAACGACAUUUUAUAAGGAUGGAUUGGGUAGCAAAAAAUUAUGUUGAACAAGCCACGAUAGAGGUAGUUACUGACGAGUUUUUUCAUGUCCUUUGUUUUUGAGUCGUGUUUGGUCGGUUUUAGGGCAAAUUCUGUUAUGUUGGACGAGCCACGACAGAGUUAGUUAUCGAGGAGUUUUUGCGUGUCCUUUGUUUGGAUUGGGUAGCAAUAAGUUAUUUUGGGCAAGCCACCAAAGAGGUAAUUAUUGAGGAGUUUCUGCAUGUCGCGUUUGGUUGGUUUUAGGGAUAAUUCUUUAACAGAUGUCAUAUACGGUACCUACCUUGGAAAUUUUCUGCGAACGGCAUUCUUUUAAGCAUGGACUUGGUAGCUAAAUCUAUUUUGGACGAGCCCCAAAAGAGGUAGUUAUCGAGGAGUUUCUGCGUGUCCUUUGUUUUUGAGUCGCGUUUGGUCGGUUUUAGGGCAAAAUUCUGUGAACGGCGUUUUUUAAGAAUGGAUUGGACAGCAAAAAGUUAUUUUGGACGAGCCACGAAAGAGGUAUUUAUCGGGGAGUUUUUGCGUGUCCUUUGUUUUCGAGUUGCGUUUGGUCGGUUUUAGGGUAAAUUAUGUACAAGAGGUCAUCUAUGGUUACCUACUUGGAAAAUUUCUAUGAACAGAGUUUUUUAUGAAUGGAUUGGGUAACUAAAAGUUAUUUUGGACGAGCCAAGAAAGAGGUAGUUAUAGAGGAGGUUUUGCGUGUGCUUUGUUUUCGAGUCAUAUAUGGGUACCUAACUUAGAAAAAUUCUGUGAACAACAUUUUUUAAGCAUGGACUGGGUAGCAAAGAGUUAUGUUGGACGAGCCACUUAAGAGGUAGUUAUCGAGCAGUUUUUGCGUGUCCUUUGUUUUUGAGUCGCGUUUGGUCGGUUUUAGGGCAAAUUCUGUACAACAUGUCAUAUAUGGGUACCUAACUUUGGAAAAAUUCUGUGAAUGGCAUUUUUUAAGCAUGGAUUGGGUAGCAAAAAGUUAUUUUGGAAGAGCCAUGAAAGAGGUAGUUAUCGAGGAGUUUUUUCAUGUCAUUUGCUUUCGAGUCGCGUUUGGUCGGUUUUAGGGAAAAUUCUGUACAACAUGUCAUAUAUGGGUUGGGUUAUAAAAAUUUAUGUUGGACGAGCCACGAAAGAGUUAGUUAUCGCGGAGUUUUUGCGUGUCCUUUGUUUUUGAGUCGCAUUUGGUAGGUUUAAGGGCAAAUUAUGCACAAGAUGUCAUAUAUGGGUACCUAACUUGGAAAAGUUAUGUAAACGGCAUUUUUUAAGCAUGGAUUGGGUAGCAAAAAGUUAUUUUGGAUGAGCCAUAAAAGAGAUAUUUGUCCAGGAGUUUUUGCGUGUCCUUUGUUUUCGAGUCACAUUUGGUUGGUUUUAGGGCAAAUUCUGGACAAGCUGUCAUAUAUGGGUACCUAACUUGGAAAAAUUAUGUGACCAGCAUUUUUUAAGCAUGGAUUAGGUAGCAAUAAGUUAUUUUGGAUGAGCCAAGAAAGAGGUAGUUAUCGAGUAGUUUUUCCGUGUCCUUUUGUUUUUGAGUCGCGUUUGGUCGGUUUUAGGGCAAAUUCUGUACAAGACGUCAUAUAUGGAUACCUAACAUGGAAAAAUUGUGUGAACGAAAUUUUUUAAGCAUGGAUUGGGUAGCAAAAAGUUAUUUUGGACAAGCCACGAAAGAGGUAGUUAUGGAGGAAUUUUUGCGUGUCCUUUUUUUUGAGUCGCGUUUCGUCGGUUUUAGGGUAAAUUCUGUACAAGAUGUCAUAUAUGGGUACCAAACUUGGAAAUAUUCUCUGGACGACAUUUUUAAGCAUGGAUUGGGUAGCAAAAAGUUAUUUUGGGCAAGCCGCCAAAGAGGUAAUUAUCGAGGAGUUUCUGCGUGUCCUUUCUUUCCGAGUCGUGUUUGGUCGGUUUUAGGGCCAAUUCUAUAACAGAUGUCAUAAUGGUACCUACCUUGGAAACUUUCUGCGAACGACAUUUUUUUAAGCAUUGAUUUGGUGGGAAAAUUUAUGUUGGACGAGCCAAAAAAGAGGUAGUUAUCGAGGAGUUUCUGCGUGUCCUUUGUUUUCGAGUCGCGUUUGGUCGGUUUUAGGGCAAAUUCUGUACAAGACGUCAUAUAUGGAUACCUAACAUGGAAAAAUUCUGUGAACGAAAUUUUUUAAGCAUGGAUUGGGUAGCAAAAAUUUAUUUUGGACAAGCCACGAAAGAGGUAGUUAUGGAAGAAUUUUUGCGUGUCCUUUGUUUUUGAGUCGCGUUUCGUCGGUUUUAGGGUAAAUUCUGUACAAGAUGUCAUAUAUGGGUACCAAACUUGGAAAUAUUCUGUGGACGACAUUUUUAAGCAUGGAUUGGGUAGCAAAAAGUUACUUUGGGCAAGCCGCCAAAGAGGUAAUUAUCAAGGAGUUUCUGCGUGUCCUUUCUUUCCGAGUCGUGUUUGGUCGGUUUUAGGGCAAAUUCUAUAACAGAUGUUAUAUAUGGUACCUACCUUGGAAAUUUUUUGCGAACGGCAUUUUUUUAACCAUGGAUUUGGUAGCAAAAUUUAUUUUGGACGAGCCACAAAAGAGGUAGUUAUCGAGGAGUUUCUGCGUGUCCUUUGUUUUCGAGUCACGUUUGGUCGGUUUUAGGGCAAAUUCUAUAACAGAUGCCAUAUAUGGUAGCUAACUUGGAAAAUUUCUGUGAACGACAUUUUUUAAGCAUGGAUUAGGCAGCAAAAAGUUAUUUUGGACGUGCCACGAAAGAGGUAUUUAUCGAGGAGUUUUUGCGUGUCCUUUGUUUUCGAGUCGCGUUUGGUCGGUUUUAGGGUAAAUUCUGUACAAGAUGUCAUGUAUGGUUACCUAACUUGGAAAAUUUCUAUGAACGGAAUUUUUUAAGAAUGGAUUGGGUAGCUAAAGUUAUUCUGGACAAGCCAAAAAAGAGGUAGUUAUAGAGGAGGUUUUGCGUGUCCUUUGUUUUCGAGUCGCGUUUGGUUGGUUCAAGGGCAAAUUCUGUACAAGAUGUCAUAUAUGGGUACCUAACUUGGAAAAAUUCUGUGAACAACAUUUGUUAAGCAUGGAUUGGGUAGCAAAAAGUAAUGUUGGACGAGCCACUAAAGAGGUAGUUAUCGAGGAGUUUUUGCGUGUCCUUUGUUUUCGAGUGGCGUUUGGUCGGUUUUAGCGCAAAUUCUGUACAACAUGUCAUAUAUGUGUACCUAACUUUGGAAUAAUUCUGUGAAUGGCAUUUUUUAAGCAUGGAUUGGGUAGAAAAAAGUUAUUUUGGAAGAGCCACGAAAGAGGUAGUUAUCGAGGAGUUUUUGCAUGUCAUUUGUUUUUGAGCCGCGUUUGGUCGGUUUUAGGGAAAAUUCUGUACAAGAUGUCAUAUAUGGGUACCGAACUUGGAAAAAUUUUAUGACCGGCUUUUUAAGCAUGGAUUGGGUAGCCAAAAGUUAUUUUGGACGAGCCACAAAAGAGAUAUUUAUCGAGGAGUUUUUGCGUGUCAUUUGUUGUCGAGUCGCGUUUGGUCGGUUUUAGGGUAAAUUCUGUACAAGAUGUCAUGUAUGGUUACCUAACUUGGAAAAUUUCUAUGAACGGAAUUUUUUAAGAAUGGAUUGGGUAGCUAAAAGUUAUUUUGGAUGAGCCAAGGAAGAGGUAGUUAUAGAGGAGGUUUUGCGUGUCCUUUGUUUUCGAGUCGCGUUUGGUUGGUUCAAGGGCAAAUUUUGUACAAGAUGUCAUAUAUGGGUACCUACUUGGAAAAAUUCUGUCAAUGACAUUUUUUAAGCAUAGACUGGGUAGCAAAAAGUUAUGUUGGAUGAGCCACUAAAGAUGUAGUUAUCGAGGAGUUUUUGCGUGUCCUUUGUUUUCGAGUCACGUUUGGUCGGUUUUAGGGCAAAUUCUGUACAACAUGUCAUAAAUGGCUACCUAACUUUGGAAAAAUUUUGUGAACGACAUUUUAUAAGGAUGGAUUGGGUAGCAAAAAUUUAUGUUGGACGAGCCACGAAAGAGUUAGUUAUCGAGGAGUUUUUGCAUGUUCUUUGUUUUUGAGUCGCGUUUGUUCGGUUUUAGGGCAAAUUCUGUACAAGAUGUAAUAUAUGGGUACCUAACUUGGAAAAAUUAUGUGAACGGCAUUUUUAAGCAUGGAUUGGGUUAUAAAAAGUUAUGUUGGACGAGCCACGAAAGAGUUAGUUAUCGAGGAGUUUUUCCGUGUCCUUUGUUUUCAAGUCGCGUUUGGUAGGUUUAAGGGCAAAUUAUGCACAAGUUUUCAUAUAUGGGUACCUAACUUGGAAAAAUUAUGUAAACAGCAUUUUUUAAGCAUGGAUUGGGUAGCAAAAAGUUAUUUUGGACAAGCCAUGAAAGUGGUAUUUAUCGAACAGUUUUUGCGUGUCCUUUGUUUUCGAGUCGUGUUUGGUCGGUUUUAGGGCAAAUUCUGGACAAGCUAUCACAUAUGGGUACCUAACUUGGAAAAAUUCUGUGAGCAGCAUUUUUUAAGCAUGUAUUGGGUAGCAAUAAGUUAUUUUGGAUGAGCCAAGAAAGAGGUAGUUAUCGAGUAGUUUUUGCAUGUCAUUUGUUUUCGAGUCGCGUUUGGUCGGUUUUAGGGCAAAUUCUAUACAAGACGUCAUAUAUGGGUACCUAACAUGGAAAAAUUAUGUAAACGACAUUGUUUAAGCAUGGAUUGGGUAGCAAAAAGUUUUUUUGGACGAGCCAUGAAAGAGGUAUUUAUCGAGGAGUUUUUGCGUGUCCUUUGUUUUCGAGUCGUGUUUGGUCGGUUUUAGGGCAAAUUCUAGACAAGCUGUCAUAUAUGGGUACCUAACUUGGAAAAAUUCUGUGAGUAGCAUUUUCAAGCAUGGAUUGGGUAGCAAUAAGUUAUUUUGGACGAGCCAAGAAAGAGGUAGUUAUCGAGGAGUUUUUGCGUGUCCUUUGUUUUUUGAGUCGCGUUUGGUUGGUUUUAGAGCAAAUUCCGUACAAGAUGUUCCUAACUUGGAAAAAUUAUGUGAACGGCAUUUUUAAUUGUGGAUUGGGUUAUAAAAAGUUAUGUUGGAGGAGCCACGAUAGAGUUAGUUAUCGAGGAGUUUUUGCGUGUCCUCUGUUUUCGAGUCGCGUUUGGUCGGUUUUAGGGCAAAUUCUGUACAACUUGUCAUAUAUGGGUGUAACACCCCAGAUGUAACUUUCCAUAUUUGCAACUUCAACUCUUGCCAUUUUUGGCUAUGUGUUAUGACAUUCCCUUCGUGGUCGGGUUUUGUUUUCCGUUUUGCUUUUUGCUUUUGUCAUGCAUCUCAUAUCAUGUCAUCAUGUGCAUUGCAUUUGCAUACGUGUUCGUCUUUUGCAUCCGAGCAUUUUCCCAGUUGUCCGUUUUGCAAUCCGGCACUCCCACCUCCUCCGGCGCACCCCUCUUUUUUUCUUUUCGUGAGCGGGUGUUGAACAUUCUCGAAAUGGACCGAGGCUUGCCAAGCGGCCUUGGUAUACCACCGGUAGACCACCUGUCAAGUUUCGUUCCAGUUGGAGGUCGUUUGGUACUCCAACGGUUAACCGGGCAACCGCAAAGUCCUUUUGUGUGUUGCAGCAAAACCCCCCUCCUAAUAGCCCAAAACCCAUCUAAGUCACUUCCAUGCUCUAGGUCGUUCAAUUAGGAUCGUGUGGGCGAAAACCGUGCUCAAUUUGGAGUCUCCUAGCUCCCUCUGCCUAUAAAAACACCUCCCCCUCCGAAAUCUGGGCGAAACCCUAGCAAAAAUCGUCCUCCGCGCCGCCAAACGCGUCCACUCCCGCCGGACGAACCCGCCGCCGCGCCCUGCCCACUCACAGCGCGACACGUGGCUUCGCUCCGUCGCCCGCGCCGCCGGCCCGCUGGGCGUGUAAUAUAUCGAAAUGUUCAUCUCGAGAUGCUCUUCAUUUUGUUCCAUUGCACCAUGUUCAUUUGAGUCCAUCUUGAGGCCCAAAUCUCUGGUGCAAGAGUGCUAGUUGCUGUUAACUGCUGUUACUUAUCAGAACUUGAGGAUUUGUUAUUUUUGUUGCUAUUAAUGUGUGCAUCUUACUGUCAUCAAGCUCACCAAGUCUGUAACAUGUUAACGAAACUUGCUAUGUUUACAUGGUUGCCAUCAUAUCUUCUGGUCCUUUUUGGCUUAUGGUCAGUAAGGGACUUUUGUUAUAUGCAUUUAGUAGAAUACUGACAUGCCUUGUUUUGCCAUGUUAAGUUCCUGUAGCAUGUUGAUUGCUUGCUCUGAACAUUGCUACCUGAUGCUGUUUAUGCCAUGUCCAGUAAUUUCACCAAGUCUGUGAACAUGAUAUCUUUUGCACUUUUGCCAUGCCUGUUUGAACCUCCUGUGGUGUGAUCUAGCCGUAGCUCAUUGUUCAUCUUUUGGCAAGCACCUCCUGUAGAUUACUGCCAUAUGCUUUGCUGCUAUGUUGGGGUGCUGUAGCAUUGUUACUUGUUACAUUCUAAGUGCUAUCAUGCUGUUAAUCGCAGAUUCGUGUCAUUCUUGUUUUGCUUGCCAUUUGCAAACCGUGCAUCCGUUUCCGGUGAUCUUUAUAUCGAUUUCAACCAAAAUCAUCUCAUCUUUCCAGUGGCAUGCUUGGUUUGUCAAUUUACUGCCUUGUUCAUCAUUUUUCUUCCGGAGCACGCAUAUGCAUCGCAUAUCAUAUCUUGCAUAUCAUUCAUGUAUUGCAUCAUGUUGCUUGUGCAUUUCCCGUGAUUGAUUGUGGUUCCGUUGCUUGUGUUCUUGUUUUGGGUAGAGCCGGGAGACGAGUUCGUGAACGAGGAACCUGUUGAGUACGCUUACGAGGAUCAAGCUUUCGACAACUCUGAGAACCUUGCAGGAAAGAUGACCAUACCCUCAAAAUCACUUCUAUCUUUGCUUUGCUAGUUGUUCGUUCUUUGCCAUGCUGCGCUACCUACCAUUUGCUAUAUCAUGCCUCCCAUAUUGCCAUGUCAAGCCUCUAACCAUCCUUUCCUAGCAAACCGUUGUUUGGCUAAGUUACCGCUUUUGCUCAGCCCUUCUUAUAGCGUUGCUAGUUGCAGGUGAGCCACUAAAGAGGUACUUAUCAAGGAGUUUCUACGUGUCCUUUGCUUUUGAGUCACGCUUGGUCGGUUUUAGGGCAAAUUCUGUAACAGAUGCCAUAUAUGGGUACCAAACUUGGAAAAUUUCUAUGAAUGGCAUUUUUUAAGCAUGGAUUGGGCAGCAAAAAUUAUUUUGGACGAGCCACGAAAGAGGUAUUUAUCAAGGAGUUUUUGCGUGUCCUUUGUUUUCGAGUCACGUUUGGUCGAUUUCAGGGCAAAUUCUGUACAGGAUGUCAGGUAUGGUUACCUAACUUGGAAAAUUUCUGUGAACGGCAUUUUCUAAGCAUGGAUUGGCUAGUAAAAGUUAUUUUGGACAAGCCAUGAAAGAGGUAGUUAUCGAGGUGUUUUUUCGUCUCCUUUGUUUUCGAGACGUGUUUGGUCGGUUCAAGGGCAAAUUUUGUACAAGAUGUCAUAUAUGUGUACCUAACGUGGAAAACUUAUGUAAACGACAUUUUCUAAGCAUGGAUUGGGCAGCCAAGCAAGAGGUAGUUAUCGUGGAGUUUUUGCAUGUCCUUUAUUUUUGAGUCGCGUUCGGUCGGUUUUAGGGCAAAUUCUGUACAAUAUGUAAUAUAUGGGUACCUAACUUGGAAAAAUUAUGUGAAUGGAAUUUUUUAAGCAUGGAUUGGGUUAUAAAAUGUUAUGUUGGACGAGCCACGAAAGAGUUAGUUAUCGAGGAUUUUUUGCGUGUCCGUUGUUCUCGAGUCGCGUUCCGUCGGUUUUAGGGUACAUUCCGUACAAGAUGUCAUGUAUGGUUACCUAACUUGGAAAAUUUGUAUGAACGGAAUUUUUUAAGCACGGAUUGGGUAGCUAAAAGUUAUUUUGGAUGAGCCAUGAAAGCGGUAGUUAUCAAGGAGUUUUUGCGUGUUCUUUGUUUUCAAGUCGCGUUUGGUCCGUUCAAGGGCAAAUUCUGUACAAGAUGUCAUAUAUGGGUACCUAAGUUUGAAUAAUUCUAUGAACGGCAUUUUUUAAGCAUGGAUUAGGUACCAAAAAGUUAUGUUGGACGAGCCACGAAAGAGGUAGUUACCGAGGAGUUUUUGCGUGUCUUUUGUUUUUGAGUCGCGUUUGGUCUGUUUUAGGGCAAAUUCUGUACAACAUGUAAUAUAUGGGUACCUAACUUGGAAAAAUUAUGUGAACGACAUUUUUAAGCAUGGAUUGGGUUAUAAAAAGUUAUGUUGGACGAGCCACGAAAGAGUUAGUAUCGAGGGGUUUUUUUGUGUCCUUUGUUUUCGAGUCGCGUUUCGUAGGUUUAAGGGCAAAUUAUGCACAAGCUGUCAUAUAUGGGUACCUAACUUGGAAAAAUUAUGUGAACGACAUUUUUUAAUUAUGGAUUGGGUUAUAAAAAGUUAUGUUGGAGGAGCCACGAUAGAGUUAGUUAUCGAGGAGCUUUUGCGUGUCCUUUGUUUUCGAGUCGCGUUUGGUCGCUUUUAGGGCAAAUGCUGGACAAGCUGUCAUAUAUGGGUACCUGACUUGGAAAAAUUCUAUGAGCAGAAUUUUUUAAGCAUCGGGUAGCAAUAAGUUAUUUUGGACGAGCCAAGAAAGAGGUAGUUAUCGAGUAGUUUUUGCCUGUCCUUUGUUUUCGGGUCGCGUUUGGUCGGUUUUAAGACAAAUAUUGUACAAGACGUCAUAUAUGGGUACCUAACGUGGAAAAAUUAUGUAACGACAUUUUCUAAGCAUGGAUUGGGUAGCAAUAAGUUAUUUUGGACGAGCCAAGAAAGAGGUAGUUAUCGUGGAGGUUUUGCAUGUCCUUUAUUUUUGAGUCGCGUUCGGUCAGUUUUAGGGCAAAUUCUGUACAAUAUGUAAUAUAUGGGUACCUAACUUGGAAAAAUUAUGUGAAUGGAAUUUUUUAAGCAUGGAUUGGGUUAUAAAAUGUUAUGUUGGACGAGCCACGAAAGAGUUAGUUAUCGAGGAUUUUUUGCGUGUCCUUUGUUUUCGAGUCGCGUUCCGUCGGUUUUAGGGUACAUUCCGUACAAGAUGUCAUGUAUGGUUACCUAACUUGGAAAAUUUGUAUGAACGGAAUUUUUUAAGCACGGAUUGGGUAGCUAAAAGUUAUUUUGGAUGAGCCAUGAAAGAGGUAGUUAUCAAGGAGUUUUUGCGUGUUCUUUGUUUUCAAGUCGCGUUUGGUCCGUUCAAGGGCAAAUUCUGUACAAGAUGUCAUAUAUGGGUACCUAAGUUUGAAUAAUUCUAUGAACGGCAUUUUUUAAGCAUGGAUUGGGUACCAAAAAGUUAUGUUGGACGAGCCACGAAAGAGGUAGUUACCGAGGAGUUUUUGCGUGUCUUUUGUUUUUGAGUCGCGUUUGGUCUGUUUUAGGGCAAAUUCUGUACAACAUGUAAUAUAUGGGUACCUAACUUGGAAAAAUUAUGUGAACGACAUUUUUAAGCAUGGAUUGGGUUAUAAAAAGUUAUGUUGGACGAGCCACGAAAGAGUUAGUAUCGAGGGGUUUUUGUGUGUCCUUUGUUUUCGAGUUGCGUUUGGUAGGUUUAAGGGCAAAUUAUGCACAAGCUGUCAUAUAUGGGUACCUAACUUGGAAAAAUUAUGUGAACGGCAUUUUUUAAUUAUGGAUUGGGUUAUAAAAAGUUAUGUUGGAGGAGCCACGAUAGAGUUAGUUAUCGAGGAGCUUUUGCGUGUCCUUUGUUUUCGAGUCGCGUUUGGUCGCUUUUAGGGCAAAUGCUGGACAAGCUGUCAUAUAUGGGUACCUAACUUGGAAAAAUUCUAUGAGCAGAAUUUUUUAAGCAUGGGGUAGCAAUAAGUUAUUUUGGACGAGCCAAGAAAGAGGUAGUUAUCGAGUAGUUUUUGCCUGUUCUUUGUUUUCGGGUCGCGUUUGGUCGGUUUUAAGACAAAUAUUGUACAAGACGUCAUAUAUGGGUACCUAACGUGGAAAAAUUAUGUAAACGACAUUUUCUAAGCAUGGAUUGGGUAGCAAUAAGUUAUUUUGGACGAGCCAAGAAAGAGGUAGUUAUCGUGGAGUUUUUGCAUGUCCUUUAUUUUUGAGUCGCGUUUGGUCGGUUUUAGGGCAAAUUCUGUACAAUAUGUAAUAUAUGGGUACCUAACUUGGAAAAAUUAUGUGAAUGGAAUUUUUUAAGCAUGGAUUGGGUUAUAAAAAGUUAUGUUGGACGAGCCACGAAAGAGUUAGUUAUCGAGGAUUUUUUGCGUGUCCUUUGUUUUUGAGUCGCAUUUGGUAGGUUUAAGGGCAAAUUAUGCACAAGAUGUCAUAUAUGGGUGCCUAACUUGGAAAAACUAUGUAAAGGGCAUUUUUAAGCAUGUAUUGGGUAGCAAAAAGUUAUUUUGGACGAGCCAUAAAAGAGGUAUUUAUCGAGGAGUUUUUGCGUGUCCUUUGUUUUCGAGUCGCAUUUGGUCCGUGUUUGGGCAAAUUCUGGACAAGCUGUCAUAUAUGGGUACCUCACUUGGAAAAAUUCUGUGACCAGCAUUUUUUAAGCAUGGAUUAGGUAGCAAUAAGUUAUUUUGGAUGAGCCAAGAAAGAGGUACUUAUCGAGUAGUUUUUCCGUGUCCUUUGUUUUGAGUCACGUUUGGUCGGUUUUAGGGCAAAUUCUGUACAAGACGUCAUAUAUGGGUACCUAACAUGGAAAAAUUCUGUGAACGAAAUUUUUUAAGCAUGGAUUAGGUAGCAAAAAUAUAUUUUGGACGAGCCACGAAAGAGGUAAUUAUCGAGGAGUUUCUGCGUGUCCUUUGUUUUUGAGUCGCGUUUGGUCGGUUUUAGGGUAAAUUCUGUACAAGAUGUCAUAUAUGGGUACCUAACUUGGAAAUAUUCUAUGAACGAUAUUUUUAAGCAUGGAUUGGGUAGCAAAAAGUUAUUUGGGCAAGCCAACAAAGAGGUAAUUAUCGAGGAGUUUCUGCGUGUCCUUUCUUUCCGAGUCGUGUUUGGUCGGUUUUAGGGCAAAUUCUGUAACAGAUGUCAUAUGUGGUACCUACCUUGGAAAUUUUCUGCGAACGGCAUUCUUUUAAGCAUGGACUUGGUAGCAAAAUUUAUUUUGGACGAGCCACAAAAGAGGUAGUUAUCAAUGAGUUUCUGCGUGUCCUUUGUUUUCGAGUCGCGCUUAGUCGGUUUCUGGGCAAAUUCUAUAACAGAUGCCAUAUAUGGUACCUAACUUCGAAAAUUUCUGUGAACGGUAUUUUUAAGCAUGGAUUGGGCAGCAAAAAGUUAUUUUGGACGUGCCACGAAAGAGGUAUUUAUCGAGGAGUUUUUGCGUGUCCUUUGUUUUCGAGUCUCGUUUGGUCGGUUUUAGUGUAAAUUUUGUACAAGAUGUCAUGUAUGGUUACCUAACUUGGAAAAUUUCUAUGAACGUAAUUUUUUAAGAAUGGAUUGGGUAGCUAAAAGUUAUUUUGGACGAGCCAAGAAAGAGGUGGUUAUAAAGGAGGUUUUGCGUGUCCUUUGUUUUCGAGUCGCGUUUGGUUGGUUCAAGGGCAAAUUCUGUACAAGAUGUCAUAUAUGGGUACCUAACUUGGAAAAAUUCUGUGAACGACAUUUUUUAAGCAUGGAUUGGGUAGCAAAAAGUUAUGUUGGACGAGCCACUAAAGAGUUAGUUAUCGAGGAGUUUUUGCGUGUCCUUUGUUUUUGAGUCGCGUUUGGUCGGUUUUAGGGCAACUUCCGUACAAGAUGUCAUAUAUGGGUACCUAACUUGGAAAAAUUCUAUGACCGGCUUUUUAAGCAUGGAUAGGGUAGCCAAUAGUUAUUUUGGACGAGCCACGAAAGAGGUAUUUAUCGAGGAGUUUUUGCGUGUCUUUUGUUGUCGAGUCGCGUUUGGUCGGUUUUAGGGUAAAUUCUGUACAAGAUGUCAUGUAUGGUUACCUAACUUGGAAACUUUCUAUGAACGGAAUUUUUUAAGAAUGGAUUGGGUAUCUAAAAGUUAUUUUGUACGAGCCAAGGAAGAGGUAGUUAUAGAGGAGGUUCUGCGUGUCCAUUGUUUUCGAGUCGCGUUUGGUUGGUUCAAGGGCAAAUUUUGUACAAGAUGUCAUAUAUGGGUACCUAACUUGGAAAAUUCUGUGAAUGACAUUUUUUAAGCAUUGAUUGGGUAGCCAAAAGUUAUGUUGGACGAGCCACUAAAGAGGUAGUUAUCGAGGAGUUUUUGCGUGUCCUUUGUUUUCGAGUCGCGUUUGGUCGAUUUUAGGGCAAAUUCUGUACAACAUGUGAUAUAUGGGUACCUAACUUUGGAAAAAUAAUAUGAAUGGCAUUUUUAUGCAUGGAUUGGGUAGCAAAAAGUUAUUUUGGAAGAGCCACGAAAGAGGUAGUUAUGGAGUCAAGUUUGCUCGGUUUUAGGGCAAAUUCUGUACAAGAUGUCAUAUAUGGGUACCUAACUUGGAAAAAUUCUAUGACCGGCUUUUUAAGCAUGGAUUGGGUAGCCAAAAGUUAUUUUGGACGAGCCAUGAAAGAGGUAGUUAUCAAGGAGUUUUUGCGUGUCCUUUGUUUCGAGUCGCGUUUGGUCGGUUUUAGGGCAAAUAUUGUACAACAUGUCAUAUAUGGGUACCUAACUUCCAAACAUUCGGUGAACGACAUUUUACAAGGAUGGAUUGGGUAGCAAAAAUUUAUGUUGAACAAGCCACGAUAGAGGUAGUUACUGACGAGUUUUUGCAUGUCCUUUGUUUUUGAGUCCUGUUUGGUCGGUUUUAGGGCAAAUUCUGUACAAGAUGUAAUAUAUGGGUACCUAACUUGGAACAAUUAUGUGAACGACAUUUUUAAGCACGGAUUGGGUUAUAAAAAGUUAUGUUGGACGAGCCACGAAAGAGUUAGUUAUCGAGGAGUUUUUGCGUGUCCUUUGUUUGGAUUGGGUAGCAAUAAGUUAUUUUGGGCAAGCCACCAAAGAGGUUAUUAUCGAGGAGUUUUUGCAUUUCGCGUUUGGUUGGUUUUAGGGAUAAUUCUGUAACAGAUGUCAUAUAUGGUACCUACCUUGGAAAUUUUCUGCGAACGGCAUUCUUUUAAGCAUGGACUUGGUAGCUAAAUCUAUUUUGGACGAGCCACAAGAGAGGUAGUUAUCGAGGAGUUUCUGCGUGUCCUUUGUUUUUGAGUCGCGUUUGGUCGGUUUUAGGGCAAAUUCUAUAACAGAUGCAAUAAAUGGUACCUAACUAGGAAAAUUUCUGUGAACGGCGUUUAAUAAGAAUGGAUUGGACAGCAAAAAGUUAUUUUGGACGAGCCACGAAAGAGGUAUUUAUCGAGGAGUUUUUGCGUGUCCUUUGUUUUCGAGUUGCGUUUGGUCGGUUUUAGGGUAAAUUAUGUACAAGAGGUCAUCUAUGGUUACCAACUUGGAAAAUUUCUAUGAACAGAGUUUUUUAUGAAUGGAUUGGGUAGCUAAAAGUUAUUUUGGACGAGCCAAGAAAGAGGUAGUUAUAGAGGAGGUUUUGCGUGUCCUUUGUUUUCGAGUCGCGUUUCGUAGGUUUAAGGGCAGAUUAUGCACAAGCUGUCAUAUAUGGGUACCUAACUUGGAAAAAUUAUGUGAACGGCAUUUUUUAAUUAUGGAUUGGGUUAUAAAAAGUUAUGUUGGAGGAGCCACGAUAGAGUUAGUUAUCGAGGAGCUUUUGCGUGUCCUUUGUUUUCGAGUCGCGUUUGGUCGCUUUUAGGGCAAAUGCUGGACAAGCUGUCAUAUAUGGGUACCUGACUUGGAAAAAUUCUAUGAGCAGAAUUUUUUAAGCAUUGGGUAGCAAUAAGUUAUUUUGGACGAGCCAAGAAAGAGGUAGUUAUCGAGUAGUUUUUGCCUGUCCUUUGUUUUCGGGUCGCGUUUGGUAGGUUUUAAGACAAAUAUUGUACAAGACGUCAUAUAUGGGUACCUAACGUGGAAAAAUUAUGUAAACGACAUUUUCUAAGCAUGGAUUGGGUAGCAAUAAGUUAUUUUGGACGAGCCAAGAAAGAGGUAGUUAUCGUGGAGUUUUUGCAUGUCCUUUAUUUUUGAGUCGCGUUUGGUCGGUUUUAGGGCAAAUUCUGUACAAUAUGUAAUAUAUGGGUACCUAACUUGGAAAAAUUAUGUGAAUGGAAUUUUUUAAGCAUGGAUUGGGUUAUAAAAUGUUAUAUUGGACGAGCCACGAAAGAGUUAGUUAUCGAGGAUUUUUUGCGUGUCCUUUGUUUUUGAGUCGCAUUUGGUAGGUUUAAGGGCAAAUUAUGCACAAGAUGUCAUAUAUGGGUGCCUAACUUGGAAAAACUAUGUAAAGGGCAUUUUUAAGCAUGUAUUGGGUAGCAAAAAGUUAUUUUGGACGAGCCAUAAAAGAGGUAUUUAUCGAGGAGUUUUUGCGUGUCCUUUGUUUUCAAGUCGCAUUUGGUCCGUGUUUGGGCAAAUUCUGGACAAGCUGUCAUAUAUGGGUACCUCACUUGGAAAAAUUCUGUGACCAGCAUUUUUUAAGCAUGGAUUAGGUAGCAAUAAGUUAUUUUGGAUGAGCCAAGAAAGAGGUAGUUAUCGAGUAGUUUUUCCGUGUCCUUUGUUUUGAGUCGCGUUUGGUCGGUUUUAGGGCAAAUUCUGUACAAGACGUCAUAUAUGGGUACCUAACAUGGAAAAAUUCCGUGAACGAAAUUUUUUAAGCAUGGAUUAGGUAGCAAAAAGUUAUUUUGGACGAGCCACGAAAGAGGUAAUUAUCGAGGAGUUUCUGCGUGUCCUUUGUUUUUGAGUCGCGUUUGGUCGGUUUUAGGGUAAAUUCUGUACAAGAUGUCAUAUAUGGGUACCUAACUUGGAAAUAUUCUAUGAACGANNNNNNNNNNUUUGUUUUCGAGUCUCGUUUGGUCGGUUUUAGGGUAAAUUUUGUACAAGAUGUCAUGUAUGGUUACCUAACUUGGAAAAUUUCUAUGAACGUAAUUUUUUAAGAAUGGAUUGGGUAGCUAAAAGUUAUUUUGGACGUGCCAAGAAAGAGGUAGUUAUAGAGGAGGUUUUGCGUGUCCUUUGUUUUCGAAUCGCGUUUGGUUGGUUCAAGGGCAAAUUCUGUACAAGAUGUCAUAUAUGGGUACCUAACUUGGAAAAAUUCUGUGAACGACAUUUUUUAAGCAUGGAUUGGGUAGCAAAAAGUUAUGUUGGACGAGCCACUAAAGAGUUAGUUAUCGAGGAGUUUUUGCGUGUCCUUUGUUUUCGAGUCACGUUUGAUCGGUUUUAGGGCAAAUUCUAUACAACAUGUCAUAUAUGGGUACUUAACUUUGGAAAAAUUCUGUGAAUGGAAUUUUUUAAGCAUGGAUUGGGUAGAAAAAAUUUAUUUUGGAAGAGCCACAAAAGAGGUAGUUAUCGAGGAGUUUUUGCAUGUCAAUUGUUUUUGAGUCGCGUUUGGUCGGUUUUAGGGCAAAUUCCGUACAAGAUGUCAUAUAUGGGUACCUAACUUGGAAAAAUUCUAUGACCGUCUUUUUAAGCAUGGAUAGGGUAGCCAAAAGUUAUUUUGGACGAGCCACGAAAGAGGUAUUUAUCGAGGAGUUUUUGCGUGUCUUUUGUUGUCGAGUCGCGUUUGGUCGGUUUUAGGGUAAAUUCUGUACAAGAUGUCAUGUAUGGUUACCUAACUUGGAAACUUUCUAUGAACGGAAUUUUUUAAGAAUGGAUUGGGUAUCUAAAAGUUAUUUUGUACGAGCCAAGGAAGAGGUAGUUAUAGAGGAGGUUCUGCGUGUCCAUUGUUUUCGAGUCGCGUUUGGUUGGUUCAAGGGCAAAUUUUGUACAAGAUGUCAUAUAUGGGUACCUAACUUGGAAAAAUUCUGUGAAUGACAUUUUUUAAGCAUUGAUUGGGUAGCCAAAACUUAUGUUGGACGAGCCACUAAAGAGGUAGUUAUCGAGGAGUUUUUGCGUGUCCUUUGUUUUUGAGUCGCGUUUGGUCGAUUUUAGGGCAAAUUCUGUACAAGAUGUCAUAUAUGGGUACCUAACUUGGAAAAAUUCUAUGACCGGCUUUUUAUGCAUGGAUUGGGUAGCCAAAAGUUAUUUUGGACGAGCCAAGAAAGAGGUAGUUAUCGAGUAGUUUUUGCCUGUCCUUUGUUUUCGGGUCGCGUUUGGUAGGUUUUAAGACAAAUAUUGUACAAGACGUCAUAUAUGGGUACCUAACGUGGAAAAAUUAUGUAAACGACAUUUUCUAAGCAUGGAUUGGGUAGCAAUAAGUUAUUUUGGACGAGCCAAGAAAGAGGUAGUUAUCGUGGAGUUUUUGCAUGUCCUUUAUUUUUGAGUCGCGUUUGGUCGGUUUUAGGGCAAAUUCUGUACAAUAUGUAAUAUAUGGGUACCUAACUUGGAAAAAUUAUGUGAAUGGAAUUUUUUAAGCAUGGAUUGGGUUAUAAAAUGUUAUAUUGGACGAGCCACGAAAGAGUUAGUUAUCGAGGAUUUUUUGCGUGUCCUUUGUUUUUGAGUCGCAUUUGGUAGGUUUAAGGGCAAAUUAUGCACAAGAUGUCAUAUAUGGGUGCCUAACUUGGAAAAACUAUGUAAAGGGCAUUUUUAAGCAUGUAUUGGGUAGCAAAAAGUUAUUUUGGACGAGCCAUAAAAGAGGUAUUUAUCGAGGAGUUUUUGCGUGUCCUUUGUUUUCAAGUCGCAUUUGGUCCGUGUUUGGGCAAAUUCUGGACAAGCUGUCAUAUAUGGGUACCUCACUUGGAAAAAUUCUGUGACCAGCAUUUUUUAAGCAUGGAUUAGGUAGCAAUAAGUUAUUUUGGAUGAGCCAAGAAAGAGGUAGUUAUCGAGUAGUUUUUCCGUGUCCUUUGUUUUGAGUCGCGUUUGGUCGGUUUUAGGGCAAAUUCUGUACAAGACGUCAUAUAUGGGUACCUAACAUGGAAAAAUUCCGUGAACGAAAUUUUUUAAGCAUGGAUUAGGUAGCAAAAAGUUAUUUUGGACGAGCCACGAAAGAGGUAAUUAUCGAGGAGUUUCUGCGUGUCCUUUGUUUUUGAGUCGCGUUUGGUCGGUUUUAGGGUAAAUUCUGUACAAGAUGUCAUAUAUGGGUACCUAACUUGGAAAUAUUCUAUGAACGACAUUUUUAAGCAUGGAUUGGGUAGCAAAAAGUUAUUUUGGGCAAGCCAACAAAGAGGUAAUUAUCGAGGAGUUUCUGCGUGUCCUUUCUUUCCGAGUCGUGUUUGGUCGGUUUUAGGGCAAAUUCUGUAACAGAUGUCAUAUGUGGUACCUACCUUGGAAAUUUUCUGCGAACGGCAUUCUUUUAAGCAUGUACUUGGUAGCAAAAUUUAUUUUGGACGAGCCACAAAAGAGGUAGUUAUCAAGGAGUUUCUGCGUGUCCUUUUUUUCGAGUCGCGCUUGGUCGGUUUCUCGGAAAUUCUAUAACAGAUGCCAUAUAUGGUACCUAACUUGGAAAAUUUCUGUGAACGGUAUUUUUAAGCAUGGAUUGGGCAGCAAAAAGUUAUUUUGGACGUCCCACGAAAGAGGUAUUUAUCGAGGAGUUUUUGCGUGUCCUUUGUUUUCGAGUCUCGUUUGGUCGGUUUUAGGGUAAAUUUUGUACAAGAUGUCAUGUAUGGUUACCUAACUUGGAAAAUUUCUAUGAACGUAAUUUUUUAAGAAUGGAUUGGGUAGCUAAAAGUUAUUUUGGACAUGCCAAGAAAGAGGUAGUUAUAGAGGAGGUUUUGCGUGUCCUUUGUUUUCGAAUCGCGUUUGGUUGGUUCAAGGGCAAAUUCUGUACAAGAUGUCAUAUAUGGGUACCUAACUUGGAAAAAUUCUGUGAACGACAUUUUUUAAGCAUGGAUUGGGUAGCAAAAAGUUAUGUUGGACGAGCCACUAAAGAGUUAGUUAUCGAGGAGUUUUUGCGUGUCCUUUGUUUUCGAGUCACGUUUGAUCGGUUUUAGGGCAAAUUCUAUACAACAUGUCAUAUAUGGGUACUUAACUUUGGAAAAAUUCUGUGAAUGGCAUUUUUUAAGCAUGGAUUGGGUAGAAAAAAUUUAUUUUGGAAGAGCCACAAAAGAGGUAGUUAUCGAGGAGUUUUUGCAUGUCAAUUGUUUUUGAGUCGCGUUUGGUCGGUUUUAGGGCAAAUUCCGUACAAGAUGUCAUAUAUGGGUACCUAACUUGGAAAAAUUCUAUGACCGUCUUUUUAAGCAUGGAUAGGGUAGCCAAAAGUUAUUUUGGACGAGCCACGAAAGAGGUAUUUAUCAAGGAGUUUUUGCGUGUCUUUUGUUGUCGAGUCGCGUUUGGUCGGUUUUAGGGUAAAUUCUGUACAAGAUGUCAUGUAUGGUUACCUAACUUGGAAACUUUCUAUGAACGGAAUUUUUUAAGAAUGGAUUGGGUAUCUAAAAGUUAUUUUGUACGAGCCAAGGAAGAGGUAGUUAUAGAGGAGGUUCUGCGUGUCCAUUGUUUUCGAGUCGCGUUUGGUUGGUUCAAGGGCAAAUUUUGUACAAGAUGUCAUAUAUGGGUACCUAACUUGGAAAAAUUCUGUGAAUGACAUUUUUUAAGCAUUGAUUGGGUAGCCAAAACUUAUGUUGGACGAGCCACUAAAGAGGUAGUUAUCGAGGAGUUUUUGCGUGUCCUUUGUUUUCGAGUCGCGUUUGGUCGAUUUUAGGGCAAAUUCUGUACAAGAUGUCAUAUAUGGGUACCUAACUUGGAAAAAUUCUAUGACCGGCUUUUUAUGCAUGGAUUGGGUAGCCAAAAGUUAUUUUGGACGAGCCAUGAAAGAGGUAGUUAUCAAGGAGUUUUUGCGUGUCCUUUGUUUCGAGUCGCGUUUGGUCGGUUUUAGGGCAAAUAUUGUACAACAUGUCAUAUAUGGGUACCUAACUUGCAAACAUUCGGUGAACGACAUUUUAUAAGGAUGGAUUGGGUAGCAAAAAUUUAUGUGGAACAAGCCACGAUAGAGGUAGUUACUGAAGAGUUUUUGCAUGUCCUUUGUUUUUGAGUCGUGUUUGGUUGGUUUUAGGGCAAAUUCUGUACAAGAUGUAAUAUAUGGGUACCUAACUUGGAACAAUUAUGUGAACGACAUUUUUAAGCACGGAUUGGGUUAUAAAACGUUAUGUUGGACGAGCCACGAAAGAGUUAGUUAUCGAGGAGUUUUUGCGUGUCCUUUGUUUGGAUUGGGUAGCAAUAAGUUAUUUUGGGCAAGCCACCAAAGAGGUAAUUAUUGAGGAGUUUCUGAAUGUCGCGUGGUUGGUUUUAGGGAUAAUUCCGUAACAGAUGUCAUAUAUGGUACCUACCUUGGACAUUUUCUGCGAACGGCAUUCUUUUAAGCAUGGACAUGGUAGCUAAAUCUAUUUUGGACGAGCCCCAAAAGAGGUAGUUAUCGAGGAGUUUCUGCGUGUCCUUUGUUUUUGAGUCGCGUUUGGUCGGUUUUAGGGCAAAUUCUAUAACAGAUGCCAUAUAUGGUACCUAACUAGGAAAAUUUCUGUGAACGGCGUUUUUUAAGAAUGGAUUGGACAGCAAAAAGUUAUUUUGGACGAGCCACGAAAGAGGUAUUUAUCGAGGAGUUUUUGCGUGUCCUUUGUUUUCGAGUUGCAUUUGGUCGGUUUUAGGGUAAAUUAUGUACAAGAGGUCAUCUAUGGUUACCUACUUGGAAAAUUUCUAUGAACAGAGUUUUUUAUGAAUGGAUUGGGUAGCUAAAAGUUAUUUUGGACGAGCCAAGAAAGAGGUAGUUAUAGAGGAGGUUCUGCGUGUCCUUUGUUUUCGAGUCGCGUUUGGUUUGUUCAAGGGCAAAUUCUGUACUUGAUGUCAUAUAUGGGUACCUAACUUAGAAAAAUUCUGUGAACGACAUUUUUAAGCAUGGACUGGGUAGCAAAAAGUUAUGUUGGACGAGCCACUAAAGAGGUAGUUAUCGAGGAGUUUUUGCGUGUCCUUUGUUUUUGAGUCGCGUUUGGUCGGUUUUAGGGCAUAUUCUGUACAACAUGUCAUAUAUGGGUACCUAACUUUGGAAAAAUUCUGUGAAUGGCAUCUUUUAAGCAUGGAUUGGGUAGCAAAAAGUUAUUUUGGAAGAGCCACGAAAGAGGUAGUUAUCGAGGAGUUUUUGCAUGUCAUUUGCUUUCGAGUCGCGUUUGGUCGGUUUUAGGGAAAAUUCUGUACAACAUGUCAUAUAUGGGUUGGGUUAUAAAAAGUUAUGUUGGACGAGCCACGAAAGAGUUAGUUAUCGCGGAGUGUUUGCGUGUCCUUUGUUUUUGAGUCGCAUUUGGUAGGUUUAAGGGCAAAUUAUGCACAAGAUGUCAUAUAUGGGUACCUAACUUGGAAAAAUUAUGUAAACGGCAUUUUUAAGCAUGGAUUGGGUAGCAAAAAGUUAUUUUGGACGAGCCAUAAAAGAGAUAUUUAUCCAGGAGUUUUUGCGUGUCCUUUGUUUUCGAGUCACAUUUGGUUGGUUUUAGGGCAAAUUCUGGACAAGCUGUCAUAUAUGGGUACCUAACUUGGAAAAAUUAUGUGACCAGCAUUUUUUAAGCAUGGAUUAGGUAGCAAUAAGUUAUUUUGGAUGAGCCAAGAAAGAGGUAGUUAUCGAGUAUUUUUUCCGUGUCCUUUGUUUUUGAGUCGCGUUUGGUCGGUUUUAGGGCAAAUUCUGUACAAGACGUCAUAUAUGGAUACCUAACAUGGAAAAAUUCUGUGAACGAAAUUUUUUAAGCAUUGAUUGGGUAGCAAAAAGUUAUUUUGGACAAGCCACGAAAGAGGUAGUUAUGGAGGAAUUUUUGCGUGUCCUUUGUUUUUGAGUCGCGUUUCGUCGGUUUUAGGGUAAAUUCUGUACAAGAUGUCAUAUAUGGGUACCAAACUUGGAAAUAUUCUGUGGACGACAUUUUUAAGCAUGGAUUGGGUAGCAAAAAGUUAUUUUGGGCAAGCCGCCAAAGAGGUAAUUAUCGAGGAGUUUCUGCGUGUCCUUUCCUUCAGAGUCGUGUUUGGUCGGUUUUAGGGCCAAUUCUAUAACAGAUGUCAUAAUGGUACCUACCUUGGAAAUUUUCUGUGAACGGCAUUUUUUAAGCAUGGAUUUGGUAGCAAAAUUUAUUUUGGACGAGCCACAAAAGAGGUAGUUAUCGAGGACUUUCUACGUGUCCUUUGUUUUCGAGUCGCGUUUGGUCGGUUUUAGGGCAAAUUCUAUAACAGAUGCCAUAUAUGGUAGCUAACUUGGAAAAUUUCUGUGAACGACAUUUUUUAAGCAUGGAUUGGGCAGCAAAAAGUUAUUUUGGACGUGCCACGAAAGAGGUAUUUAUCGAGGAGUUUUUGCGUGUCCUUUGUUUUCGAGUCGCGUUUGGUCGGUUUUAGGGUAAAUUCUAUACAAGAUGUCAUGUAUGGUUACCUUACUUGGAAAAUUUCUAUGAACGGAAUUUUUUAAGAAUGGAUUGGGUAGCUAAAGUUAUUUUGGACGAGCCAAGAAAGAGGUAGUUAUAGAGGAGGUUUUGCGUGUCCUUUGUUUUCGAGUCGCGUUUGGUUGGUUCAAGGGCAAAUUCUGUACAAGAUGUCAUAUAUGGGUACCUAACUUGGAAAAAUUCCGUGAACGACAUUUGUUAAGCAUGGAUUGGGUAGCAAAAAGUAAUGUUGGACGAGCCACUAAAGAGGUAGUUAUCGAGGAGUUUUUGCGUGUCCUUUGUUUUCGAUUGGCGUUUGGUCGGUUUUAGCGCAAAUUCUGUACAACAUGUCAUAUAUGUGUACCUAACUUUGGAAUAAUUCUGUGAAUGGCAUUUUUUAAGCAUGGAUUGGGUAGAAAAAAGUUAUAUUGGAAGAGCCACGAAAGAGGUAGUUAUCGAGGAGUUUUUGCAUGUCAUUUGUUUUUGAGUCACAUUUGGUCGAUUUUAGGGAAAAUUCUGUACAAGAUGUCAUAUAUGGGUACCAAACUUGGAAAAAUUAUAUGACCGGCUUUUUAAGCAUGGAUUGGGUAGCCAAAAGUUAUUUUGGACGAGCCACAAAAGAGGUAUUUAUCGAGGAGUUUUUGCGUGUCAUUUGUUGUCGAGUCGCGUUUGGUCGGUUUUAGGGUAAAUUCUGUACAAGAUGUCAUGUAUUGUUACCUAACUUGGAAAAUUUCUAUGAGCGGAAUUUUUUAAGAAUGGAUUGGGUAGCUAAAAGUUAUUUUGGAUGAGCCAAGGAAGAGGUAGUUAUAGAGGAGGUUUUGCGUGUCCUUUGUUUUCGAGUCGCGUUUCGUUGGUUCAAGGGCAAAUUUGGGACAAGAUGUCAUAUAUGGGUACCUACUUGGAAAAAUUCUGUCAAUGACAUUUUUUAAGCAUAGAUUGGGUAGCAGAAAGUUAUGUUGGAUGAGCCACUAAAGAGGUAGUUAUCGAGGAGUUUUUGCGUGUCCUUUGUUUUCGAGUCGCAUUUGGUCGGUUUUAGGGCAAAUUCUGCACAGCAUGUCAUAUAUGGGUACCUAACUUUGGGAAAAUUCUAUGAAUGGCAUUUUUAAGCAUGGAUUGGGUAGCAAAAAGUUAUUUUGGAAGGCCACCAAAGAGGUAGUUAUCGAGUCACGUUUGGUCGGUUUUAGGGCAAAUUCUGUACAAGAUGUCAUAUAUGGGUACCUAACUUGGAAAAAUUCUAUGACCGGCUUUUUAAGCAUGGAUUGGGUAGCCAAAAUUUAUUUUGGACGAGCCAUGAAAGAGGUAGUUAUCAAGGAGUUUUUGCGUAUCCUUUGUUUCGAGUCGCGUUUGGUCGGUUUUAGGACAAAUUUUGUACAACAUGUCAGAUAUGGGUACCUAACUUGGAAACAUUCGGUGAACAACAUUUUAUAAGUAUGGAUUGGGUAGCAAAAAUUUAUGUUGGACGAGCCAAGAUAGAGGUAGUUACCGAGGAGUUUUUGCAUGUCCUUUGUUUUUGAGUCGCGUUUGGUCGGUUUUAGGGCAAAUUCUGUACAACAUGUAAUAUAUGGGUACCUAACUUGGAAAAAUUAUGUGAACAACAUUUUUAAACAUGGAUUGGGUUUUAAAAAUUUAUGUUGGACGAGCCACGAAAGACUUAGUUAUCGACGAGUUUUUUUGUGUCCUUUGUUUUCGAGUCCCGUUUGGUAGGUAUAAGGGCAAAUUAUGCACAAGUUUUCAUAUAUGGGUACCUAACAUGGAAAAAUUAUGUAAACAACAUUUUUUAAGCAUGGAUUGGGUAGCAAAAAGUUAUUUUGGACAAGCCAUGAAAGUGGUAUUUAUCGAAGAGUUUUUGCGUGUCCUUUGUUUCGAGUCGUGUUUGGUCGGUUUUAGGGAAAAUUCUGGACAAGCUAUCACAUAUGGGUACCUAACUUGGAAAAAUUCUUUGAGCAGCAUUUUUUAAGCAUGGAUUGGGUAGCACUAAGUUAUUUUGGAUGAGCCAAGAAAUAGGUAGUUAUCGAGUAGUUUUUGCAUGUCAUUUGUUUUCGAGUCACGUUUGGUCGGUUUUAGGGCAAAUUCUAUACAUGACGUCAUAUAUGGGUACCUAACGUGGAAAAAUUAUGUAAAUGACAUUUUUUAAGCAUGGAUUGGGUAGGAAAAAGUUUUUUUUGGACGAGACAUGAAAGAGGUAGUUAUCGAGGAGUUUUUGCGUGUCCUUUGUUUUUUGAGUCGCGUUUGGUUGGUUUUAGGGCAAAUUCCGUACAAGAUGUAAUAUAUGGGUACCUAACUUGGAAAAAUUAUGUGAACAGCAUUUUUAAUUCUGGAUUGGCUUAUAAAAAGUUAUCUUCGAGGAGCCACGAUAGAGUUAGUUAUCGAGGAGUUUUUGCGUGUCCUUUGUUUUCGAGUCGCGUUUGGUCGGUUUUAGGACAAAUUCUGUACAACAUGUCAUAUAUGGGUACCUAACUUUGGAAAAAUUCUGUNNNNNNNNNNNNNNNNNNNNNNNNNNNNNNNNNNNNNNNNNNNNNNNNNNNNNNNNNNNNNNNNNNNNNNNNNNNNNNNNNNNNNNNNNNNNNNNNNNNNNNNNNNNNNNNNNNNNNNNNNNNNNNNNNNNNNNNNNNNNNNNNNNNNNNNNNNNNNNNNNNNNNNNNNNNNNNNNNNNNNNNNNNNNNNNNNNNNNNNNNNNNNNNNNNNNNNNNNNNNNNNNNNNNNNNNNNNNNNNNNNNNNNNNNNNNNNNNNNNNNNNNNNNNNNNNNNNNNNNNNNNNNNNNNNNNNNNNNNNNNNNNNNNNNNNNNNNNNNNNNNNNNNNNNNNNNNNNNNNNNNNNNNNNNNNNNNNNAUGACAUUUUUCAAGCAUGGAUUGGGUAGCAAAAAGUUAUGUUGGACGAGCCACUAAAGAGGUAGUUAUCGAGGAGUUUUUGCGUGUCCUUUGUUUUCGAGUCGCGUUUGGUCGGUUUUAGGGCAAAUUCUGUACAACAUGUCAUAUAUGGCUACCUCACUUUGGAAAAAUUCUGUGACUGGCAUUUUUUAAGCAUGGAUUGGGUAGCAAAAAGUUAUUUUGGAAGAGCCAUGAAAGAGGUAGUUAUCGAGUCACGUUUGGUCGAUUUUAGGGCAAAUUCUAUACAAGAUGUCAUAUAUGGGUACCUAACUUGGAAAAAUUCUAUGACCGGGUUUUUAAGCAUGGAUUGGGUAGCCAAAAGUUAUUUUGGACGAGCCAUGAAAGAGAUAGUUAUGGAGGAGUUUUUGCGUGUCCUUUGUUUCGAGUCGCGUUUGGUCGGUUUUAGGGCAAAUUUUGUACAACAUGUCAUAUAUGGGUACCUAACUUGGAAACAUUCGGUGAACGACAUUUUAUAAGGAUGGAUUGGGUAGCAAAAAUUUAUGUUGGACGAGCCACGAAAGAGGUAGUUACCAAGGAGUUUUUGCAUGUUCUUUGUUUUUGAGUCGCGUUUGGUCGGUUUUAGGGCAAAUUUUGUACAAGAUGUAAUAUAUGGGUACCUAACUUGGAAAAAUUAUGUGAAUGGCAUUUUUAAGCAUGGAUUGGGUUAUUAAAAGUUAUGUUGGACGAGCCACGAAAGAGUUAGUUAUCGAGGAGUUUUCCCUGUCCUUUGUUUUCAAGUCGCGUUUGGUAGGUUUAAGGCCAAAUUAUGCACAAGUUUUUAUAUAUGGGUACCUAACUUGGAAAAAUUAUGUAAACAGCAUUUUUUAAGCAUGGAUUGGGUAGCAAAAAGUUAUUUUGGACAAGCCAUGAAAGUGGUAUUUAUCGAACAGUUUUUGCGUGUCCUUUGUUUUCGAGUCGUGUUUGGUCGGUUUUAGGGCAAAUUCUGGACAAGCUAUCACAUAUGGGUACCUAACUUGGAAAAAUUCUGUGAGCAGCAUUUUUUAAGCAUGGAUUGGGUAGCACUAAGUUAUUUGGGAUGAGCCAAGAAAAAGGUAGUUAUCGAGUAGUUUUUGCAUGUCAUUUGUUUUCGAGUCGCGUUUGGUCGGUUUUAGGGCAAAUUCUAUACAAGACGUCAUAUAUGGGUACCUAACGUGGAAAAAUUAUGUAAACGAUAUUUUUUAAGCAUGGAUUGGGUAGCAAAAAGUUUUUUUGGACGAGCCAUGAAAGAGAUAGUUAUGAAGGAGUUUUUGCAUGUCCUUUGUUUCGAGUCGCGUUUGGUCGGUUUUAGGGCAAAUUUUGUACAACAUGUCAUAUAUGGGUACCUAACUUGGAAACAUUCGGUGAACGACAUUUUAUAAGGAUGGAUUGGGUAGCAAAAAUUUAUGUUGGACGAGCCACGAAAGAGGUCGUUACCAAGGAGUUUUUGCAUGUUCUUUGUUUUUGAGUCGCGUUUGGUCGGUUUUAGGGCAAAUUCUGUACAAGAUGUAAUAUAUGGGUACCUAAUUUUGGAAAAAUUCUAUGAAUGGCAUUUUUAAGCAUGGAUUGGGUAGCCAAAAGUUAUUUUGGAAGAGCCACGAAAGAGGUAGUUAUCGAGUCACGUUUGGUCGGUUUUAGGGCAAAUUCUGUACAAGAUGUCAUAUAUGGGUACCUAAGUUGGAAAAAUUCUAUGACCAGCUUUUUAAGCAUGGAUUGGGUAGCCAAAAUUUAUUUUGGACGAGCCAUGAAAGAGGUAGUUAUCAAGGAGUUUUUGCGUAUCCUUUGUUUCGAGUCGCGUUUGGUCGGUUUUAGGGCAAAUUUUGUACAACAUGUCAGAUAUGGGUACCUAACUUGGAAACAUUCGGUGAACAACAUUUUAUAAGUAUGGAUUGGGUAACAAAAAUUUAUGUUGGACGAGCCACGAUAGAGGUAGUUACCGAGGAGUUUUUGCAUGUCCUUUGUUUUUGAGUCGCGUUUGGUCGGUUUUAGGGCAAAUUCUGUACAACAUGGAAUAUAUGGGUACUUACUUGGAAAAAUUAUGUGAACAACAUUUUUAAACAUGGAUUGGGUUAUGAAAAUUUAUGUUGGACGAGCCACGAAAGACUUAGUUAUCGAGGAGUUUUUGUGUGUCCUUUGUUUUCGAGUCCCGUUUGGUAGGUAUAAGGGAAAAUUAUGCACAAGUUUUCAUAUGUGGGUACCUAACAUGGAAAAAUUAUGUAAACAACAUUUUUUAAGCAUGGAUUGGGUAGCAAAAAGUUAUUUUGGACAAGCCAUGAAAGUGGUAUUUAUCGAAGAGUUUUUGCGUGUCCUUUGUGUCGAGUCGUGUUUGGUCGGUUUUAGGGAAAAUUCUGGACAAGCUAUCACAUAUGGGUACCUAACUUGGAAAAAUUCUGUGAGCAGCAUUUUUUAAGCAUGGAUUGGGUAACACUAAGUUAUUUUGGAUGAGCCAAGAAAUAGGUAGUUAUCGAGUAGUUUUUGCAUGUCAUUUGUUUUCGAGUCACGUUUGGUCGGUUUUAGGGCAAAUUCUAUACAAGACGUUAUAUAUGGGUACCUAACGUGGAAAAAUUAUGUAAACGACAUUUUUAAGCAUGGAUUGGGUAGGAAAAAGUUUUUUUGGACGAGACAUGAAAGAGGUAUUUAUCGAGGAGUUUUUGCGUGUCCUUUGUUUUCGAGUCACGUUUGGUCGGUUUUAGGGCAAAUUCUAAACAAGCUGUCAUAUAUGGGUACCUAACUUGGAAAUAUUCUGUGAGUAGCAUUUUCAAGCAUGGAUUGGGUAGCAAUAAGUUAUUUUGGACGAGCCAAGAAAGAGGUAGUUAUCAAGGAGUUUUUGCGUGUCCUUUGUUUUUUGAGUCGCGUUUGGUUGGUUUUAGGGAAAAUUCCGUACAAGAUGUAAUAUAUGGGUACCUAACUUGGAAAAAUUAUGUGAACAGCAUUUUUAAUUCUGGAUUGGCUUAUAAAAAGUUAUGUUGGACGAGCCACUAAAGAGGUAGUUAUCGAGGAGUUUUUGCGUGUCCUUUGUUUUCGAGUCGCGUUUGGUCGGUUUUAGGGCAAAUUCUGUACAACAUGUCAUAUAUGGCUACCUAACUUUGGAAAAAUUCUGUGACUGGCAUUUUUUAAGCAUGGAUUGGGUAGCAAAAAGUUAUUUUGGAAGAGCCACGAAAGAGGUAGUUAUCGAGUCACGUUUGGUCGAUUUUAGGGCAAAUUCUGUACAAGAUGUCAUAUAUGGGUACCUAACUUGGAAAAAUUCUAUGACCGGGUUUUUAAGCAUGGAUUGGGUAGCCAAAAGUUAUUUUGGACGAGCCAUGAAAGAGAUAGUUUUGAAGGAGUUUUUGCGUGUCCUUUGUUUUGAGUCGCGUUUGGUCGGUUUUAGGGCAAAUUUUGUACAACAUGUCAUAUAUGGGUACCUAACUUGGAAACAUUCGGUGAACGACAUUUUAUAAGGAUGGAUUGGGUAGCAAUAAUUUAUGUUGGACGAGCCACGAAAGAGGUAGUUACCAAGGAGUUUUUGCAUGUUCUUUGUUUUUGAGUCGCGUUUGGUCGGUUUUAGGGCAAAUUCUGUACAAGAUGUAAUAUAUGGGUACCUAACUUGGAAAAAUUAUGUGAACGGCAUUUUUAAGCAUGGAGUGGGUUAUAAAAAGUUAUGUUGGACGAGCCACGAAAGAGUUAGUUAUCGAGGAGUUUUCCGUGUCCUUUGUUUUCAAGUCGCGUUUGGUAGGUUUAAGGGCAAAUUAUGCACAAGUUUUCAUAUAUGGGUACCUAACUUGGAAAAAUUAUGUAAACAGCAUUUUUUAAGCAUGGAUUGGGUAGCAAAAAGUUAUUUUGGACAAGCCAUGAAAGUGGUAUUUAUCGAACAGUUUUUGCGUGUCCUUUGUUUUCGAGUCGUGUUUGGUCGGUUUUAGGGCAAAUUCUGGACAAGCUAUCACAUAUGGGUACCUAACUUGGAAAAAUUCUGUGAGCAGCAUUUUUUAAGCUUGGAUUGGGUAGCAAUAAGUUAUUUUGGAUGAGCCAUGAAAGAGGUAUUUAUCGAGGAGUUUUUGCGUGUCCUUUGUUUUCGAGUCGUGUUUCGUCGGUUUUAGGGCAAAUUCUAGACAAGCUGUCAUAUAUGGGUACCUAACUUGGAAAAAUUCUGUGAGUAGCAUUUUCAAGCAUGGAUUGGGUAGCAAUAAGUUAUUUUGGACGAGCCAAGAAAGAGGUAGUUAUCGAGGAGUUUUUGCGUGUCCUUUGUUUUUUGAGUCGCAUUUGGUUGUUUUUAGGGCAAAUUCCGUACAAGAUGUAAUAUAUGGGUACCAAACUUGGAAAAAUUAUGUGAACGGCAUUUUUAAUUAUGGAUUGGGUAAUAAAAAGUUAUGUUGGAGGAGCCACGAUAGAGUUAGUUAUCGAGGAGUUUUUGCGUGUCCUUUGUUUUCGAGUCGCGUUUGGUCGGUUUUAGGGCAAAUUCUGUACAACAUGUCAUAUAUGGGUGUAACACCCCAGAUGUAACUUUCCAUAUUUGCAACUUCAACUCUUGCCAUUUUUGGCUAUGUGUUAUGACAUUCCCUUCAUGGUCGGGUUUUGUUUUCCGUUUUGCAUUUUUCUUUUGUCAUGCAUCUCAUAUCAUGUCAUCAUGUGCAUUGCAUUUGCAUACGUGUUCGUCUAUUGCAUCCGAGCAUUUUCCCAGUUGUCUGUUUUGCAAUCCGGCACUCCCACCUCCUCCGGCGCACCCUCUUGUUUUCUUUUCGUGAGCGGGUGUUGAACAUUCUCGAAAUGGACCGAGGCUUGCCAAGCGGCCUUGGUAUACCACCGGUAGACCACCUGUCAAGUUUCGUUCCAUUUGGAGGUCGUUUGGUACUCCAACGGUUAACCGGGCAACCGCAAAGUCCUUUUGUGUGUUGCAGCAAAAUCCCCCUCCUAAUAGCCCAAAACCCAUCUAAGUCACUUCCAUGCUCUAGGUCGUUCGAUCACGAUCGUGUGGGCGAAAAUCGUGCUCAAUUUGGAGUCUCCUAGCUCCCUUUACCUAUAAAAACACCUCCCCCUCCGAAAUCUGGGCGAAACCCUAGCAAAAAUCGUCCUCCGCGCCGCCGGACGCGUCCACUCCCGCCGGACGAANNNNNNNNNNNNNNNNNNNNNNNNNNNNNNNNNNNNNNNNNNNNNNNNNNNNNNNNNNNNNNNNNNNNNNNNNNNNNNNNNNNNNNNNNNNNNNNNNNNNNNNNNNNNNNNNNNNNNNNNNNNNNNNNNNNNNNNNNNNNNNNNNNNNNNNNNNNNNNNNNNNNNNNNNNNNNNNNNNNNNNNNNNNNNNNNNNNNNNNNNNNNNNNNNNNNNNNNNNNNNNNNNNNNNNNNNNNNNNNNNNNNNNNNNNNNNNNNNNNNNNNNNNNNNNNNNNNNNNNNNNNNNNNNNNNNNNNNNNNNNNNNNNNNNNNNNNNNNNNNNNNNNNNNNNNNNNNNNNNNNNNNNNNNNNNNNNNNNNNNNNNNNNNNNNNNNNNNNNNNNNNNNNNNNNNNNNNNNNNNNNNNNNNNNNNNNNNNCCGCGCUCUCCGCCGCCCGGGCGCCUCGCCCGACCGCGCCCGACCCCGGCGCCUCCUCCUGCUCUCUUCCCCGACCGCCGCGCCUCUCCUUCCUCCGGCCUCGUCCUCUCCCGACUCCGGCGAGCUCGAGCUCAAACCCUAGCUCCGGGGAGCUCCCGAUCCGAUCUGUCCAGAGGUUGACUUUCCCUCCCCCCGUUUUUUCUCCAAGUCCCGAGCAUUUUUACAUUCUAUUGCAUACUUUGACACAUCAUAACUCUCUGAAUAUAGCUCUGUUUCAUGCGUGUAAUAUAUCAAAAUGUUCAUCUCGAGAUGCUCUUCAUUUUGUUCCAUUGCACCAUGUUCAUUUGUGUCCAUCUUGAGGCCCAAAUCUCUGGUGCAAGAGUGCUAGUUGCUGUUAACUGCUGUUACUUAUCAGAACUUGAGGAUUUGUUAUUUUUGUUGCUAUUGAUGUGUGCAUCUUAUGAGUAGGAUCUCAACAGGUGUAUUGAUGUAUGCCAUUCCAUCUUUACAGAGGUGUAUGCCAUGUAUUUUGGUGAUCUCUGUGGUGACUAGCACAAGCAUGCAAACUAGGCUUCGUAAUGUUUCUGAUUUCAGGGACUUCGUAAUUUUACCAAGUCUGUGACUGCUGUUAUUGUGUUGCUAUGUAUCCAUGUGGCUACAGAGCGAUCCAUGCUUAUUUUGGAGAUGUUUAGUAAGAAUCUUUUGUAGAUAUAGUUGUGCGCUAUCCAUCCAUGCCUCUUUUUGCAAUUAUCGAGUGACAUAGCUUGACUCAAUUUUGCUCUACUUUUGCUAUAAAAUAUUUCUGGCAGAUUGUUUACGUGUUAUUCAAUUUUGCCAAGCCUGUUGUAGUUGAUCCAUGCAUGCUAUGAACUUGCUCUUGCCAUGGAUAGAUUUACAAACAUGCCAUCUUGCUGGAGGUAUGCUUGUUUUGUCAUGCAUUGCUUUGUGGUGAGUUCAUCAAGCUCACAAAGAUGCCUUCAUAUUACUGUUUCUGUCAUAUUACUGUCAUCAAGCUCAGUCUGUAACCUGUUAACGAAACUUUCUAUGUUUACAUGGUUGCCAUCAUAUCUUCUGGUCCUUUUUGGCUUAUGGUCACUAAGGGACUUUUGUUAUAUGCAUUUAGUAGAAUACUGACAUGCCUUGUUUUGCCAUGUUAAGUUCCUGUAGCAUGUUGAUUGCUUGCUCUGAACAUCGCUACCUGAUGCUGUUUAUGCCAUGUCCAGUAAUUUCACCAAGUCUGUGAACAUGAUAUCUUUUGCACUAUUGCCAUGCCUGUUUGAACAUGCUGUGGUGUGAUCUAGCCGUAGCUCAUUGUUCAUCUUUUGUCAAGCACCUCCUGUAGAUUACAGCCAUAUGCUUUGCUGCUAUGUUGGGGUGCUGUAGCAUUAUUACUUGUUGCAUUCUAAGUGCUAUCAUGCUGUUAAUCGCAGAUUCGUGUCAUUCUUGUUUUGCUUGCCAUUUGCAAACCGUGCAUCCGUUUCCGGUGAUCUUUAUAUCGAUUUCAACCGAAAUCAUCUCAUCUUUCCAGUGGCAUGCUUGGUUUGUCAAUUUACUGCCUUGUUCAUCAUUUUUCUUCCGGAGCACGCAUAUCAUAUCUUGCAUAUCAUUCAUGUAUUGCAUCAUGUUGCUUGUGCAUUUCCCGUGAUUGAUUGUGGUUCCGUUGCUUGUGUUCUUGUUUUGGGUAGAGCCGGGAGACGAGUUCGUGAACGAGGAACCUGUUGAGUACGCUUACGAGGAUCAAGCUUUCGACAACUCUGAGAACCUUGCAGGCAAGAUGACCAUACCCUCGAAAUCACUUCUAUCUUUGCUUUGCUAGUUGUUCGUUCUUUGCCAUGCUACGCUACCUAUCACUUGCUAUAUCAUGCCUCCCAUAUUGCCAUGUCAAGCCUCUAACCAUCCUUUCCUAGCAAACCGUUGUUUGGUUAAGUUACCGCUUUUGCUCAGCCCUUCUUAUAGCGUUGCUAGUUGCAGGUGAAGUUGAAGGUGGUUCCAUGUUGGAACAUGGAUAUGUUGGGAUAUCACAAUAUCUCUUAUUUAAAUUAAUGCAUCUAUAUAUUUGGUAAAGGGUGGAAGGCUCGGCCUUAUGCCUGGUGUUUUGUUCCACUCUUGCCGCCCUAGUUUCUGUCAUACCGGUAUUAUGUUCCUUGAGUUUGCGUUCCUUACGCGGUUGGGUGAUUUAUGGGACCCCCUUGACAGUUCGCCUUGAAUAAAACUCCUCCAGCAAGGCCCAACCUUGGUUUUACCAUUUGCCACCUAAGCCUUUUUCCCCCGGGUUUUCGUGAGCCCGAGGGUCAUCUUUAUUUAAACCCCCGGGCCAGUGUUCCUCUGAAUGCUGGUCCAACCUAGAGCACCAUGCGGGACCGUCCCUUGGCAACCUAGAGCUUAUGAUGGGCUAAGUUGGGACACUCCUGCAGGGUAUUAUCUUUCGAAAGCCGUGCCCGCGGUUAUGAGGCGGAUGGGAAUUUGUUAAUGUCCGGUUGUAGAGAACUUGGCAGUUGACCCAAUUAAAAUACAUCAACCGUGUGCGUAACCGUGAUGGUCUCUUCUCGGCGGAGUCCGGGAAGUGAACACGGUUUGAGUUAUGCAUGAACAUAAGUAGUUUCAGGAUCACUUCUUGAUCAUGUCUAGCUUCGCGACCGUUGCGUUGCUUCUCUUCUCGCUCUCAUUUGCGUAUGUUAGCCACCAUAUAUGCUUAGUGCUUGUUGCAGCUCCACCUCAUUACACCAGCCUUUCCUAUAAGCUUAAAUAGUCUUGAUCUCGCGCGUGUGAGAUUGCUGAGUCCUCGUGACUCAUAGAUUCUACCAAAACAGUCGCAGGUUCCGACGAUGCCAGUGCAGGUGAUGCAACCGAGCUCGAGUGGGAGUUCGAUGAGGGACGUGGCCGUUACUAUGUGUCUUUUCCUGAUGAUCGGUAGUGGAGCCCAGUUGGGACGAUCGGGGAUCUAGCAUUUGGGGUUAUCUUAUUUUCAUUUGGAUUUUGACCGUAGUCGGUCUAUGUGUGGUUUUUGGAUGAUGUAUGAAUUAUAUUUAUGUAUUGUGUGAAGUGGCGAUAUUAAGCCAACUCUCGUUAUCCCAUUUUUGUUCAUUACAUGGGAUUGUGUGAGGAUGACGCUUCUUGCGACAAAACCACUAUGCGGUUUUGCCACUAAGUCGUGCCUCGACACGUGGGAGAUAUAGCCGCAUCGUGUUCGUUAUAAUGGGUACCUAACUUUGGAAAAAUUCCGUGAAUGGCAUUUUUAAGCAUGGAUUGGGUAGCAAAAAGUUAUUUUGGAAGAGCCACGAAAGAGGUAGUUAUCGAGGAGUUUUUGGAUGUCAUUUGUUUUCGAGUCGCGUUUGGUCGGUUUUAGGGCAAAUUCUGUACAAGAUGUCAUAUAUGGGUACCUAACUUGGAAAAAUUCUGUGAAUGACAUUUUUUAAGCAUGGAUUGGGUAGCAAAAAGUUAUGUUGGACGAGCCACUAAAGAGGUAAUUAUCGAGGAGUUUUUGCGUGUCCUUUGUUUUCGAGUCGCGUUUGGUCGGUUUUAGGGCAAAUUAUGUACACCAUGUCAUAUAUGGGUACCUAACUUUGGAAAAAUUCUGUGAAUGGCAUUUUUUGAGCAUGGAUUGGGUAGCAAAAAGUUAUUUUAGAAGAUCCACGAAAGAGGUAGUUAUCGAGUCACGUUUGGUCGGUUUUAGGGCAAAUUCUGUACAAGAUGUCAUAUAUGGGUACCUAACUUGGAAAAAUUCUAUGACCGGCUUUUUAAACAUGGAUUGUGUCGUGGAAUUGUCACGGCAGAUGUCCUAGUGUAAGGACUUAGUCGCGAGGCCAACGCAUCUAUGUGGGAUCUUGAAGGGGUUGAGCGGAAUCAAGAGACGCAACACGUAAGACGAGGAUUUAGACAGCUUCGGGCCCCGGGAAACAUCAUCCGGUAAUAACCCUACAUGCUGUUUGUAGCUAGGUCUCAUUAUGAUCAUGAAGGAGUCGCCGUAAGCCGGCUCUCCUUUUUCUGUCUAGCCCUAGAUAUUGUUUCUUGUCUCUCGUCCCUCUUGGGGAGCCCUGCCGGCCCCUCCUUAUAUAAGUUGAAGGGGCGGCUUACAUGUAGAGUCCUAGUAGGACUAGGACUAGUCUAUCUUUUCUUACAAGUUGAAUACAAGUCCAGGUCUUGCUUCCUUUGUAGGAAGAAUAUUCCUUAUGCCUUUCCUCUUAAGUCGGCCUACCAUAACGUAAGCCGGCCUUCUGGGCCUUGAGCCUCUUGGGCCCCCGGGUCUUUUCGCUCCUCUGAUCCGCUUGCCACGUCACCCAUAAGUCGCCAGACUCGGGCAGGUCACUUAGUGAGUCGUCCAGUCAGGGCGGGUCAUUAGUACGUCGCGAAGUCCGGCCGGGUUAUACAUCCGGCCGGGUCAUACUGCGGGGUAUAUCCCCGACAGAUUGGGUAGCCAAAAGUUAUUUUGGACAAGCCAUGAAAGAGAUAGUUAUCAAGGAGUUUUUGCGUGUCCUUUGUUUCGAGUCGCGUUUGGUCGGUUUUAGGGCAAAUUUUGUACAACAUGUCAUAUAUGGGUACCUAACUUGGAAACAUUCGGUGAACGAAAUUUUAUAAGGAUGGAUUGGGUAGCAAAAAUUAUGUUGGACGAGCCACGAAAGAGGUAGUUACCGAGGAGUUUUUGCAUGUUCUUUGUUUUUGAGUCGCGUUUGGUCGGUUUUAGGGCAAAUUCUGUGCAAGAUGUAAUAUAUGGGUACCUAACUUGGAAAAAUUAUGUGAACGGCAUUUUUAAGCAUGGAUUGGGUUAUAAAAAGUUAUGUUGGACGAGCCACGAAAGAGUUAGUUAUUGAGGAGUUUUUGCGUGUCCUUUGUUUUUUAGUCGCGUUUGGUAGGUUUAAGGGCAAAUUAUGCACAAGUUUUCAUAUAUGGGUACCUAACUUGGAAAAAUUAUGUAAACAUCAUUUUUUAAGCAUGGAUUGGGUAGCAAAAAGUUAUUUUGGACAAGCCAUGAAAUAGGUAUUUAUCAAGGAGUUUUUACGUGUCCUUUGUUUUCGAGUUGCGUUUGGUCGGUUUUAGGACAAAUUCUGGACAAGCUAUCAUAUAUGGGUACCUAACUUGGAAAAAUUAUGUGAGCAGCAUUUUUUAAGCAUGCAUUGGGUAGCAAUAAGUUAUUUUGGAUGAGCCAAGAAAGAGGUAGUUAUCGAGUAGUUUUUACAUGUCAUUUGUUUUCGAGUCGCGUUUGGUCGAAUAUAGCUCAACCCCUUUGUUAUUCGACGUGGAUUGUAUUCGAAUCAGCGUCGCUAAACAACUCUUAAGGUCAUUUGGGGGCUUCCUGUUCAAACAUAGGUCGUAUUCGAACCAAAGAGAACAUAGCUGUCGAUACCCUUUUGAUUAGCAAACUGCUGAACCUACUUGGGUUCUUCUUGAUCGUAUCCGAAUCAUAGCUCAACCCCUUUGGGAUUCGACGUGGAUCGUAUUCGAAUCAGCGUUGCUAAACAACUCUUAAGGUCAUUUGGGGGCUUCUUGUUCAAACAUAGGUCGUAUUCGAACCAAAGAGAACAUAGCUGUCGAUACCCACUUUGAUCGGCAAUGCCAACGCCACUGGGGGCUAUAUGAUCGUAUUCGAAUCUUAGCUUAACCCCUUUGGAACGGUUUACUGAUCGUAUUCGAAUCAGAAGGCUCAAAUUUUUUUAUCUGUUUUUAUACAAUCACAAGUAUUUGAGUCGUCACAAAUAUCAUAUGUGCCGGCUUUUACCGGGUUACGUUAUCAACUUCACCCUCCGGGUCACGUAAACCGGUGGUAUCAUCCAAAGGAUCAUAAGUAUGAUAACAUCAAUUGUGUCUUAACAUCAUGAUUGAUAACCGGCUUGUCUAUUUAUGAUUCUUUUUGGGUUUUUUAUAUGACCCGCCCUGCGGCAAACCGCCAAGGGUUCUUGUGAUCUACUUGUGUGCAGGGUAAGACUACAUUUGGGUGGUUACCCGCCCUGGUUUUUGACGUUAAGUCGCCAGGGCAUAUGUUGUUUAAACUCUGUGCAGGAUUUGCAGAACUAUGACUUAUAUAAAUGCUUCAGUCCAAGCUCAUCACUGAAAUUGGUGUCUCAAAAGGGUUAUCAAUUAUUGGUUUUCUCAAGGGCUAUAGGCCACCGGGUUACAAAAAUUCCGGCUUACAAUGAAGGCGCAUUAAGUCGUCAUUGGCCAAGAGCCGCCAGGUAUUUAAACUCCGGGUUUACUUGUCAACCGAUGAGGUAUUCAAAUCUUUAAUAGCCAAAACUGGCUGAAUUUUCAUGAUGAUAUUGAAUGAUUGAGGUUUUCAUACCGGAUUAUAUUAUUCAAAUCUUGAAUAGCCAACAUGGCUGGAUUUCUAUUGUGAUUAUCAAUAACCAGUGUUAUGAUUGAGGUUUUCAAAGUCGCUUUAGCGCAACGGCUAUUAUUUUUAUCAAUGGGCAUGAUUUAUUUUACAAUGGAGGAAAUAGUCCCGAGUCGCUGCAGGCUUACGACCCGGCACUUGGGGGCUACAUUGUUCAAAUCGAGAUUACAUCGAAUAUACAAGUCCCAUGUCACUGCCAGCAUGCACCAUGGCACUUGGGGGCUAAUGCAAAGUCAUAUUUUGCUCAACUUAUUGAAGACCCGACUCAUCACAUUUUAAAUGAGCCGGCCCUUGGGGGCUACCAAUUGCUCCUGUCGGAAAUUCAAGGUACACAAGCCUUAAUCCAUUAUAUUGAAAGAUCCAUUAUUCAGUUGGUAGAGUACAAAGCUCUUAACCUUGUGGACGUGGGUUCAAGCCCCAUGGUGGAGAUUACAUCAUUUGAUGGUAUUAUCAACGAAUCAUAUACAAAGUCCCAGCUCAGUAAUAUCUUAUUGAGCCGGCCCUUGGGGGCUACACGUUGCUGUUAAAGUCUACAUGAUCAUAUUUUCAAAAGUCCCUGUUCAUUAUUGCAUAAUGACCCGGCCCUUGGGGGCUACACUGGUUGAAGUUUUCAUAAGCAUAAAGCAAUUACAACUCCCUGGUUGCUGCAAGCAUGACAACCCGGCACUUGGGGGCUACAUGUGUGGAAUAUUCAGUUUAUAUGAUUGAGAUGAAUAAACCGGAUUUCUUCAAGGUUGCAACAUUUAUUGGAGCAAGUCUUAAACCAUCACUUUGUUCUGCUCAAGACUUGGGGGCUACAUGUAAUAUGGAUAUAAGGGAGAAAAAUCUUCAAAUUAUCAGUUUUGAGCAAGUCAGGAGGAUCAAAUUGACCCGGUGUUUGCAACAAUCAUGAUCCGGCGUCACCAAUAAUUAUGACCCGACGUCGGCAACAGUUAUGACCCGGUGCUAUCAAUAUUUAUAAGUCGGCAAUUUUGAUAAACCGGCAAGUCUUACUUCUUCAACCCGGCUGAAAGUCAGAUGAGUAUUUCAAGACCAAUAUGUUUUAAGCCAGCGCUUUGGAAGCCGAUUCAAGUGGAUUAUUUCUUACAAUAUUUCUCUACAAGAGACCAAUGCCAGCAAAUUGACUCGGAAGCUGGCCUAUUGACCCGGAUUUCUCAAAAGAAGUAUCCGGAAUUUUUGCAUUCACAAAAGUUGGAACAUAUCUACUAAAGGAGAUUUGCUAUAAGUUCAUGGGCAUGUAUCAAAGAGGAGAUGACCAGGACUUAAGGAUGAUCAAGUGCCGGCUUACAAGAAUAUUUAACCCGGAGUACAACCUGUCAAUUUGUUCUUGUGUUUAUGUUGCAGAUCAGUUUAACAUGGAUAAAUCCAAAUUAAACUUGGGGGCUAAUGUCGGGGAUAUACCCCGCGGUAUGACCCGGCCGGAUGUAUAACCCGGCCGGACAUGGCGACGUACUAAUGACCCGCCCUGACUGGACUACUCACUAAGUGACCCGCCCGAGUCUGGCGACUUAUGGGUGACCUGGCAAGCGGAUCAGAGGAGCGACAAGAACCGGGGGCCCAAGAGGCUCAAGGCCCAGAAAGCCGGCUUACGUUAUGGUAGGUCGGCUUAAGAGGAAAGGCAUAAGGAAUAUUCUCCUACAAAGGAAGCAAGACCUGGACUUGUAUUCAACUUGUAAGAAAAGAUAGACUAGUCCUAGUCCUACUAGGACUCUACAUGUAAGCCGCCCCUUCAACUUAUAUAAGGAGGGGCAGGGCUCCUCAAGAGGGACGAGAGACAAGAAACAAUAUCUAGGGCUAGACAGAAAGAGGACAGCCGGCUUAUGGCGACUCCUUCAUGAUCAUAAUGAGACCUAGCCACAAACAGCAUGUAGGGUUAUUACCGGAUGAUGUUUCCCAGGGCUCGAAGCUGUCUAAAUCCUCGUCUUAUGUGUUGCGUAUCUUGAUUCUGCUCAACCCCUUCAAUCUACCACAUAGAUGCGUUGGCCUCGCGUCUAAGUCCUUACACUAGGACAUCUGCCGUGACAAUUCCACGACAGUCGGUUUUAGGGCAAAUUCUAUACAAGACGUCAUAUAUGGGUACCUAACGUGGAAAAAUUAUGUAAAUGACAUUUUUUAAGCAUGGAUUGAGUAGCAAAAAGAUUUUUUGGACGAGCCAUGAAAGAGGUAUUUAUUGAGGAAUUUUUGCGUGUCCUUUGUUUUCGAGUCGUGUUUGGUCGGUUUUAGGGCAAAUUCUAGACAAGCUGUCAUAUAUGGGUACCUAACUUGGAAAAAUUCUGUGAGUAGCAUUUUUAAGCAUGGAUUGGGUAGCCAUAAGUUAUUUUGGACGAGCCAAGAAAGAGGUAGUUAUCAAGGAGUUUUUGCGUGUCCUUUGUUUUCGAGUCGCAUUUGGUCGGUUUUAGGGCAAAUUCUGGACAAGAUGUAAUAUAUGGGUCCUAACUUGGAAAAAUUAUGUGAAUGGCAUUUCUUAAGCAUGGAUUGGGUAGUAAAAAGUUAUUUUGGAGGAGCCAUGAAAGAGGUAUUUAGCGAGGAGGUUUUGUGUGUCCUUUGUUUUCGAGUCGCAUUUGGUCGGUUUUAGGGCAAAUUCUGGACAAGCUGUCAUAUAUGGGUACCUGAGUUGGAAAAAUUCUGUGAGCAGCAUUUUUUAAGCAUGCAUUAGGUAGCCAUAAGUUAUUUUGGAUGGGCCAAUAAAGAGGUAGUUAUCGAGUNNNNNNNNNNNNNNNNNNNNNNNNNNNNNNNNNNNNNNNNNNNNNNNNNNNNNNNNNNNNNNNNNNNNNNNNNNNNNNNNNNNNNNNNNNNNNNNNNNNNNNNNNNNNNNNNNNNNNNNNNNNNNNNNNNNNNNNNNNNNNNNNNNNNNNNNNNNNNNNNNNNNNNNNNNNNNNNNNNNNNNNNNNNNNNNNNNNNNNNNNNNNNNNNNNNNNNNNNNNNNNNNNNNNNNNNNNNNNNNNNNNNNNNNNNNNNNNNNNNNNNNNNNNNNNNNNNNNNNNNNNNNNNNNNNNNNNNNNNNNNNNNNNNNNNNNNNNNNNNNNNNNNNNNNNNNNNNNNNNNNNNNNNNNNNNNNNNNNNNNNNNNNNNNNNNNNNNNNNNNCUGCACAAGCUGUCAUAUAUGGGUACCUAACUUGGAAAAAUUCUGUGAGCAGCAUUUUUAAGCAUGGAUUGGGUAGCAAUAAGUUAUUUUGGAUGAGCCAAGAAAGAGGUAGUUAUCAAGGAGUUUUUGCGUGUCCUUUGUUUUUGAGUCGCGUUUGGUCGGUUUUAGGGCAAAUUAUGUACAAGACAUCAAAUAUGGGUACCUAACUUGGAAAAAUUCUGUGAGAAGCAUUUUUUAAGCAUGGAUUGUGUAGCAAUAAGUUAUUUUGGAUGAGCCAAGAAAGAGGUAGUUAUCAGGUAGUUUUUGCAUGUCCUUUGUUUUUGAGUCGCGUUUGAUCGGUUUUAGGGCAAAUUAUGUACAAGACGUCAUAUAUGGGUACCUAACGUGGAAAAAUUCUAUGAACGACAUUUUUAAGCAUGGAUUGGGUAGUAAAAAGUUAUUUUUGGCAAGCCACGAAAGAGGUAGUUAUCGAGGAGUUUCUGCGUGUCCUUUGUUUCCGAGUCGCGUUUGGUAGGUUUUAGGGCAAAUUCUGUAACAGAUGCCAUAUAUGGGUACCUAACUUGGAAAAUUUCUAUGAACGACAUUUUUUAAGCAUGGAUUGGGCAGCAAAAAGCUAUUUUGGACGAGACACAAAAGAGGUAUUUAUCGAGCAGUUUUUCCGUGUCCUUUGUUUUCGAGUCGGGUUUGGUCGCUUUUAGGGCAAAUUCUGGACAAGCUGUCAUAUAUGGGUACCUGACUUGGAAAAAUUCUAUGAGCAGCAUUUUUUAAGCAUGGGGUAGCAAUAAGUUAUUUUGGACGAGGCAAGAAAGAGGUAGUUAUGGAGUAGUUUUUGCAUGUCCUUUGUUUUCGAGUCGCGUUUGGUCGGUUUUAGGGCAAAUUUUGUACAAGACGUCAUAUAUGGGUACCUAACGUGGAAAAAUUAGGUAAACGACAUUUUCUAAGCAUGGAUUAGGUAGCAAAAAGUUAUUUUGGAUGAGCCUUGAAAGAGGUGUUUAUCGAGGAUUUUUUGCGUGUCCUUUGUUUUUGAGUCGCGUUUGGUCGUUUUAGGGCAAAUUAUGCACAAGUUUUCAUAUAUGGGUACCUAACUUCGAAAAAUUCUGUGAGUAGCAUUUUUUAAGCAUGGAUUGGGUAGCAAUAAGUUAUUUUGGACGAGCCUAGAAAGAGGUAGUUAUCGUGGAGUUUUUGCGUGUCCUUUGUUUUUGAGUCGCGUUUUGUCGGUUUUAGGGUAAUUUCUGUACAAGACGUCAUAUAUGGGUACCUAACUUGGAAAAUUAUGUGAAUGGAAUUUUUUAAGCAUGGAUUGGGUUAUAAAAAGUUAUGUUGGACGAGCCACGAAAGUGUUAGUUAUCGAGGAGUUUUUGCGUGUCCUUUGGUUCCGAGUCGCGUUUGGUAGGUUUUAGGGCAAAUUCUGUAAUAGAUGCCAUAUAUGGGUACCUAACUUGGAAAAUUUCUGUGAACGACAUUUUUUAAGCAUGGAUUGGGCAGCAAAAAGUUAUUUUGGACGAGACACAAAAGAGGUAUUUAUCGAGCAGUUUUUCCGUGUCCUUUGUUUUCGAGUCGGGUUUGGUCGAUUUUAGGGCAAAUUUUGGACAAGCUGUCAUAUAUGGGUACCUCACUUGGAAAACUUCCGUGACCAGCAUUUUUUGAGCAUGGAUUAGGUAGCAAUAAGUUAUUUUGGAUGAGCCAGGAAAGAGGUAGUUAUCGAGUAGUUUUUCCGUGUCCUUUCUUUUUGAGACGCGUUUGGUCGGUUUUUGGGCAAAUUUUGUACAAGACGUCAUAUAUGGCUACCUAACAUGGAAAAAUUAUGUGAACAAAAUUUUUUAAGCAUGGAUUGGGUAGCAAAAAGUUAUUUUGGACGAGCCACGAAAGAGGUAGUUAUCGAGGAAUUUUUGCGUGUCCUUUGUUUUUGAGUCGCGUUUGGUUGGUUUUAGGGUAAAUUCUGUACAAGAUGUGAUAUAUGGGUACCUAACUUCGAAAUAUUCUGUGAACGACAUUUCUUAGCAUGGAUUGGGUAGCAAAAAAUUAUUUUGGGCAAGCCACCAAAGAGGUAAUUAUCGAGGAGUUUCUGCAUGUCGCGUUUGGUCGGUUUUAGGGCAAAUUCUAUAACAGAUGUCAUAUAUGGCAUUCUUUUAAGCAUGGAUUUGGUAGAAAAAAUUAUUUUGGACGAGCCACAAAAGAGGUAGUUAUCGAGGAGUUUCUGCGUGUCCUUUUUUUUGGAGUCGCGUUUGGUUGGUUUUAGGGCAAAUUCUAUAACAGAUGCCAUAUAUGGUACCUAACUCGGAAAAUUUCUGUGAACGACAUUUUUUAAGCAUGGAUUGGGCAGCAAAAAGUUAUUUUGGACGUGCCACGAAAGAGGUAUUUAUCGAGGAGUUUUUGCGUGUCCAUUGUUUUCGAGUCGCGUUUGGUCGGUUUUAGGGUAAAUGUACAAGAUGUCAUGUAUGGUUACCUAACUUGGAAAAUUUCUAUGAACGGAAUUUUUUAAGAAUGGAUUGUGUAGCUAAAGUUAUUUUGGACGAGCCACGAAAGAGGUAGUUAUAGAGGAGGUUUUGCGUGUCCUUUGUUUUCGAGUCGGGUUUGGUCGCUUUUAGGGCAAAUUCUGGACAAGCUGUCAUAUAUGGGUACCUGACUUGGAAAAAUUCUAUGAGCAGCAUUUUUUAAGCAUGGGGUAGCAAUAAGUUAUUUUGGACGAGGCAAGAAAGAGGUAUUUAUCGAGUAGUUUUUGCAUGUCCUUUGUUUUCGAGUCGCGUUUGGUCGGUUUUAGGGCAAAUUUUGUACAAGACAUCAUAUAUGGGUACCUAACGUGGAAAAAUUAGGUAAACGACAUUUUCUAAGCAUGGAUUAGGUAGCAAAAAGUUAUUUUGGAUGAGCCUUGAAAGAGGUGUUUAUCGAGGAUUUUUUGCGUGUCCUUUGUUUUUGAGUCGCGUUUGGUCGGUUUUAGGGCAAAUUAUGCACAAGUUUUCAUAUAUGGGUACCUAACUUCAAAAAAUUCUGUGAGUAGCAUUUUUUAAGCAUGGAUUGGGUAGCAAUAAGUUAUUUUGGACGAGCCAAGAAAGAGGUAGUUAUCGUGGAGUUUUUGCGUGUCCUUUGUUUUUGAGUCGCGUUUUGUCGGUUUUAGGGCAAUUUCUGUACAAGACGUCAUAUAUGGGUACCUAACUUGGAAAAUUAUGUGAAUGGAAUUUUUUAAGCAUGGAUUGGGUUAUAAAAAGUUAUGUUGGACGAGCCACGAAAGUGUUAGUUAUAGAGGAGUUUUUGCGUGUCCUUUGGUUCCGAGUCGCGUUUGGUAGGUUUUAGGGCAAAUUCUGUAAUAGAUUCCAUAUAUGGGUACCUAACAUGGAAAAUUUCUGUGAACGACAUUUUUUAAGCAUGGAUUGGGCAGCAAAAAGUUAUUUUUGACGAGACACAAAAGAGGUAUUUAUCGAGCAGUUUUUCCGUGUCCUUUGUUUCGACUCGGGUUUGGUCGGUUUUAGGGCAAAUUUUGGACAAGCUGUCAUAUAUGGGUACCUCACUUGGAAAACUUCCGUGACCAGCAUUUUUUAAGCAUGGAUUAGGUAGCAAUAAGUUAUUUUGGAUGAGCCAAGAAAGAGGUAGUUAUCGAGUAGUUUUUCCGUGUCCUUUGUUUUUGAGACGCGUUUGGUCGGUUUUUGGGCAAAUUUUGUACAAGACGUCAUAUAUUGGUACCUAACAUGGAAACAUUAUGUGAACGAAAUUUUUUAAGCAUGGAUUGGGUAGCAAAAAGUUAUUUUGGACGAGCCACGAAAGAGGUAGUUAUCGAGGAAUUUUUGCGUGUCCUUUGUUUUUGAGUCGCGUUUGGUCGGUUUUAGGGUAAAUUCUGUACAAGAUGUGAUAUAUGGGUACCUAACUUCAAAAUAUUCUGUGAACGACAUUUUUUAGCAUGGAUUGGGUAGCAAAAAAUUAUUUUGGGCAAGCCACCAAAGAGGUAAUUAUCGAGGAGUUUCUGCAUGUCGCGUUUGGUCGGUUUUAGGGCAAAUUCUGUAACAGAUGUCAUAUAUGGCAUUCUUUUAAGCAUGGAUUUGGUAGAAAAAAUUAUUUUGGACGAGCCACAAAAGAGGUAGUUAUCGAGGAGUUUCUGCGUGUCCUUUGUUUUGGAGUCGCGUUUGGUCGGUUUUAGGGCAAAUUCUAUAACAAAAGCCAUAUAUGGUACCUAACUCGGAAAAUUUCUGUGAACGACAUUUUUUAAGCAUGGAUUGGGCAGCAAAAAGUUAUUUUGGACGUGCCACGAAAGAGGUAUUUAUCGAGGAGUUUUUGCUUGUCCUUUGUUUUCGAGUCGCGUUUGGUCGGUUUUAGGGUAAAUGUACAAGAUGUCAUGUAUGGUUACCUAACUUGGAAAAUUUCUAUGAACGGAAUUUUUUAAGAAUGGAUUGUGUAGCUAAAGCUAUUUUGGACGAGCCACGAAAGAGGUAGUUAUAGAGGAGGUUUUGCGUGUCCUUUGUUUUCGAGUCGCGUUUGGUUGGUUCAAGGGCAAAUUCUGUACAAGAUGUCAUAUAUGGGUACCUAACUUAGAAAAAUUCUGUGAACGACAUUUUGUUAGCAUGGAUUGGGUAGCAAAAAGUUAUGUUGGACGAGCCACUAAAGAGGUAGUUAUCGAGGAGUUUUUGCGUCUCCUUUGUUUUCCGAGUCGCGUUUGGUUGGUUUUAGGGCAAAUUCCGUACACGAUGUAAUAUAUGGGUACCUAACUUGGAAAAAUUAGGUGAACGACAUUUUUAAUUAUGGAUGGGGUUAUAAAAAGUUAUGUUGGAGGAGCCACGAUAGAGUUAGUUAUCGAGGAGUUUUUGCGUGUCCUUUGUUUUCGAGUCGCGUUUGGUCAGUUUUAGGGCAAAUUCUGUACAACAUGUCAUAUAUGGGUACCUAACUUUGGAAAAAUUCUGUGAAUGGCAUUUUUUAAGCAUGGAUUGGGUAGCAGAAAGUUAUUUUGGAAGAGCCACGAAAGAGGUAGUUAUCGAGGAGUUUUUGCAUGUCAUUUGUUUUCGAGUCGCGUUUAGUCGGUUUUAGGACAAAUUCUGUACAAGAUGUCAUAUAUGGGUACCUAACUUGGAAAAAUUCUGUGAGUGACAUUUCCUAAGCAUGGAUUGGGUAGCAAAAAGUUAUGUUGGACGAGCCACUAAAGAGGUAGUUAUCGAGGAGUUUUUGCAUGUCCUUUUUUUUCGAGUCUCGUUUGGUCGGUUUUAGGGCAAAUUCUGUACAACAUGUGAUAUAUGGGUACCUAACUUUGGAAAAAUUCUGUUAAUGGCAUUUUUUAAGCAUGGAUUGGGUAGCAAAAAGUUAUUUUGGAAGAGCCACGAAAGACGUAGUUAUUGAGUCACGUUUCGUCGGUUUUAGGCCAAAUUCUGUACAAGAUGUCAUAUAUGGGUACCUAACAUGGAAAAAUUCUAUGACCGGCUUUUUAAGCAUGGAUUGGGUAGCCAAAAGUUAUUUUGGACGAGUCAUGAAAGAGAUAGUUUUUGCGUGUCCUUUGUUUCGAGUCACGUUUGGUCGAUUUUAGGGCAAAUUUUGUACAACAUGUCAUAUAUGGGUACCUAACUUGGAAACAUUCGGUGAACGACAUUUUAUAAGGAUGGAUUGGGUAGCAAAAAUUUCUGUUGGACGAGCCACGAAAGAGGUAGUUACCGAGGAGUUUUUGCAUGUUCUUUGUUUUUGAGUCGCGUUUGGUCGGUUUUAGGGCAAAUUCUGUAAAAGAUGUAAUAUAUGGGUACCUAAAUUGGAAAAAUUAUGUUAACGGCAUUUUUAAGCGUGGAUUGGGUUAUAAAAAGUUAUGUUGGACGAGCCACGAAACAGUUAGUUAUUGAGGUGUUUUUGCGCGUCCUUUGUUUUCGAGUCGCGUUUGGUAGGUUUAAGGACAAAUUAUGCACAAGUUUUCAUAUAUGGGUACCUAACUUGGAAAAAUUAUGUAAACAGCAUUUUUUAAGCAUGGUUUGGGUAGCAAAAAGUUAUUUUGGACAAGCCAUGAAAGAGGUAUUUAUCGAGGAGUUUUUACGUGUCCUUUGUUUUGGAGUCGCGUUUGGUCGGUUUUAUGGCAAAUUCUGGACAAGCUAUCAUAUAUGGGUACCUAACUUGGAAAAAUUCUGUGAGCAGCAUUUUUUAAGCAUGGAUUGGGUAGCAAUAAGUUAUUUUGGAUGAGCCAAGAAAGAGGUAGUUAUCGAGUAGUUUUUGCAUGUCAUUUGUUUUGGAGUCGCGUUUGGUCGGUUUUAGGGCAAAUUCUAUACAAGAUGUCAUAUAUGGGUACCUAACAUGGAAAAAUUAUGUAAACGACAAUUUUUAAGCAUGGAUUGGGUAGCAAACAAUUUUUUUUGACGAGCCAUGAAAGAGGUAUUUAUCUAGGAGUUUUUACGUGUCCUUUGUUUUCGAGCCGCGUUUGGUCGGUUUUAGGGCAAAUUCUAGACAAGCUGUAAUCUAUGGGUACCUAACUUGGAAAAAUUCUAUGAGUAGCAUUUUUAAGCAUGGAUUGGGUAGCAAUAAGUUAUUUUGGACGAGCCAAGAAAGAGGUAGUUAUCAUGGAGUUUUUGCGUGUCCUUUGUUUUUUGAGUCGCGUUUGGUUGGUUUUAGGGCAAAUUCCGUACAAGAUGUAAUAUAUGGGUACCUAACUUGGAAAAAUUAUGUAAAUGGCAUUUUUAAUUAUGGAUUGGGUUAUAAAAAGUUAUGUUGGAGGAGCCACGAUAGAGUUAGUUAUCGAGGACUUUUUGCGUGUACUUUGUUUUCGAGUCGCGUUUGGUCGGUUUUAGGGCAAAUUCUGGACAAGCUGUCAUAUAUGGGGACCUAAUUUGGAAAAAUUCUGUGAGCAGCAUUUUUUAAGCAAGGAUUGGGUAGCAAUAAGUUAUUUUGGAUGAGCCAAGAAAGAGGUCGUUAUCAAGUAGUUUUUGCAUGUCCUUUGUUUUCGAGUCGCGUUUGGUCGGUUUUAGGGCAAAUUCUGUACAACAUGUCAUAUAUGGGUACCUAACUUUGGAAAAAUUCUGUGAAUGGCAUUUUUUAAGCAUGGAUUGGGUAGCAAAAAGUUAUUUUGGAAGAGCCACGAAAGACGUAGUUAUUGAGUCACGUUUCAUCGGUUUUAGGCCAAAUUCUGUACAAGAUGUCAUAUAUGGGUACCUAACUUGGAAAAAUUCUAUGACCAGCUUUUUAAGCAUGGAUUGGGUAGCCAAAAUUUAUUUUGGACGAGCCAUGAAAGAGGUAGUUAUCAAGGAGUUUUUGCGUAUCCUUUGUUUCGAGUCGCGUUUGGUCGGUUUUAGGGCAAAUUUUGUACAACAUGUCAGAUAUGGGUACCUAACUUGGAAACAUUCGGUGAACAACAUUUUUUAAGAAUUGAUUGGGUAGCCAAAAGUUAUGUUGGACGAGCCACUAAAGAGGUAGUUAUCGAGGAGUUUUUGCGUGUCCUUUGUUUUCGAGUCGCGUUUGGUCGAUUUUAGGGCAAAUUCUGUACAACAUGUCAUAUAUGGGUACCUAACUUUGGAAAAAUAAUAUGAAUGGCAUCUUUAUGCAUGGAUUGGGUAGCAAAAAGUUAUUUUGGAAGAGCCACGAAAGAGGUAGUUAUCGAGUCACGUUUGCUCGGUUUUAGGGCAAAUUCUGUACAAGAUGUCAUAUAUGGGUACCUAACUUGGAAAAAUUCUAUGACCGGCUUUUUAAGCAUGGAUUGGGUAGCCAAAAGUUAUUUUGGACGAGCCAUGAAAGAGGUAGUUAUCAAGGAGUUUUUGCGUGUCCUUUGUUUCGGGUCGCGUUUGGUCGGUUUUAGGGCAAAUUUUGUACAACAUGUCAUAUAAGGGUACCUAACUUGGAAACAUUCGGUGAACGACAUUUUAUAAGGAUGGAUUGGGUAGCAAAAAUUUAUGUCGGACGAGCCACGAAAGAGGUAGUUACCGAGGAGUUUUUGCAUGUUCUUUGUUUUUGAGUCGCGUUUGGUCGGUUUUAGGGCAAAUUCUGUACAAGAUGUAAUAUAUGGGUACCUAACUUGGAAAAAUUAUGUUAACGGCAUUUUUAAGCGUGGAUUGGGUUAUAAAAAGUUAUGUUGGACGAGCCACGAAAGAGUUAGUUAUCGAGGUGUUUUUGCGCGUCCUUUCUUUUCGAGUCGCGUUAGGUAGGUUUAAGGACAAAUUAUGCACAAGUUUUCAUAUAUGGGUACCUAACUUGGAAAAAUUAUGUAAACAGCAUUUUUUAAGCAUGGUUUGGGUAGCAAAAAGUUAUUUUGGACAAGCCAUGAAAGAGGUAUUUAUCGAGGAGUUUUUACGUGUCCUUUGUUUUCGAGUCGCGUUUGGUCGGUUUUAGGGCAAAUUCUGGAGAAGCUAUCAUAUAUGGGUACCUAACUUGGAAAAAUUCUGUGAGCAGCAUUUUUUAAGCAUGGAUUGGGUAGCAAUAAGUUAUUUUGGAUUAGCCAAGAAAGAGGUAGUUAUCGAGUAGUUUUUGCAUGUCAUUUGUUUUUGAGUCGCGUUUGGUCGGUUUUAGGGCAAAUUCUAUACAAGACGUCAUAUAUGGGUACCUAACGUGGAAAAAUUAUGUAAACGACAUUUUUUAAGCAUGGAUUGGGUAGCAAACAAUUUUUUUGACGAGCCAUGAAAGAGGUAUUUAUCUAGGAGUUUUUACGUGUCCUUUGUUUUCGAGCCGCGUUUGGUCGGUUUUAGGGCAAAUUCUAGACAAGCUGUCAUCUAUGGGUACCUAACUUGGAAAAAAUUUAUGAGUAGCAUUUUUAAGCAUGGAUUGGGUAGCAAUAAGUUAUUUUGGACGAGCCAAGAAAGAGGUAGUUAUCAAGGAGUUUUUGCGUGUCCUUUGUUUUUUGAGUCGUGUUUGGUUGGUUUGAGGGCAAAUUCCGUACAAGAUGUAAUAUAUGGGUACCUAACUUGGAAAAAUUAUGUAAACGGCAUUUUUAAUUAUGGAUUGGGUUAUAAAAAGUUAUGUUGGAGGAGCCAUGAUAGAGUUAGUUAUCGAGGAGUUUUUGCGUGUACUUUGUUUUUGAGUCGUGUUUGGUCGGUUUUAGGGCAAAUUCUGGACAAGCUGUCAUAUAUGGGGACCUAACUUGGAAAAAUUCUGUGAGCAACAUUUUUUAAGCAUGGAUUGGGUAGCAAUAAGUUAUUUUGGAUGAGCCAAGAAAGAGGUAGUUAUCAAGUAGUUUUUGCAUGUCCUUUGUUUUCGAGUCGCGUUUGGUCGGUUUUAGGGCAAAUUAUGUACAAGACGUCAUAUAUGGGUACCUAACGUGGAAAAAUUCUGUGAACGACAUUUUUAAGCAUGGAUUGGGUAGCAAAAAGUUAUAUUGGACGAGCCACGAAAGAGGUAGUUAUCGAGGAGUUUUUGCGUGUCCUUUGUUUUUGAGUCACAUUUGGUCGGUUUUAGGGCAAAUUCUGUACAAGAUGUCAUAUAUGGGUAACUAACUUGGAAAUAUUCUAUGAACGGCAUUUUUAAGCAUGGAUUGGGUAGUAAAAAGUUAUUUUGGGCAAGCCACGAAAGAGGUAGUUAUCGAGGAGUUUCUGCGUGUCCUUUGUUUCCGAGUCGCAUUUGGUAGGUUUUAGGGAAAAUUCUGUAACAGAUGCCAUAUAUGGGUACCUAACUUGGAAAAUUUCUGUGAACAACAUUUUUUAAUCAUGCAUUGGGCAGCAAAAAGUUAUUUUGGACGAGACACAAAAGAGGUAUUUAUCGAGGAGUUUUUCCGUGUCCUUUGUUUUCCAGUCGGGUUUGGUCGCUUUUAGGGCAAAUUCUGGACAAGCUGUCAUAUAUGGGUACCUGACUUGGAAAAAUUCUAUGAGCAGCAUUUUUUAAGCAUGGGGUAGCAAUAAGUUAUUUUGGACGAGGCAGGAAAGAGGUAGUUAUCGAGUAGUUUUUGCGUGUCCUUUGUCCUCGAGUCGCGUUUGGUCGGUUUUAGGGCAAAUUUUGCACAAGACGUCAUAUAUGGGUACCUAACGUGGAAAAAUUAUGUAAACGACAUUUUCUAAGCAUGGAUUUGGUAGCAAAAAGUUAUUUUGGAUGAGCCAUGAAAGAGGUAUUUAUCGAGGAUUUUUGGCGUGUCCUUUGUUUUCGAGUCGCGUUUGGUCCGUUUUAGGGAAAAUUAUGCACAAGUUUUCAUAUAUAGGUACCUAACUUGGAAACAUUAUGUAAACAGCAUUUUUUAAGCAUGGUUUGGGUAGAAGAAAGUUAUUUUGGACAAGCCAUGAAAGAGGUAUUUAUCGAGGAGUUUUUACGUCUCCUUUGUUUUCGAGUCGCGUUUGGUCGGUUUUAGGGCAAAUUCUAGACAAGCUAUCAUAUAUGGGUACCUAACUUGGAAAAAUUCUUUGAGCAGCAUUUUUUUAGCAUGGAUUGGGUAGCAAUAAGUUAUUUUGGAUUAGCCAAGAAAGAGGUAGUUAUCGAGUAGUUUUUGCAUGUCAUUUUUUUUGAGUCGCGUUUGGUCGGUUUUAGGGCAAAUUCUAUACAAGACGUCAUAUAUGGGUACCUAACGUGGAAAAAUUAUGUAAACAACAUUUUUUAAGCAUGGAUUGGGUAGCAAACAAUUUUUUUUGACGAGCCAUGAAAGAGGUAUUUAUCUAGGAGUUUUUACGUGUCCUUUGUUUCCGAGCCGCGUUUGGUCGGUUUUAUGGCAAAUUCUAGACAAGCUGUCAUCUAUGGGUACCUAACUUGGAAAACUUCUAUGAGUAGAAUUUUUAAUCAUGGAUUGGGUAGCAAUAAGUUAUUUUGGACGAGCCAAGAAAGAGGUAGUUAUCAAGGAGUUUUUGCGUGUCCUUUGUUUUUUGAGUCGCGUUUGGUUGGUUUUAGGGCAAAUUCCGUACAAGAUGUAAUAUAUGGGUACCUAACUUGGAAAAAUUAUGUAAACGGCAUUUUUAAUUAUGGAUUGGGUUAUAAAAAGUUACGUUGAAGGAGCCACGAUAGAGUUAGUUAUCGAGGAGUUUUUGCGUGUACUUUGUUUUCGAGUCGCGUUUGGUCGGUUUUAGGGCAAAUUCUGGACAAGCUGUCAUAUAUGGGGACCUAACUUGGAAAAAUUCUGUGAGCAGCAUUUUUUAAGCAUGGAUUGGGUAGCAAUAAGUUAUUUUGGAUGAGCCAAGAAAGAGGUAGUUAUCAAGUAGUUUUUGCAUGUCCUUUGUUUUUGAGUCGCGUUUGGUCGGUUUUAGGGCAAAUUAUGUACAAGACGUCAUAUAUGGGUACCUAACGUGGAAAAAUUCUGUGAACGACAUUUUUAAGCAUGGAUUGGGUAGCAAAAAGUUAUAUUGGACGAGCCACGAAAGAGGUAGUUAUCGAGGAGUUUUUGCGUGUCCUUUGUUUUUGAGUCGCGUUUGGUCGGUUUUAGGGCAAAUUCUGUACAAGAUGUCAUAUAUGGGUACCUAACUUGGAAAUAUUCUGUGAACGGCAUUUUUAAGCAUGGAUUGGGUAGUAAAAAGUUAUUUUGGGCAAGCCACGAAAGAGGUAGCUAUCGAGGAGUUUCUGCGUGUCCUUUGUUUCCGAGUCGCGUUUGGUAGGUUUUAGGGCAAAUUCUGUAACAGAUGCCAUAUAUGGGUACCUAACUUGGAAAAUUUCUGUGAACAACAUUUUUUAAGCAUGGAUUGGGCAGCAAAAAGUUAUUUUGGACGAGACACAAAAGAGGUAUUUAUCGAGGAGUUUUCCCGUGUCCUUUGUUUUCCAGUCGGGUUUUGUCGCUUUUAGGGCAAAUUCUGGACAAGCUGUCAAAUAUGGGUACCUGACUUGGAAAAAUUCUAUGAGCAGCAUUUUUUAAGCAUGGGGUAGCAAUAAGUUAUUUUGGACGAGGCAGGAAAGAGGUAUUUAUCGAGUAGUUUUUGCGUGUCCUUUGUCUUCGAGUCGCGUUUGGUCGGUUUUAGGGCAAAUUUUGUACAAGACGUCAUAUAUGGGUACCUAACGUGGAAAAAUUAUGUAAACGACAUUUUCUAAGCAUGGAUUGGGUAGCAAAAAGAUAUUUCAGAUGAGCCAUGAAAGAGGUAUUUUUGAGGAUUUUUGGCGUGUCCUUUGUUUUCGAGUCGCGUUUGGUCGGUUUUAGGGCAAAUUAUGCACAAGUUUUCAUAUAUGGGUACCUAACUUGGAAAAAUUCUGUGAGUAGCAUUUUUUAAGCAUGGAUUGGGUAGCAAUAAGUUAUUUUGGACGAGCCAAGAAAGAGGUAGUUAUCGUUGAGUUUUUGCGUGUCCUUUAUUUUUGAGUCGCGUAUGUUGGUUUUAGGGCAAAUUCUGUACAAGAUGUAAUAUAUGGGUACCUAACUUGGAAAAAUUAUGUGAAUGGAAUUUUUUAAGCAUGGAUUGGGUUAUAAAAAGUUAUGUUGGACAAGCCACGAAAGAGUUAGUUAUCGAGGAGUUUUUGCGUGUCUUUUGUUUUUGAGUCGCGUUCGGUAGGUUUAAGGGCAAAUUAUGCACAAGAUGUCAUAUAUGGGUACCUAACUUGGAAAAAUUAUGUAAACGGCAUUUUUUAAGCAUGGAUUGGGUAGCAAAAGUUAUUUUGGACGAGCCAUGAAAGAGGUAUUUAUCGAGGAGUUUUUGCGUGUCCUUUGUUUUCGAGUCGCAUUUGGUUGGUUUUAGGGCAAAUUGUGGACAAGCUGUCAUAUAUGGAUACCUAACUUGAAAAAAUUAUGUGUCCAGCAUUUUUUAAGCAUGGAUUAGGUAGCAAUAAGUUAUUUUGGAUGAGCCAAGACAGAGGUAGUUAUCGAGUAGUUUUUCCGUAUCCUUUGUUUUUGAGUCGCGUUUGGUCGGUUUUAGGGCAAAUUCUGUACAAGACGUCAUAUAUCGGUACCUAACAUGGAAAAAUUCUGUGAACAAAAUUUUUCAAGCAUGGAUUGGGUAGCAAAAAGUUAUUUUGGACGAGCCAUGAAAGAGGUAGUUAUCGAGGAAUUUUUGCGUGUCCUUUGUUUUUGAGUCGCGUUUGGUCGGUUUUAGGGUAAAUUCUAUACAAGAUGUCAUAUAUGGGUACCUAACUUGGAAAUAUUCUGUGAACGACAUUUUUAAGCAUGGAUUGGGUAGCAAAAAGUUAUUUUGGGCAAGCCACCAAAGAGGUAAUUAUCGAUGAGUUUCUGCAUGUCGCGUUUGGUCGCUUUUAGGGCAAAUUCUGUAACAGAUGUCAUACAUGGUACCUACAUUGGAAAUUUUCUGCGAACGGCAUUCUUUUAAGCAUGGAUUUGGUAGAAAAAAUUAUUUUGGACGAGCCACAAAAGAGGUAGUUAUCGAGGAGUUUCUGCGUGUCCUUUGUUUUUGAGUCGCGUUUGAUCGGUUUUAGGGCAAAUUCUAUAACAGAUGCCAUAUAUGGUACCUAACUUGGAAAAAAUUUGUGAACGGCAUUUUUUAAGCAUGGAUUGGGCAGCAAAAAGUUAUUUUGGAUGAGCCUUGAAAGAGGUAUUUAUCAAGGAGUUUUUGUGUGUCCUUUGUUUUCGAGUCGCGUUUGGUCGGUUUUCGGGUAAAUUAUGUACAAGAGGUCAUGUAUGGUUACCUAACUUGGAAAAUUUCUAUGAAUGGAAUUUUUUAUGAAUGGAUUGGGUAGCUAAAAGUUAUUUUGGAUGAGCCAAGAAAGAGGUACUUAUAGAGGAGGUUUUGCGUGUCCUUUGUUUUCGAGUCGCGUUUGGUUGGUUCAAGGGCAAAUUUUGUACAAGAUGUCAUAUAUGGGUACCUAACUUGGAAAAAUUUUGUGAACGGAAUUUUUUAAGCAUGGAUUGGGUAGCAAAAAGUUAUGUUGGACGAGCCACUAAAGAGGUAGUUAUCGGGGAGUUUUUGCGUGUCCUUUGUUUUCGAGUCGCGUUUGGUCGGUUUUGGGGCAAAUUCUGUACAACAUGUCANNNNNNNNNNUUUUUUUGGACGAGCCAUGACAGAGGUAUUUAUCGAGGAGUUUUUGCGUGUCCUUUGUUUUCGAGUCGCGUUUGGUCGGUUUUAGGGUAAAUUAUGUACAAGAGGUCAUGUAUGGUUACCUAACUUGGAAAAUUUCUACGAAUGGAAUUUUUUAUGAAUGGAUUGGGUAGCUAAAAGUUAUUUUGGAUGGGCCAAGAAAGAGGUAGUUAUAGAGGAGGUUUUGCGUGUCCUUUGUUUUCCAGUCGCGUUUGGUUUGUUCAAGGGCAAAUUUUGUACAAGAUGUCAUAUAUGGGUACCUAACUUGGAAAAAUUAUGUGAACGACAUUUUUUAAGCAUGGAUUGGGUAGAAAAAAGUUAUGUUGGACGAGCCACUAAAAAGUUAGUUAUCGGGGAGUUUUUGCGUGUCCUUUGUUUUCGAGUCGCGUUUGGUCGGUUUUAGGGCAAAUUCUGUACAACAUGUCAUAUAUGGGUACCUAACUUUGGAAAGAUUCUGUGAAUGGCAUUUUUUAAGCAUGGAUUGGGUAGCAAAAAGUUAUUUUGGAAGAGCCACGAAAGAGGUAGUUAUCGAGGAGUUUUUGCAUGUCAUUUGUUUUCGAGUCGCGUUUGGUCGGUUUUAGGGCAAAUUCUGUACAAGAUGUCAUAUAUGGGUACCUAACUUGGAAAAAUUCUAUGACCGGCUUUUUGCGUGUCCUUUGUUUUCGAGUCGCGNNNNNNNNNNAGGAGUUUGUGCGUGUCCUUUGUUUUCGAGUCGCGUUUGGUCGGUUUUAGGGCAAAUUUUGUACAACAUGUCAUAUAUGGGCACCUAACUUGGAAUAAUUCUAUGACCGGCUUUUUAAGCAUGGAUUGGGUAGCAGAAAUUUAUGUUGGACGAGCCACGAAAGAGGUAGUUACCGAGGAGUUUUUGCGUGUUCUUUGUUUUUGAGUCACGUUUGGUCGGUUUUAGGGCAAAUUCUAUACAAGAUGUAAUAUGUGGGUACCUAACUUGGAAAAAUUAUGUGAAAGGCAUUUUUAAGCAUGGAUUGGGUUAUAAAAAGUUAUGUUGGACGAGCCACGAAAGAGUUAGUUAUCGAGGAGUUUUUGCGUGUCCUUUGUUUUUGAGUCGUGUUUGGUAGGUUUAAGGGCAAAUUAUGCACAAGUUUUCAUAUAUGGGUACCUAACUUGGAAAAAUUAUGUAAACAACAUUUUUUAAGCAUGGAUUGGGUAGCAAAAAGUUUUUUUGGACGAGCCAUGACAGAGGUAUUUAUCGAGGAGUUUUUGCGUGUCCUUUGUUUUCGAGUCGCGUUUGGUCGGUUUUAGGGUAAAUUAUGUACAAGAGGUCAUGUAUGGUUACCUAACUUGGAAAAUUUCUAUGAAUGGAAUUUUUUAUGAAUGGAUUGGGUAGCUAAAAGUUAUUUUGGAUGAGCCAAGAAAGAGGUAGUUAUAGAGGAGGUUUUGCGUGUCCUUUGUUUUCGAGUCGCGUUUGGUUGGUUCAAGGGAAAAUUUUGUACAAGAUGUCAUAUAUGGGUACCUAACUUGGAAAAAUUCUGUGAACGACAUUUUUUAAGCAUGGAUUGGGUAGCAAAAAGUUAUGUUGGACGAGCCACUAAAGAGGUAGUUAUCGGGGAGUUUUUGCGUGUCCUUUGUUUUCGAGUCGCGUUUGGUCGGUUUUAUGGCAAAUUCUGUACAACAUGUCAUAUAUGGGUACCUAACUUUGGAAAGAUUCUGUGAAUGGCAUUUUUUAAGCAUGGAUUGGGUAGCAAAAAGUUAUUUUGGAAGAGCCACGAAAGAGGUAGUUAUCGAGGAGUUUUUGCAUGUCAUUUGUUUUCGAGUCGCGUUUGGUCGGUUUUAGGGCAAAUUCUGUACAAGAUGUCAUAUAUGGGUACCUAAAUUGGAAAAAUUAUAUGACCGNNNNNNNNNNGAGGUAGUUAUCGAGGAGUUUUUGCAUGUCAUUUGUUUUCGAGUCGCGUUUGGUCGGUUUUAGGGCAAAUUCUGUACAAGAUGUCAUAUAUGGGUACCUAACUUGGAAAAAUUCUAUGACCGGCUUUUUGCGUGUCCUUUGUUUUCGAGUCGCGUUUAGUCGGUUUUAGGGCAAAUUAUGUACAACAUGUCAUAUAUGGGUACCUAACUUUGGACAAAUUCUGUGAAUGGCAUUUUUAAGCAUGGAUUGGGUAGCAAAAAGUUAUUUUGGAAGAGCCACGAAAGAGGUAGUUAUCGAGUCACGUUUGGUCAGUUUUAGGGCAAAUUUUGUACAAGAUGUCAUAUAUGGGUACUUAACUUGGAAAAAUUCUUUGACCGGCUUUUUAAGCAUGGAUUGGGUAGCCAAAAGUUAUUUUGGACGAGCCAUGAAACAGGUAGUUAUCGAGAAGUUUUUGCGUGUCCUUUGUUUUCGAGUCGCGUUUGGUCGGUUUUAGGGUAAAUUAUGUACAAGAGGUCAUGUAUGGUUACCUAACUUGGAAAUUUUCUAUGAACGGAAUUUUUU
RNAcentral lists this long non-coding RNA (125773 nucleotides) under Triticum aestivum (bread wheat). RNAcentral describes it as "long non-coding RNA (TAES_LNC008270)". The stretch from base 106839 to 106907 matches the Rfam family "tRNA". Lineage: Eukaryota; Viridiplantae; Streptophyta; Magnoliopsida; Poales; Poaceae. The record is from RNAcentral.